RNAcentral lists this long non-coding RNA (121879 nucleotides) under Hordeum vulgare. RNAcentral describes it as "long non-coding RNA (HVUL_LNC013563)". Lineage: Eukaryota; Viridiplantae; Streptophyta; Magnoliopsida; Poales; Poaceae. The record is from RNAcentral.
AAAAUAAACAUGGUACGUGAGCUAGUGUUCAGUAGUCACCUUUGGCAUCAUGCCUGUGACAUCCGCCGCAGAUGAGGUAUGCGGAAGAUGUUUUAUUCAGGAACGGCAUCACUCUCUUCAUUCGAGACAGCUUGAUCUGAAGACACAGGUGCGUGAACCGCGUCCCUCCCUUCAUUAGAGCCAGCUUGAUCUGAAGAUGCAGGUGCGUGAACCGCGUCACUCCCUUCAUUAGAGACAGCUUGAUCUGAAGAUGCAGGUGCGUGAACCGCGUCACUCCCUUCAUUAGAGACAGCUUGAUCCCAAGAUACAGGUGUGUUCCCUACAUCUACACUUGUAGCAGCAGCCUUAGGAACAUUUCCCCCCUCUUCUUGGCUACCAGCAUCAACAUCCAUGCUACAAUUGGUAUUGUCCUGGUCAUCUAAUUUGGAUGAAUCAACCUUGUCAAUGGCGCCCUCGUUCAUGGUAACGCUGUCCCCACUAUGAGCAUUAGAAGUAGUCUGUCCAACUGAAGCCCCAUCGUUAUCCACUUGAGUGUCAGGCAAUGGAGGAAUAGGACCUACAAGGUCUCCAUCUACAUCUGCAUUGUCCAUGUCCAUCUGAUCCCCCUUGAUUUCUUUGCUUCCUGCAGCUUCUUCAUCAGUAACCAUAUUCGUCUGUCCUGAUUCCUCUUCAAUGUCAUGAUUCUUCCUCUCAUUUUCUUCCUCAGCAGCACGAUUUUGAGCUGCAGCUUCCUCCUCCUUAGCACGGGUUUCUGCCUCUAUUGCCGCUUCCUUAGCACGGUUUUCUGCCUCUAUUGCCUCCUCCUUAGCACGGUUUUCUGCCUCUAUUGCCUCUUCCUUAGCACGGUUUUCUGCCUCUAUUGUCUCUGCCUGUAGCCUAAGUAGCCUCUUGUGCUCCUCAAGUUGUUCAUGGAUGCUCUGGUAUCCAGACAGCAGAUCACCAUAGCGGCUCUGGAGAGUCCGUUCUAAUGCUUUCUGUUUAUUCACUUCAUCAGACAAAUUUUUCACACGAUAGGCAGCAGCCAUCUGUUCUUGUUUCUGCAACUCUUGGAAGCAUUCAAGUUCUGUGGCUGCAGUGUUCAUCUGCUUGAAGGUGUCCUGGAUCUGUGACCCCAAUUUUGCAGCCCGAGCCUAACAAAUCAAAUAACAAGUGGAACAAACCAUCAGCACUGCAAAUCGACAUGGAAAACCUAGAAACAAAAUGAAAACAAUAUCAUACAAUAUUGUUUCAGUAGAACUAAUCCAGUAUGUAUCAAAUGAAAAGCAAUAGAACUAAUCCAGUAUGUAUCAAAUGAAAAGCAAAAUAAGAAGUGAUCACUAAACUGUUGCAUUUCUUUGCAAAUUAUGCAAGUUUGGUUUGGGGCAACUGGAUAAUCUUUCAAAUUAUGGGUUAGCUUACACAUGGUGCAUUUUUAAAUGACACCAAACAUCAAUGGGGCAGAGAUGUUAGAGAGGUGCCCUUGGUGCCCUUACACAGACUAGAGAGAAACAUUUAGCAUAGCUAGACUGUAUAAAAUGCUGUCUGGAAAAAAGUUAAAACUAAUAUAGGCAUACCACAAAGAUGAUGCAUCAUCCUCAACUAACCUGGUAUCCUUGUGUCAGCAGUUUGAUCUUCUGCUCAAGCCGAGAAGCUUUCUUUGCCUCAUCAUCCAUUCUCUUCUUUACCAUUUCAAACUCAUGUUGCAAAGCAGAAAUUUUAUCAGCAUUUCCAGCAACACUAGCAAGACCAUAGCUGUUGUUAGUAGGGAAAAACAUAAGGUCCUCCUGGCAUGCAUCAUGUGACUUUACAAAAUCCUCAAAAGAUUCAUUUUCAUGGCCCAUGGCCACACGAAGAUACUGAAUCUCCUCCUCAACCAUAGAACUUGCCUGUCAACAAAUAAAUAUGUGAUUUUAAAAACUUCUUCAUCAUUACGAUUAGACUAAAGCGGGCAAACAGGACUGGCACAAAGAACUAUAAAAAACCGUAAAUAAGAUUUAGCAAGAAAUCAAAUCCAUAUACGGUUAAAGAAAACCACCCACUCACAAGUCAUAACACACAGCCUUCUAUUGAAAGGCAAAAAUCUCCAUUCACAGAUGGUAUGCUAGACAACAACCCACUUAGUCAGGCUAAACAAAAAGGACAGAUGGCUAUAAGUGAUUACUAAAUUGAAGAAGUGUUUCAGUAAUUCAAUAUAUGUGUAUCUGAGUUCUUAUGCAGAAAGAAUACACAUCUCAAACUUUGUCAAUACUAUUGUGAAGAAAUACUGCACAGUUCUCUACAUGGUGUGUGCCCAUGUGCAUAACAUAACAAUUCUAACUAACACAUUACUUGUAGAUGGUAACAUCCUUUACACUCCGGAGGGACAUAUUUUCAAACUGGAGAAUCCAUAUAUUUUUAUCUUGAUUGAAUUCUUGAUAUUUCAGACUUCCAACCACGGUUUUCAAAUUCUUUUCAACUUUCAAUCCCCGAGAGAGGUUGUUUUUCAAGCAAUCUUGUGCACUCAUUGUCUAUCCAUGACAAUGUCACAUCUAAGUGAUGCAUGCUUAACCUGAUUAGUGGCCUCUUGGAUUUUUGAGCAUUCAUUCAUUUUCCAGAAACACGAGUAUCCUAAAAAAUGGGGUAAGCACUGCAUAAAACCUAGCACAAUUCUUCAAUGAAUCCUACAGCAAAACAGUUAUCUUGUGAGUGAUGUGCUGUAUACAGCUCCCACUAUACAAAAUAAACAUGCUUUCCUUCCCUUGCCAUCUCCAGGAUAGCACUCAAUGCCAAUGGAUUAGCUAUAAAAGUAAUUGGCUAUCAGAAGUAAGAUCAUAAAGGUUGGUACAGGAAUAGUUUAGACCUGCUGCUCACAUACAGGCGCUAUAUUCCAUAUUACUGUGUUACUCACUUGUGUAUAUACAAUUAUGAAACCACAGCAAGUAAUUAUUGAUGUGCCUAAUACUACAUGAAAUCGGAAUAUAUGUUAUCAUGUAAAUUGAAUAUACAGUUCAACAUCAAAUACCAAUAAUAAAAAAGGAACAGAAAAGAAGUAUACCUCUUUUAGUUCAUGCUCAUCAAAACCUUCGAUUUCAGGGACGAAAGCUGCCCCAUUUGCCUGACGCUUGCUGCCUUUCUUUUUCUCUCUUUGAGUUUGUUCAUCAAGAGGAUAUUUAGCAUUAUCAUGCUCAAGGAGCCUAAGGAGUUCCUCAUUUAUUAGCUCGUCAGCUUGUUCAAGUGAUGUAGGAGGCACAAAGGUACUUCUGGUUUCACCACCUUUAAUCAGAGAUUGCCGGAGAAUCUCCACUGAAGCAGCAGGUGGCCUAGGCAAACUCCUCUGCAACACUUUGGACCUCUUUCUGAGCAAUGCCUCCUGCCUUGCUUGUUCCUCAGCCCUUUCUCGUGCUAACCUGUCUGACAUAUCCUCUUCAAUUCUCUCUUCUGCUUCUUCCUUCUCCUCUGUGAUAGGUGGCAUAACUAUCUGGUACUCAUUCUUAGGCUGUGGAAUAGAAGCAAAACCAGACCGCAAACCUCUUCUCAGCUCGGCUUGCCUACGAAGCUCAAGCUGAGCGCUGUCUUGCAUUUCCACCUCUUCAUUUAUGUGAAGCUCAUCCCUGAAAGGGGUUCCUUUUGGAGUUAACCCAAAGGCAUUUCCAUCUCUGGAUGGUGUCAAACCAAUCCUUGGGGUAACACCAGGGCCAGGGCUAGCCAGAGGCGUCGCCAUGGGAUUUGGAGUCUGUAUCUCUUUCUUACGUGGUGUAACGCCUGAGAAAUCUGAUGGGUGAAGCUCUGGGUUAUCGCCUCCUAAAAGAGGUGUUUGUGAUUCCCUUAAACGUGCAAGAUUCUCUGCCUCCAUCAUAAUAGCGUCACCUUUCCCACCUGGCGUUCGUUGCGGCGUUCGCAAUGGUGUCAUACCAAGCCUUGGAGUCUGGGAAUAAUUUGCAAGCAGUGUCCUAGUGGCAGUACUUCCUUCACCAAGCUCCUCGGCUAGAGCAGGAUCACCGGCAUUGCCCAUCUUUGCAAUCUCCUCCAAUUCAUGGUCGGAAAUUUGGGGUGGUGGAAGCAUUAGUUUGGACCUUCUUGUGACAGCUUCUGGGUCAUUGAGUUUAUUUGCUUGCAUUAUUGCGGCAGGGGCAUCCUGCCUCUGCAGAAUCUUGUUCUUGGCAAUGUCUUGCUUUCUUAAUUGAGCCUCUACAUCCACUCUUCUCCUCCCUUCAAGCUCCUCAAUGGUAGUUGGAAACUGCACAUGCUCAAGUGGCCUGUCCUCGCCCACUGUAUCAUAAAAACCUGGAGGGGGUCUCUUUUCAAAAGGGAUCUCGGCAUUAUAGUCAAUUCCCUUUCUCUUUCUUUUUUUGUGCCGGUUGUCAAUACCAGCUGCCUUCAGUUCUCUCCUUUUUUGCAGUGAUGCAAGCCGCCUCGCCUCUUCAAGCUGUUUCUCUCUUGCCUUCCGUUUUGCCUUUUUACCCCUGGUGUUAGCUAAGCGAGCCCUUGCCUCAGAAAGCAUUUCCUUUUCAUCUUCGUCCAUGUCAACAGGAUCUGGACGUGCAGGUUUUGACUCAGGGUUUGGAUCUAUCUCCCCAGGUCGCAACUUUCUUGGGUCAUCGUUAGGCUCAUAAUUCUCAUCCUUUGCACAGGCAGCAUCAAGCAAUUUUUCAUAACGCUCGAGGCACUGGGAUGGUGUUCGACCCACAAUAGGUGCAAUAGUCCUCCAUUGAGUAGGCAUGAGCUUAGCAAGAUGAAGCAGCUUCUCAUCCUCUUCCCUUGUCCACUCAGUCUGGGGUUAAUGGGCACUGGUUAGUUAAGUAACGUAAAUGACAGAACCUCUAUAUUAUUCGACAGACAACUGAAAACUGAAAAUGGGGCAGACCUAUGUCAUAAUAGAGCAGAUAUAACCAAUUAAAAGAAACAUUAAGCAUCAUAUGACAGGUAAAGAUUGACGGUUAUUUUGAACAAGUUAAUUUGAUUAGAAUGUGAAUCACACAGACUGAAAAUAUAGUUUAGUCAAGUUAGCUUGGUUUUUAUUAGACACUUAAGUUUUAGAGUUAGAUGACAACGCUAAUGAAGCAUUAAGAAUCAAAUUUAGAGUUCUCAACAAAGAUUUAUUAACAUCUUUCCUAUAACUUUAACAAGCUAGGUCCAUAUUUCAACGAUAUCACAGAGAAUGUGUUAAGAGCAUAACAUCAUGCAAGCCAUAAUAGUCAUGACCAAAAAAUAAGUAUACGAUGGCAACACAGAUAUGACAUAUUGUGUUCAUUAUAUUACCCUCGCUAACAAGAAUAUUACAAUGCACAAAGACAAUUAGUCAGUUCCAUUGGUAGAAGUUGACCAUCCAAUAACGUAUGUACAAUCAGUGCAUAGGAUUCUAGCAUGGUAUAGUAUGAAGAGAGAAUAACAUAACCUCAAAACCAAUAUGUGUGUUGAAAUAUGAGCACUUCAAAAACAUGUGGAGCAAUUUACAACAAAAAAUGUAAACUAGAUAAUGUAAACCAAAUGGCAAUUCGUCAAAACUGUACACAGUGUAGCAUUUUCAAAACACCACAUGAUAACCACGGAUCCUCUAGUUUGUACUCACUCCGCGUCACAAUUACAGAUCCUCUAUAUAAUCCUUUCAUAGCAGCAUCUAGUUGCAGUUCACUCGCUAACAAAGUACUAGCCAUCUAAAAAAAUCUNNNNNNNNNNNNNNNNNNNNNNNNNNNNNNNNNNNNNNNNNNNNNNNNNNNNNNNNNNNNNNNNNNNNNNNNNNNNNNNNNNNNNNNNNNNNNNNNNNNNNNNNNNNNNNNNNNNNNNNNNNNNNNNNNNNNNNNNNNNNNNNNNNNNNNNNNNNNNNNNNNNNNNNNNNNNNNNNNNNNNNNNNNNNNNNNNNNNNNNNNNNNNNNNNNNNNNNNNNNNNNNNNNNNNNNNNNNNNNNNNNNNNNNNNNNNNNNNNNNNNNNNNNNNNNNNNNNNNNNNNNNNNNNNNNNNNNNNNNNNNNNNNNNNNNNNNNNNNNNNNNNNNNNNNNNNNNNNNNNNNNNNNNNNNNNNNNNNNNNNNNNNNNNNNNNNNNNNNNNNNNNNNNNNNNNNNNNNNNNNNNNNNNNNNNNNNNNNNNNNNNNNNNNNNNNNNNNNNNNNNNNNNNNNNNNNNNNNNNNNNNNNNNNNNNNNNNNNNNNNNNNNNNNNNNNNNNNNGAGACCGGGGCGACGGGGUGGUGCGGCGAGGAGGGGAUUGGAGGAGCGGGGCCGCGGGGGAGGGCGGGAAAGUGGGCGACGGGGAGGGCCAAGCCGGCGGCGGAGGGCAGUGGCGGCGCUCCUCUCACGGGACGGAUUGGUUCGGGCUCGGGAGGCGGGACUUGUCCUGGUGAGGUAAACCCGAUGACGUGGCAUGUAACGCUCAGUCAAAACCAGUCAACCGCUGGAAAGAGUUUCUCUAGAGCAACCCUACCACACCCCGCAUCCCGUCGACCCGAAAAACACGUUUGCAGGUCGUGCUAAACUGCUUAUGCGGGCUGGCCUGGGCUGUCACAUAUGCAGAUCCCACAAACGGAUCCGUAAAAAAUAUAUUUGUGGAAUAUUCUUUUUUACGGGUCGACUUUGAAGGGUCCGUUCUUUGCACCGCUGCUUCCCGUAUCAUUAGACCGUAAAUAUCAAAUACAACAUAAUUCAACGGCCGAAAACAAACUGAAUUAUUCCAAUCAAACACAAUACAAUAAUCAUCCGCAUUACAAAUAAUUAUUCAAAACUUGUCAUGAAUACAAAUACAAAUGAAUACAAAAAUAAGUCGUUGUCUAGCCCUUUGCCAAUAGUGUUCAAUGAGAUACUUCUGAAGUUGAAAGUGGGUGUCUGGGUUUUCAAUCUCCUUGUAUGUCUGAAGAAAAGCUCUAAUGCGGUUUGGGUCUCUAGCUGGUUUGACACGGCUACCCACAUUGUCGUAAAAGAAUUCUAAGUUCAAUCCUCUCUCAUCUUCAAGAAUCAUAUUGUGCGGGAUAACACAGCGUGUCAUGAUGUUCUUCAAGGUUCUCUUAUCCCAAAAACGAGCAGGACCAUGCACAAUGGCAAACCUAGAUUGCAAAACACCGAAUGCUCUUUCAAUGUCUUUGCGGGCUGCCUCUUGCACCUUUGCAAAUUCAUAUUUUUUUUGUUUUGGGUUCUUUGAUGCUCUUGACAAAUGUGCACCAAGGAGGGUAUAUACCAUCUGCAAGAUAGUACCCCUUUGUGUAUUCAUGUCCAUUAAUAGCGUAGUUGCAAGCAGGAGCAUCAUCACUAGCAAGCCUAGCAAACAAAUGCGACCGUUACAACACAUUGAUAUCAUUGAGAGUGCCCGGCAUACCAAAAAAGCAAUGUCAAAUCCAUAAAUCCUCGGAUGCUACGGCCUCUAGCACAAUUAUUGCAUCACGAGACUUGUCACAAUAUAUUCCUUGCCAAGCCUUGGGGCAAUUUUUCAAAUUCCAAUGCAUACAAUCAAUGCUAUCUAGCAUUCCAGGCCAACCUCUCCUCUCAUUAGAUGCCAUCAAUUUCUUUGUGUCAUCUUCAUUGGAUGCCCGAAGAUACUCAGGACCGAAGAGACGGAUGAUCACUUUUGCAAAUCUACGCACAUACUCAAUUGUGGUAUCUUCACCAAUGCGAAUGUACACAUCGGCAUAGUUAACCGGAACGCCAUAUGCAAUCACCCGCAUAGCUGCGGAGAUUUUUUGAUAUGCACUAAAUCCCUUUAAGCCUGCGACAUUCCUUCUUUGAGUAAAAUACCGGCAAUUUUCCUCGCAAGCUUGAACAAUUUUCACAAAGAGGGAUCAGCGCAUUCGGUACCUUCUCCGGAAGAGGUGUGGAGGAUAUGUAGGAUUCUCCGCGAAAUAGUCUUGCAUCAACAUCUCGUUCCCAAGAUGGCGAUUCCGAGGAAUGCACAAACGCUCGACAGUCGAUCCUCGCCUCUUCUUAUGGUUCUCGUCUUCAUUCUCCUUCACGGCAAGCGUCAUGACUAAUGUUUGCUGACGAAAGGUCGCAAGCAUGGUCUCAACAUCCGAGCCGUCCGAAUCGGACGAAUCGGAUAGCAGGAACUUCUCACAUGGGGUCAACUCCAUCUUCUCGGGUAGUUGGCGGGAGGAUAGUAGGAACCACAAAAAAGGUACUAACCGGCGGCGGCGAUGAGGCGGUGGUCGAUCCCGGGCGGCGACGGCUAGAGGGGGCUCUUCUCGCCGGAUCCGGAGGGGCGGUGCAGCGGCUCGCCUGCAGAUAUGGCCGGAAUCGCCACCAGCAGGCGGGAGGAAGCAAGGGCGGGGCGGCGGCGGCGGAAGGGAGGGGAAAAUAGCGCGGGCUGAAAUGUCCCUCCCGCCAACUGCCUCUCUGUUAUGCAGGGCACCGCAGCCGUGAGGGGGAAACCCGCGUUUUCCCAGGUUGGGGUCGGGAAUUUGCCGCGCCCCCUGAAAAUUUUUGCGAGCCGGGGCGGGAUGCGGGGUCUGAUCGGGCAGGCUUUUCCACCCCGACCCGCAUUUUGGCGGUUAUUUUGCGGGUCGAGGGCGGAUGCGGGGUCUGCUAGAGUUGCUCUUAGAACCGAAAUCUCAUCGAGUGAAUGUUUUACGGAAAUACUAACUGACGAACGUUUCCUCUGUGGAAGGUAGAUGGCAAGCGAAUGCAUUUUCAUGACCGUUUUGGUUACGGCGCGAGAUUAAACGAUGACAGUUUUAGAAAAAAUGCCUUCUUUGAAAGAAAAAAGAAAACAAUUAAAAACAACCAACUGAUUCUCUCUCCCUUAAACCGUCGCCUCCGUACGCCAUGUGCCCUCAUGGAUUCAUCCACCGCUCACUCUCGUCCCACCUUAUCUCUUCCCCUCCACUCGUUUCUCCCUUUCCCUUUUCAUUGUUCUCUUAUUCGUCAGCUGUUAGAUGAGACACUGGAGGGAAAUCAGGAGGACUGUCGACGGAGUUGAGGAAUCGAGUGCAGGAUCGUCGUGCAGUCGCAGUCCCGAUAUCCCACACGUGUUGCUGCCCUAACAAUUGAAAAUCGGGGAUCAUCUGCCAUUGUUGUAGGAGAGGAGAGCCGCACAACGCUGACCACCCUGUUGUCGUGAGUUGCAGGGCAGCCAUCGCUGCUGAUAAGGGCUCGUCGUAUCGCCGCUCGAGGGUGUGGCGCUGCCGCAAAAGGAGAUGUCGCAGCACCCGUGAAGUUGCAAAGUGGCAACGGUCCGCUUGAGGAUGAGGCGUUGCAGCUCUCGUCGUGCUACAAUGGAGUACUCACCGGCGGCAUGCAAUGCUGGUCGGUGUUGCCGAAGCUGCAGUGCAACGGUCACAAUGCUGCAAUGGAGCGCUCGCGUGAGUAGUCGGUGCUGCGGCGAGGCUGUUGCGUUGCAACAGUUGCGACUCUACAGGGAGAAACGGGUGCUUCGAUGCAGCUUUGUCGGUGGUUGUUUGUGCUGCGGCGCAACGUUGUCGGAGCUCCGAUGGGCGCUCAUGAUGAUGCAUGGACGAUGUUGGUGCUUCGAUGCAGCGCUCAUCGACGACUAUCGUGCUGCAAUGCAAUGCUCAUCGGUGGCUGUUGGAAGGUAAGACAGGGGUGUGGCAGGUGAACCUACUGAUGAGCAUUAGUGAUGGAUAUGACCCCUACCACGAAGCAGAGGCUGGGAGGCAGGCGACGACCAGAGGAGAAAUAAGCAGGACAUGUUGACACGGUUUUGCAUUGACCGAUCCAGCUGCUACGCGGGACGGCUCCAACGGCUUUCGACCCGACUGAUUUUCUCUAGAAAUGAGCCGGAUGAUCCCUAGCAGUGGCCAUGUAUUCCUAUAAAGAUAUUGUCAUGACAUUCUUUUUUUCGGAAUGAAAAGGAGUUUAUUCUAAUAUUAUAGGGUUACAAUCACGAGUCAAAUGCUCCUCACAAAACAGAGGACUCAUGUUCAACCAUACCGCAGGGCAACACUCGAUACGGCUAUAAUGUGUGAGAAGAUGUGCUACCCUAUUUUGCUCUCUACCAAUUUUACAAGGAACAAACUCACUAACAACUAUGUGAUUUUUAAUGUUAGCAUCCAACUGACUAAAGAUUGAUCUCGAAAGACUGACGCCUGAGAGUACUGUCAAGGCAUUCGUAGAGUCGUGUUGGACGAUUACCGGCUUGUUUGAAUGCUCAAUGGUCAAUGCCAUACCUUGCAUGAUUGCGUGAAUUUCUGCAUCAAGUGCGUCAUUGCAAUGAAAGAUAUACUUGUAUGCAUCAAAGUUCGCGGAAUCAUCCUCAUUUCACAGAACCAUUCCAGCACAUGCACGCCCAUCAUGACUCGAAAAUGAGCCUCAAACAGAAAAGGCACACCAUCCAGCUGUUGGAAAUAUGCCCUAGAGGCAAUGAUAAAAUAGUUAUUAUUAUAUUUCCUGUUUCAAGAUAAUCGUUUAUUAUCCAUGCUAUAAUUGUAUUGAAUGAAAGCAUAAAUGCAUGUGUGGAUAUAUAGACAAAACAAAGUCCCUAGUAAGCCUCCAGUUGACUAGCCAGUUGAUCAAGGAUGGUUAAGGUUUUCUGACCAUAUGCAAGUGUUGUCACUUGAUGACUGGAUCACAUCAUUAGGAGAAUGAUGUGAUGGACAAGACCCAAACUAUAAACGUAGCAUGUGAUCGUGUCAUUUUGUUUCUAUUUUUUCUGCGUGUCAAGUAUUCAUUCCUAUGACCAUGAGAUCAUGUAACUCACUGACACCGAAGGAAUACCUUGUGUGUAUCAAACGUCGCAAUGUUACUAGGUGACUAUAAAGAUGCUCUACACGUAUCUCCGAAGGUGUCCAUUGAGUUAGCGUGGAUCAAGACUGGGAUUUGUCACUCCGUGUGACGGAGAGGUAUCUCGGGGCCCACUCGGUAAUACAACAUCACAUAUAAGCCUUGCAAGCAAUGUGACUAAAGUGUUAGUCACGGGAUCUUGUAUUAUGGAACGAGUAAAGAGACUUGCCGAUAACGAGAUUGAAAUAGGUAUAGGGAUACCGAUGAUCAAAUCUCGGGCAAGUAACACACCGAAGGGCAAAGGGAAUGGUAUACGGGAUUAUAUGAAUCCUUGGCACAAAGGUUCAACCGAUAAGAUCUUCGUAGAAUAUGUAGGAUCAAAUAUGGACAUCCAGGUCCCGCUAUUGGAUAUUGACCGGGGAGUGUCUCAGGUCAUGUCUGCAUAGUUCUCGAACCCGCAGGGUCUGCACACUUAAGGUUCAGUGACGUUUCGGUAUAGUUGAGUUAUAGGUGUUGGUGACCGAAGGUUGUUCGGAGUCCCGGAUGAGAUCACGGACAUCACGAGGAUUUCUGGAAUGGUCCGGAAACGAAGAUUGAUAUAUAGGAUUGUUUCAUUUGGCCUCCGGAAAGAUUUCAGGCAUUACCGGCAGUGUACCGGGAGUGACGAAUGGGUUCCGGGUUUUUACCGGGAGGGAGCCACCCACCCGGGAGAGAACCCAACAUCACAUGGGUGGCGCACCAGCCUUUGGUGGGCUGGUGAGGCCAGCCCAAUGGGUCUAUGUCGGCUAGAAGAAAAAUCAAAGGAGAAAAAGAAAAAAAAUGAGGUGGGAAGGAAGGAGGGGACUCCUCCUUCCCCAAACUGAAUUGGAGUUGGAGUCCCCUCCUCCUCCACUCGACCGACGCCCUAGGGGCUCUCUUGAGCCCCAAGGCUAGUCCCCCCCUCCUGUAUAUAUUAGAGGUUUAGGAUUUUUGGUGACACAACUUUAGCCAUGUGCAACUGUAAACCUCUACUUCGUAGUUCUUCCUCUAGAUCGGUUUUCUAUGGAGCUCGGGCGGAGCCUUGCAGGAAUAGAUCAUCACCAUUACCGGGGCGCCAUCACACUGUCGUGGAACUCAUCUACUUCACCGUCUCUCUUGCUGGACCAAGAAGGCGGAGAUCGUCAUCGAGCUGUACGUGUGCUGAACGCGGAGGUGCCGUCCGUAAGGCGCUAGAUUAGAACGGAUCGUGGGACGACGGUGAUUUGAAUCACGAAGCUGUUCCACUACAUCAACCGCGUUUCUUAACGCUUCCCACUUAGCGAUCUACAAGGGUAUGUGGAUCCGAUCUCCCUCUCGUAGAUGAACAUCACCAUGAUCGGUCUUCGUGGGCGUAGGAAUUUUUUUGUUUCCCAUGCAACGUUCCCCAACAGUGGCAUCAUGAGCUAGGUUCAUGCGUAGAUGUAAUCUCGAGUAGAACACAAAAGUUUUUGUGGGCGUUGAUGUUCGAUUUGCUGCCCUCCUUAGUAUUUUCUCGAUUCGGUGGUAUUGUUGGAUUGAAGCGGCCCGGACCAACAUUACUCGUACGCUUACGAGAGACCGGUCCCAUCGACUAACAUGCAAAUUGUUGCAUAAAGAUGACUGGCGGGUGUCUGUUUCUUCAACUUUAGUUGAAUUGGAUUUGACCGAGGCGGUCCUUGGAGAAAGGUUAAAUAGCAAUUUGCUCAUCUCCGUUGUGGUUUUGCGUAAGUAAGAUGCGAUCAUACUAGAUACCCAUAUCAGCCACGUAAACACAUGCAACAACAAAUUAGAGGACGUCUAACUUGUUUUUGCAGGGUAUGCAUGUGAUGUGAUGUGGCCAAAGACAUGAUGUAAUAUAUUGGAUGUAUGAGAUGAUCAUGUUGUGAUAGUUAAAUAUCGACUUGCACGUCGAUGCUACGGCAACCGGCAAGAGCCAUAGGUUUGUCUCUAAACUAACGUUUGUGUUCGCAGAUGCGUUUACUAUAUUGCUAGGUUGUAGCUUUAGUAGUAAUAGCAUAGUUAGCACGACAACCUCGAUGGCGGCACAAUGAUGGAGAUCAUGGUGUGGCGCCCGUGACGAUGAAGAUCAUGCUGGUGUUUGGUGAUGGAGAUCAAGAAACACAAGAUCAUGGCCAUAUCAUGUCACUUAUGAAUUGCAUGUGAUGUUAAUCCUUUUAUGCACCUUAUCUUGCUUAGAACGACGAUAGAAUUAUAAGGUGAUCCCUCACUAAAUUUCAAGAUAAAAUUAUGUUAUACCCGACUGUGCACCGUUGCGGCAGUUCGUCGUUUCGAGACACCGCGUGAUGAUCAGGCGUGAUAGACUCAAUAUUCACAUACAACGGGUGCAAAACAGUUGCACACGCGGAACACUCGGGUUAAACUUGACGAGCCUAGCAUGUGCAGACAUGGUCUCGGAACACAUGCGACCGAAAGGUCGAGCAUGAAUCAUAUACUCCAUCCGUUCCUAAAUAUAAGUCUUUUAAGAUAUUUCACUAGUAGUUUACAUACGGAGCAAAAUGAGUGAAUCUACACUCUAAAUUAUGUCUAUAUACAUCUGUAUGUAGUCCACUAAUAAAACUUCUUUAAAGACUUAUAUUUAGGAACGAAGGGAGUAGUUAAUAUGAUUAAUAUAGAGAUGUUUACCACUGAAACUACACUCAACUCACGUGAUGAUCGGACUUGAGUUAGUGAAUUUGGAUCAUGCCACACUCAAGUAACUAGAGGGAUGUCUAUUUGAGUGGGAGUUUAUUAGUAAUUUGAUUAGCUAAACUCUAAUUGUCUUCAACAUAGUCAAGUCCAUUUUGAAAUAUUUUAUGUUGUAGAUCAAUGGCUCACGGAGUAGCAACCGUGAAUUUCAAUACGUUCCUAGAGAAAGCUAAGCUGAAAGAUGAUGGUAGCAACUUUGUAGACUGGGCUCGUAAUCUAAGGCUCAUCCUACAAGCUGGGAAAAAGAAUUAUAUCCUUGAUGCAGCGCUAGGAGAUGAACCACCCGCUACGUCUGAUCAAGAUGUUUUGAAUGCUUGGCAAGCACGUAAGGAGGACUACCCAGUAGUUCAAUGUGUAGUCUUGUAUGGCUUAGAACCGGGACUCCAACGAUGCUUUGAACGUCAUGGAGCAUAUGAGAUGUUCCAGGAGUUAACGUUUAUCUUUUAGAAGAAUGCCCGGAUCGAGAGGUAUGAGACCUCCGAUAAAUUCUGAUCUUGCAAAAUGGAGGAGAAUUUGUCUGUCAGUGAACAUGUGCUCAAAAUGUCUGGGUACUCAAAUCGUCUAGCUGAGCUGGGAGUUGAACUUCCGCAAGAGGCUAUCACUGACAGAAUUCUUCAAUCACUGCCACCUAGCUACAAGAGCUUUGUGUUGAACUAUAACAUGCAAGGGAUGAACAAGUCACCCGCGAGUUAUUCGCGAUGCUGAAAGUCGCAGAGUCAGAACUCCGGAAAGAACAUCAAGUGUUGAUGGUCAAUAAGACCACUGGUUUCAAGAGAAACAGCAAAGACAAGAAGGGUAACUCUAAGAAGAGCGGCAAAAUUGUUGCCACUCCGACGAAGAAACCUAAGGCUGGACCUAAGCCGGAAACUGAGUGUUAUUAUUGCAAGGGGAUGGGUCACUCGAAGCGCAACUGACCAAGUAUUUUUUUGAUAAGAAGGCGGCCAACGCCAAACCAGGUAUAUGUGAUAUACAUGUUAUUGAUGUGUAUCUAACCAACUCUCAUAGUAGUGCCUCGGUAUUUGAUACCGGUUAUGUUGCUCAUAUUUGCAACUCGCCCAUGGGUGGCGCACCAGCCCUUGGUGGGCUAGUGAGGCCAGCCCAAUGGGGCUAUGUCGGCUAGAAGAAAAAUCAAAGGAGAAAAAAAGGAAGGUGGGAAGGAAGGAGGGGACUCCUCCUUCCCUAAACCGAAUUGGAGUUGGAGUCCCCUCCUCCUCCACUCGCCCGACGCCCUAGAGGCUCUCUUGAGCCCCAAGGCUAGCCCCUCCCCUCCUCCUAUAUAUACUAGAGGUUUUAGGGUUUUUGUGACACAACUUUAGCCACGUGCAACCCUAAACCUAUACUUCGUAGUUCUUCCUCUAGAUCGGUUUUCUGUGGAGCUCGGGCGGAGCCCUGCAGGAAUAGAUCAUCACCAUCACCGGCGCGCCGUCACUCUGACGGAGAACUCAUCUACUUCCCCGUCUCUUUUGCUGGAUCAAGAAGGCGGAGAUCGUCAUCGAGUUAAACGCGGAGGUGCCUUCCGUUCGACGCUACAUCGGAACGGAUCGUGGGACGACAGUGAUUUGAAUCACGAAGUUGUGCACUACAUCAAUCGCGUUUCUUAACGCUUCACGCUUAGCGAUCUACAAGGGUAUGUGGACCGAUCUCCCUCUCAUAGAUGAACAUCAUCAUGAUAGGUCUUCGUGUGCGUAAUUUUUUUUGUUUCCCAUGCAACGUUCCCCAACACCAGCAGGUGGAUGAGGCCAUGGUACAAUAAGUAGCACACGUUUGUUGUGUACACAGCUUGGCCUUCCUCCAUCGUUGGCAUUUUUCCUUCUAUGAUUUCUUCCGUAUUGAACUUAGUUGCCAAGUUAAGCGACUUAUAAUAGAUGUUCAAAUAGUCAACUAUAACUUGAAUCGGGGUCUCACACUUCCCAUGUGUAAAAUCAUUCUGAAGUUGCCAAAUUCGUCAAAUGGUCAUGAUCACCAUGUCCUUGGUUUGUACCGAACAUUUAUACAAGAGUUGCAAGGGCCAAUCCUUCCCUCAUACUAUCCCUUACAACGAACAUUCACCAGCUAUCCAUUGUUGUGCAAGAAACUUAACUAAUACAUGGGGAGGUGUUCUUCGUCGAGGCAUUAUCGCUUCCCUACAACAUGCAAUUCAUGAAUAAGUCUCCACCAAAAACAAAGAGUUGAUGCUUUUUCCGCCCCAAUCACUUUGGCUCCUCAGUGUAAUGCUCGUCCUUUCAAAGUGUUGGAACACCGGGAAUGCAAAGGCAUUUCGUCAGCUUGAUAUCCAUUCAGACACAUUACUUCGACUUACGAUUUCAUAUUUGGACCUUUGGUCUCAUAGACUUUGUAAACAUGAGUUGAAAAUGCCUGAACUUCCAUGCCUCCGGUUCAUGUCGAAUAAGGAAAAAAAACAUUAUCCUACACGAAGGCAGCGAUUUUUCUUCACCCAUGAUUAAAAAGAAACAAUUCUCAUAUAUUUCUCCCGGAGCACUCUCCAACAUGAAAUUUCUCGCUUCGUCACCUUAAGUGUUUCUCUGGCCAGGAAUAAUUACACCUUUUAGGGCAUGAAUCCAACCACUAGUCCGGUUCGGUCCUAUUCCCUCAGUUCAUAAAUAUUUGUCUUUCUAGAGAUUCCACUACGGACUACAAAAGGAUGCAUAUAGACAUAAUUUAGAGUGUAAGUUCACUCAUUUUGCUCCGUAUGUAGUCCGUAGUUGAAUCUCUAAAAAGACAAAUAUUUAAGAACGGAGGGAGUACUUUCUAGGAAAAAAUCUGGUGCACCGACAAGCCAAAAAUCUACACCCUAUAUGAUGAUUUACACCAAUUCAUCUUUGACAUGGCUAGUAUAAAACCGCCCACAUAGCACUGCUGCUGAAACAAGAUCAAGCUCGCAUCAUAUACGUGUGUCGACCUAUAUCGUUCUGCCCUAUAAAAGCUUCAGCCAAACAGUGAUAAAUAGACUCAAACCUACAAUACCUUUCAUAUGUAUAGGGGCCGACAAAUGAGUAUCCUUUGAUGUUUGCAACUCCUGUGUCAGCGAUGAAGGAAACACCGAACGUUUAUUUUUUCCCAGCCCAGGAGAAUCGGUUUCCAGCAACAGCCCUGUCAAUUCUGUAUAGAUACCAAAGUUGGGUAGAGUUUUAUCAGAGACUUGCAAUGGAUAUCUUCUGAGCACCGAGAAGAUAUCUCCAUUUUGGCUGCUGACUAGCUCACAUUUUGACACUACGGUUAUCCUAUACUCAGUGUGUUCAUUGCAUCACUCGUAAGGACAGAAAACAUAUCCAUGGUGUUUUAAACUGGAAACCGCACGUUCUUCAAUCUUUUCAGUGUAGACAACGUGUGUUUCAGCCGCUCUGAACUGCAACCUGCGUUUCAGUGCGUUCUCGGCGUUUUUCUUGUUGUUGCUGUUCUAAUCACCUUCGAUUUCGUGCCGCCGAUCAUGGUAGUACCGGAAUUCAUACAUGUAGUAUUUGAGCAUGUCUAACAAUAUGUGAUUCUCUGAAGAACUCCACGCAUCAAAGGUACUGCGCUAAACUGAGUGACAAUAAUUAUGCACCACAGCACACAGUAUUUCUCAUUUCUUCAUCCAACAACUGAAUGAUAUCACAUAUUCUAUCUGACGGAUCAAGUUCCUGCCCGCCUGAUACAAACACCUUAGCAGCACCUUUCAGUUGGAUCCAGCUACAGCCAGGAGACUUCUUGACACCAUGCUCUGCCAUGGCUCUUCUCACCCCCUCCGCUUCCUUCCACUGCCCAGUGGCGCACAACAUGUUGGACAACAUCACAUACCCAGUGUCUCUCACAGGCUCCAUCGACACCAUGCCGCUCCCCACCUUCCUUCCGAUUCUUGUGUCCAGUUGCACCGAUGAGUAGGCACUAAGCAGAGACUCACGCAUAUCGCUGCUGUGCAUCUGAACCGUUUCAGAGUAUUGCUCCAGCACCUCAAUGGCUUUUGCGAUGUUCCCAGAUCUAGCAUACAUGUCGAGAACGCAAGCUAAAUGCUCCGGUGUUGGCUUCAGUCCAUGGACAGACACCAUCGACUCAAAGAAGGCUCUCCCUUGCUCCAGGAGGCCAGAAUGGCUGCAGGCUGUGAGCAAGCCUGUGAAUGUGACUUCGUCGGGGCAAACAUCCUGGGACAACAUCCUUUCAUACACUGCAAAUGCUUGCUUUGCCCAUCCAUUUAUUGCAAACCCGAACAACAUGGUGUUCCAUGACACUGUGUCCUUCUGAAGAACGGCAUGGAACACAUUGCUUGCCCCCUCGACGUCUCCGCACUUUGCAUACAUGUCCAUCAAACUGUUGGCCACGUACAAGUAGCAUGCAUAACCCGUUUGGAAUGCACAGCCAUGAAUCAUCCUUCCACUGGCCAUAGAUGCCGCAGCAGCGCAAGCAUGAAGCACAGCACCAAAGGUGAAGUCGUCAGGAUGGAUAUGCCCGUGUUCCAACAUCUUACUAAAUAGUGCAAGGGCCUCAUCCGCACAGCCAUUCCUCGCAAAACCUCCAAUCAUCGAAGUCCAGGAGAUGUCAUUGGUCUCAGGAGCACUUUGAAACAGAGCAGCAGCUUGUUCAAUGUGGCCAAGCCUUGUGUGUGCGUCGAUCAGUGAAUUCCAUGACACAACGGUUCUACUCUCCAUAGACUCGAAGAUCUUGACAGCACAAUCCAGCAAGCUGAACUUACUGUAGAAGGAAAUAAGCGAGUUAUUGACCUCAGGGAUGGCACUCCAGCCACUCUGAACCACAAUCUUGUGGACUGCAGCGCCGGUGGAUGGGCAGGGCAGCUCCGUGCAAGCAUCGAUCAGAAUGCAGAGCGUCGCAUCGUCGCAGGAAAGCCCCGACACCCGCAUCUCGUUGAACAGAAGCAGACACUGCUUGGCAUUGCCACAGCGGGAAUACCCCGUGAGCAGCGUGUUCCAGGCAACACUGCUAACGCUUCCAGCGGGCAUUUCGUCGAACAGCUCGCGCGCGAGCGCCAUGCGGCCCGAUGCGACGUAGCCGUGGAGGAGCGAGCACCAGGAGAGCGCGUUGCGGUCGCGCAUCUCCCGGAAGGCGCGCGCGGCGUCGUCGGCGCGGGCGCACCUGGCGUACAUGGCGACGAGCGCGUUGCCGACGGGGAGCGGCGCGCGCAGGCCGAGCCGGAGGAGGCGGGCGUGGAGCUGCGCGCCGGCGCCGGGCGAGCGGAGGGCGGCCGCCGCGGAGAGCGCGGCGGUGAGGGAGAAGGCGUCCGGACCGCGCAUGGCGGCGAAGAGGGCGAGNNNNNNNNNNNNNNNNNNNNNNNNNNNNNNNNNNNNNNNNNNNNNNNNNNNNNNNNNNNNNNNNNNNNNNNNNNNNNNNNNNNNNNNNNNNNNNNNNNNNACGCGGUUGAUGUAGUGGAACGUCCUCACGUCUCUCGAUCCGCCCCGCGAACAAUCCCGCGAUCAGUCCCACGAUCUAGUACCGAACGGACGGCCCCUCCGCGUUCAGCACACGUACAGCUCGACGAUGCUCUCGGCCUUCUUGAUCCAGCAAGAGAGACGGAGAGGUAGAAGAGUUCUCCGGCAGCGUGACGGCGCUCCGGAGGUUGGUGAUGACCUUGUCUCAGCAGGGCUCCGCCCGAGCUCCGCAGAAACACGAUCUAGAGGAAAAACUAUGGAGGUAUGUGGUCGGGCAGCCGUGAGAAAGUCGUCUCAAAUCUGCCCUAAAAGCCCCAUAUAUAUAGGAGGAGGGAGGGGGACCUUGCCUUGGGGUCCAAGGGAACCCCAAGGGGUCGGCCGAGCCAGGGGGGAGGACUCUCCCCCCCCCCCAAACCGAGUCCUACUUGGUUUGGUGGGAGGGAGUCCUUCCCCCUUCCCACUUCUUCCUCUUUUUUUUUCUUCCUUUGAUUUUUCUUCCUUGGCGCAUAGGAUUUGGUGGGCUGUCCCACCAGCCCACUAAGGGCUGGUGUGACCCCCACAAAUACCUAUGGGCUUCCCCGGAGUGGGUUGCCCCCCUCCGGUGAACUCCCGGAACCCAUUCGUCAUUCCCGGUACAUUCCCGGCAACUCCGAAAACCUUCCGGUAAUCAAAUGAGGUCAUCCUAUAUAUCAAUCUUCGUUUCCGGACCAUUCCGGAAACCCUCGUGACGUCCGUGAUCUCAUCCGGGUCUCCGAACAACAUUCCGUAACCAACCAUAUAACUCAAAUACGCAUAAAACAACGUCGAACCUUNNNNNNNNNNNNNNNNNNNNNNNNNNNNNNNNNNNNNNNNNNNNNNNNNNNNNNNNNNNNNNNNNNNNNNNNNNNNNNNNNNNNNNNNNNNNNNNNNNNNAAUAAUAACUAUACAUUUAUUAUUGCCUCUAGGGCAUAAUUCCAACAUAGAUGUCAUGCAAGUUUUUUUCCCUAAGCACGUAUGACUACAUACGGAAUACAUGCCUACAUUAGAUUGACGAAUGGGAGCUAGUUACUUCUCUCUCCGUGUUAUAACUGUUACAUGAUGAAUCACAUCUGACAUAAUCAUCCAUCACCGAUCCGAUGCCUACGAGUCUUUUACUACUGGUCCUUGCUACGUUACUCUGUUGCUACUGCUGUCACUGCUGCUACUGUUACUCCGUCACUACUGCUGUCACUGCUGCUACUGUUACUUUGUUGCUACUGAUUACAGUUGCUACUGCUGCUAUCAUACUACCUUGCUACUGAUACUUUGCUGCAGUUACUAAAUCUUUCAGGUGUGGUUGAAUUGACAACUCAACUGCUAAUACUUGAGAAUAUUCUUUCGCUUCCCCUUGAGCCGAAUCAAUAAAUUUGGGUUGAAUACUCUACCCUCGAAAACUGUUGCGAUCUCCUAUACUUGUGGGUUAUCAAGACCUUUUUCUGGCACUUUGCUGGGGAAGCACAUCUAUAUUCUCUGAGUCACUUGGGAUUUACGUCUGCUGGUCACUAUGAAGAAUCCGAUAGAUCCAAGAACUAAAGCCUUGCCCUCAACUACGAGGACAGGUAAAAAACUGCCAUCUAGCUCUGCACUUGAUUCACCUUCAGUUAUGAGUAAGUUUGCGACACCGCCCCCUGCUAGAAAUCUUGAUAUGUCGCAUGUGCUUGAUUUUGCUAGUUCUGCUGCCCAUGAUGCUUAUGAUGAUGCUAUGCUUGAUACUGCUUUGCCACUAGGUGCAUUCCUUGAUGUACAAAUUGCUAGAGUUGCUGCUAGAUGUGAUGAUACUUCUGAAACUGCUGAUACUAUUGAAGUAGAACCUGCUAUUUUGCCUGCUAGAACUAGCUCUUCUAGAAAUGAAUUGCCUGAUAUGUCUGAGCGUUAUGUUAUGGAGGGAGAGAUAGCUGAGGACUUUCUUGCGUGUAAGGAUAGCUAUGAUGUUGAUAAAUUACUGCUCAAGUGGAAAGAAAAAUGUAUGAACGCUAGGAUGAAAUAUGACCCGAAGUUUGCUACUUCGCCUAUCUUUGUUACCGAUAAGGAUUAUGAAUUCUCUGUCGACCCUGAGUUAAUCACUCUGGUCGAAUCUGAACCUUUUCACGGUUAUGAGUCUGAAACGGUUGUAGCCCAUCUUACCAAACUGCACAAUAUAGCCACCCUAUUCACGAGUGAGGAAAAGAUCCAUCACUACUAUAUCCUCAAGUUGUUUCCUUUCUCGCUAAAGGAUGAUGCUAAGACUUGGUUCACUUAUCUUUCUCCUGGUUGUGUGCGUAGCCCCCAGGAUAUGGUCUACUACUUCUUUGAAAAAUAUUUCCCUGCCCAUAAGAAGCAAGCUGCCUUGCAGGAAAUAUACAACUUUGCUCAAGCUGAAGAAGAGAGUCUCCCACAAGCUUGGGGGAGGCUCGUCCAACUACUGAAUGCUUUGCCUGAUCACCCUCUUGAUAAGAAUGAAAUAUUUGAUAUCUUCUAUAAUGGACUUACCGAUGCUUCCAGAGACCACCUAGAUACUUGUGUUGGUUGUGUUUUUAGGGAACGAACCGUAGAACAAGCUGAGAUCCUAUUGAAUAACAUCUUGUGCAAUGAGAAUGCUUGGACUAUUCCCGAACCACCUCCUAAGCCAACUCCGAAGAAAAGAGGUAUUCUAUUCCCCAGUCCUGAAGAUAUGCAAGAAGCUAAGAAAUCUAUGCGAGAGAAAGGCAUUAAAUCUGAAGAUGUCAAAAAUCUACCACCUAUCGAAGAGAUCCAUGGUCUUGAUAACCCGAUACAGGUAGUAGAAGUAAAUUCUCUGCGUAGGUUUGAUGAGAGUGAUAUUCCUUUUGAUAAACCUGCUAGCCUAUGCCUAGAUGAAUUUGAUAACUUUGUUGCCAAACAACAGAGUUUCAAUGAUUAUGUUAGCACACAAUUGGAACAAAAUGCUCGUAUGCUUAGUCAUUUAAGUGCUUGUGUGGACAAAAAUGUCAAUGAUCUUAAGCUCUUGAGUAAACAUGCCUCUAUGGUUACUACUCAGGUAGAACAAGUACUUAAGGCUCAUAAUGACUUGCUCAAUGAGUUGAAUGACAAUUAUGUUAGAGUCGUUACUAGAGGCGGUAGAAUGACUCAAGAACCUUUGUAUCCUGAGGGUCAUCCUAAGAGAACUGAAAAGAUUCUCAAGGAGUUAGCAUUGAUGCACCUAGUCAUCCUAGGAAGAAGAAGAAGGAUGAUAGGAACCUGCACGCUAGCAACCCUGUUGCUGCUACACCUGAGAGUCCAAACGAUGUCUCUGUCUCUGAUGCUGAAACAUAAUCUGGUGAUGAACAUGAGCCUAAUGAUAAUAUCGAUAGUGAUGUUCAUGAAGAUGCCCAACAUAGCAAUGAUAAGGAUGUGGAGAUUGAACCUGUUGAUCUUGAUAACCCAGAGCCUAAGAAUAGAAGAUACAAUAAGAAUGACUUUGCUGCUAGGAAGCAUGGUAAAGAAAGGGAACCAUGGGUUCAUAAACCUAUGCCCUUUCCUCCCAAACCAUCCAAGAAAAAGGAUGACGAGGAUUUUGAGCAAUUUUUUGAAAUGAUUAGACAUGUCUUUCUCCUAAUGCGUUUGACAGAUAUGCUCAAGAUGUCUCUGUAUGCUAAGUACAUGAAGGAUAUUGUGACUAAUAUGAGGAGGAUACCUGAGGUUGAGAUUUCCAUCAUGCUCGCUAAUUAUACCUUCAAGGGUGGAACUCCUAAGAAACUAGGUGAUCCCGGUGUGCCCACUAUACCUUGCUCCAUUAAAGGAAACUACGUUAGAACUGCUUUAUGCGACCUUGGGGCCAGUGUUAGUGUUAUGCCUCUCUCUCUUUAUCGUAGACUUGAACUAGAUAAGUUGACAGCCACUGAAAUCUCUCUGCAAAUGGCCGAUAAAUCAAAUGCUUUCCCUAUCGGCAUUUGCGAGGAUGUGCCUGUUGUGGUUGCCAACGUCACUAUCUUAACAGACUUUGUUAUCUUGGAUAUUCCCGCGGACAUGCCAUGGCGGUCAUCCUCGGAAGACCCUUUUUAAACACUGCAGGGGCUGUUAUAGAUUGCAACAAAGGCAAUGUCACUUUCCAUGUCAACGGUAAUGAGCAUACGGUGCACUUUUCGAAGAAACAAUAUCGAGUACAUUGCAUCAGUGCUAUCGAAAAAACUUCAUCGAUUCUUAUUGGGAGCUUUGAAUGCCCUAUUCCUCAUGUUAAGAUGAAGUAUGAUUUGCUUGUUGGGGAGAUACACAUCCCCAUUGAGGUGACCUAGUGACUAUUUGAAAAUUCUCCGGUCUCUUUUUCGAUUCGGAAAAGUUUAUCAAGGAGACUUGAUCAACCUCAUUGACAGAUUUCUUUCGAUGGACCAUGAGAUGGAUGAAUCGAGGAGUCACAAACCUCUAUUCCAAGCUUUCACCUUCGGUUGCUUAGAAUAAAAAUGACAGGUUUAGUUUAGUUUUCCCUGUUUUCUGUUUUAGCGUCCGGUAGAAAAGUACCCCGAAAAUAAAAGUUCUCCAAACGUCCUGAAAAUCAAGUAUGAUUUUUUCUGGAUUUUUUGAAAAAUACUGAGACGAAUAGCUAGUCUGGGGUUGCACCAGUGGGCCACAAGCCCUGGAGGCGCAGGAACCCCCUGGCCGCGCCUACCUGGCUUGUGGGUCCCACGUGCACCCCCUCCACUCAUUCUAGCUCCCAUCUGGUUCUCCUAACUCUAGAAAAAAAUCGUCUUGCAGCUCAAACCCGUGUUCUUGCUCCUCUUGCUGGGAUUUUCGAUCUCCUUGCUCAAAGCACCAUUCUCCGAACUAUUUUGGGAAAUUACUCCUUGGUAAGUGACUCCUCCAUUGUCCAAUUAGUUUUUGCUCUAGUGCCUUGCACUUCGCGUAUUUUUGCUGCCUUGGUGACCAUGUUAUUGAGCUUUGCAUGCUAAUUUUAGCUGGUCCCAAGUGGUUUUGAUGCGUAAUAUGGCCUCUAGGCACUUGUGGGAGUAGUUGCUACGAGUUUCGUUGAGCCUUGUUCACUUUUCCUUAGAAUCACUAAAAUUUCAGAAAUUUUCAGAGAUAGAAAAAGGAAAAGAUGAGGAGGUUCUUAAGAGGCUCUUCAAGCCGUGACCCCAAGGAUGAUGGAAGUGAGAAGAAGCCCAAGUAUCUGGUCCCUCGAGUCGCAGAAGUUCAAGCGUGCGAGUGGCCAAGCGGUGUGUUCUUACGCGCCGCCAGACUUUAUGAGGAAUUUUACUACUUGGUGGAGAACGCGGGCCUUACCGCCUUCGUUGAAGAUAAGUGUCCGCAAUACCUCCUCCUCACUAAUAUCUUCGUACAAAUCUUUAACUUCUAUCCGAGGAAGAAUCCUCCUAUGGUUGAGUUCAAACUUUAUGAUAUCCCCCAGCGCAUGUCACUCCAGGAUUUUUGCAAUGUCUGCAAAUUACCUUACAUUGGGGAUAUUCAUGAACCUCGUCCACGGGACUUGGAGGCUUUCAUCGGUACAAUUGUUGUAGGAGAGGAGAGAGGAGUGUCUUGCGCUAGAGCUAUUAGCAUUCAUUUUCCCGUGCUACGGUACUUCUCAUUAUUCGUGGGAAAAUGUUUGAUUGGUCGUGGGAAAGCUGGGUCACUUAGUUCCCCAGAUCUUGCGGUCUUGGGCGAAGCCCUUUAUAAUGAUAAAACUUAUAGCUUGGGCGCUAUAGUAGCUCAACGGUUGAACACGAACCAUUCUAAAGGCAUUGUCUAUGGAGGUAUCUAUGCUAGUCGUCUUGCUAGACACUUUAAGAUACCUAUUAGACUGGAGGAGGAAGAAGAGAUUCUUCUUCCCGAGAGAUAUCUAGAUUACGAUAGCAUGGUUCGCCAUGACUUUCUUGAUAGAGAUAUAAAUAGAAGGAUGAUCUAUAACCUGGUAUUUAGUCAGGGUACUCGUGAGACUAUUACUUUGCCUGCUCCUUAUUUGUUCAAUCUUCAUGCAUGUAGGUACAUUAUUAUGCCCUUGGACAUCUACGCAUAUUGGGGCUUGGCCCAACCACAGGUGCCCGUGCCCGAGCCACCAGUCGAGUACCAGACGCCGGUUUAUCAGUGGGAGCCAGAGGAGCUCACACAGCAUUGGCAUCCUCAGUCCACUCUGGAGUAUCCCGGAGCUAGUUAUUUCCCUCCUUGGGAGUAGCCCAACUUAGGCCAAAAGCCUAAGCUUGUGGGAGUACGUGUUUCUCACCGACUUUACAUUCUUGCUUAUGCUUUCACUUUGUUCGUCGGUGUUCACACUUUGCCAUUGUAUCAUCCAUGCUAGUUUAUUUCUUUUUCUCAUUUUCUUUUCGUGUGUCUGUCUAGUUUGAGAAAACCCAAAAAGAUUUUCUUUUUCUUCUCUUGCUUGUUGGGAGCUUUCCCGUGUAAAUAGUUUUCUUUUUCAUUGGGUCAAGGUAGAAGACCAUGGUUACAAUGUUUAAUGGCUCUCGCAUGCAUAUAUGUUUAUCUGUUAAAGAGCCAUAUUACUUUGUCUUCUCCUUUGUGUUUGCAUGCAGAUUCCAGCUUAGUCCAAUGCACAAGCACUCUUAUUAUUGUUCACAUCGUUCGGUCGUGAAAGUGAAAGGCAAUAAUGACGAUAUAUGAUGAAGUGACUGAGCCUGGAAAAGCUGGUAUGAACUCGAUCUAUUUUGUUUUUAUAAAUAUGACUAGCUCAUCGUGCCUGAUUCAGCUUUGUUGUGAGAGAAAGAUGUUUGCAACUUAGAGAUCAUAGUUGCUUAUGCCAUGCUUAUUUAGCUAGGAGCUUAUAAUGGUUUGUCUUGGAUGCCCACAUGAACUUUGAGAUGACUAUGAUGUAGUAUGAUAGGAUGGUAUCCUCCUUUGAAUGAUUCAAGUGGCUUGACUUGGCGCAUGUUCACGCAUGUAGUUGAAACAAAAUCACCAUAGCCUCUACGAUGUUCAUGUUCAUGGUGAUUUAUGUCCUACUCAUGCUUGCACUCAAUGUUAGUUAAUCUCGUUGCAUUUUGAUGACCGUUGUCGCUCUCUAGUUGGUCGCUUCCCAGUCUUUUGCUAGCCCUCACUUGUACUAAGCGGGAAUACUGCUUGUGCAUCCACUUCCAUAAACCCAAAGUUGUUCCAUAUGAGUCCACCAUACCUACCUAUAUGCGGUACCUACCUGCCGUUCCAAGUAAAUUUGCAUGUGCCAUUCUCUAAACCUUCAAGAAAUAAUAUGUUUUGCUUGCCCGAACCGCUCAUGUGGUGACAGGGGGCUAUCAAUAUCUUCCGUGCUAGGCGUGUUAUCCUCGAUAUGUGUUUAUUCACUAUCAUUCACGAGAAAGGGGCCGGUAAUUAGAAUGCCUAGUUCCAUGCUCAAAUCGAAAAGAUAAUUGCAAACAAAACUCUCCCUAGAUUGAUGUUGGUAUGGACGGCACCCAAGGAUUCGGCUAGUCGUGGAGUGUGAUUGAUCGGUGGUGGGGGAGUCAAAACUUUACUUUUCUGUUUGGGAACCGCCUAUAGCAUGUGUAGCGUGGAAGAUGAUGAGAACUCUUAGUCAUUGCGUUGACAAUGAAAGCAUGCCACCCAAAAUUAUUAUCUCUGUUUUCAAAGCUUGAGCUCUCGCACCUCUGCAAAUCAACGCUUCCCUCUGCGAAGGGCCUGUCUAUUUAUGUUCCUGUUGAGUCAUCCUCCUCUUAUAAAAGCACCAAUUAGAGAGCACCUCUCUCAUUUUUUAUGCUUUGCUUUUAACUGUGUUGAGUAUGACUCUGACUGGAUGUUCUUUGCCAUGAAUUACAAUGUUUAGUCAGCCCUUGGUCUUUGAAGGUGCUCUGCAUUUAUGUUUUGCGGUCUCAGAAAGAGCUAGCGAGAUACCAUCUGUUCGUACUGCUUCAUGAUUGUUUUGAUUGAAGUGUUGACGUUUGAGACUUAUUAUUAUUUGCUCGCUAGUUGAUUAUGUCGUUGAUAUGAGUUUAUCGUGAGACCUUGAUGUCAUUUGCUUAUGUGGUUUGUUUGUGAUCUUGCUGAAAUUCUGGUUAUGAGUUAGACAUAGUUGCAACCACAAGAUCAAACCGAGUUCGUCAAAUUUUUUCUUUUGUCCCUUUCAGUUUGUCAACUGAAUUGCUUGAGGACAAGUAAGGCUUUAAGCUUGGGGGAGUUGAUACGUCUCCGUUGUAUCUACUUUUCUGAACUCUUCUGCCCUUGUUUUGGACUCUAAUUUGCGUGAUUUGAAUGGAACUAACCCGGACUAACGUUGUUUUCAGCAGAAUUGCCAUGGUGUUGUUUUUGCGCAGAAAUAAAAGUUCUCGGAAUGACCUGAAAAUUUACGGAGAAUUUUUCUGGGAUUUAUGAAAAAUACUGGCGCAAGAAUUAGCGGAGGGAGUGGAGCCGUGAGCCCAUAAGCUCACCAGGCUCGGGCCCCCCUGGCCACGCAUGGCAGGCUUGUGGGGCCCACAAAGCUCCACCGCCUCUCAAUCCAGCUCUAUAUAGUCCGUUUCGUCCGGAAAAAAAUCAAGGAGAAGAGUUCAUCGCAUUUUACGAUACGGAGGCGCCGCCACCUCCUGUUCUUCAUCUGGAGGGCAGAUCUGGAGUCCGUUCUGGGCUCCGGAGAGGGGAGAUCGUCGCCAUCGUCAUCACCAACCUUCCUUCAUCGCCAAUUCCAUGAUGUUCUUCACCGUUCGUGAGUAAUCUUAUCGUAGGCUUGGUGUACGGUGAUGGGUUGGAUGAGAUCUAUCAUGUAAUCGAGUUAGUUUUGACGGGGAUCGAUCCUUAGUAUCCACUAUGUUCUGAGAUUGAUGUUGCUACUACUUUGCCAUGCUUAAUGCUUGUCACUAGGGCCCGGGUGCCAUGAUUUCAGAUCUGAACCUAUUAUGUUGUUGCCAAUAUAUAUGUGUUUUAGAUCCUAUCUUGCAAGUUGUAGUCACCUACUAUGUGUUAUGACCCGGCAACCCCGGAGUGACAAUAGCCGGAACCACUCCCGGAGAUGACCAUAGUAUGAGGAGUUCAUGUAUUCACAAAGUGUUAAUGCGUUGGUCCGGUUCUUUAUUAAAAGGAGAACCUUAAUAUCUCGUAGUUUCCAUUAGGACCCCGCUGCCACGGGAGGGAUGGACAAUAGAUGUCAUGCAAGUUUUUUCCCUAAGCAUGUAUGACUACAUACGGAAUACAUGCCUACAUUAGAUUGACGAACGGGAGCUAGUUACUUAUCUCUCCGUGUUAUAACUGUUACAUGAUGAAUCACAUCCGGCAUAAUCAUCCAUCACCGAUCCAAUGCCUACGAGUGUUUUACUACUGGUCCUUGCUACGUUACUCUGUUGCUACUGCUGUCACUACUGCUACUGUUACUCUGUCACCACUGAUGUCACUGCUGCUACUGUUACUUUGCUGCUACCGGUUACUGUUGGUACUGCUGCUAUCAUACUACCUUGCUACUGAUACUUUGUUGCAAAUACUAAAUCUUUUAGGUGUGGUUGAAUUGACAACUCAACUGCUAAUACUUGAGAAUAUUCUUUCGCUUCCCCUUGAGUCGAAUCAAUAAAUUUGGAUUGAAUACUCUACCCUCGAAAACUGUUGCGAUCCCCUAUACUUGUGGGUUAUCAAGCACCUCCGCCGGCUUGUUUUGCACGACCAUCGUUGACCUUGCAGGGAGGGGGAGUGGGUGGUGUGUAGCCGGUGUUGCAAAUCUCACCUAUGCAGCGGGAGGAACACCUGGUGCUGUAGACCUCGCCGCACCUGGCGACGAUGUCUGCUGCCACGCCGGCGAUGGAGUUCCGUUGCAGCAGGCGAGGCUAAGGGGAAGCUGCAUUGCAACAGGCCACAUCGAUGGCGAGCUGCAUGGCAGCACGAGAGGCUACGAGGACACUGUGAGGUCAUGCCAGUGGUAGAAGUUACGGGAAUGUUGCAUGCCAAAAAGCCACGCUGGCUGCGAAGCUAUGUUGCUAUGGACUAUGGGGACACUUCUGUCAUGCCCCCGGGGUGGAGCUGCGUUUUAGCAGACGGAUUAUGAUGUCGUUGCUGCCAUGCCCAAUGUGAGAGCUACGUUGCAAGAGUGGUCCAUUGCAACAGGGUGGCUGGAGACAACACUGCCAUGACCAACGACGAUGCAACUUCAAGCAGGGGCGGAGCCCAUGGGGGCGAGCAGGGGCCAGACCCCCCCCCNNNNNNNNNNNNNNNNNNNNNNNNNNNNNNNNNNNNNNNNNNNNNNNNNNNNNNNNNNCCCCCCCCCAUCGUUCGGCCACCCCCAUCGAUUUUCAGGGGGGCUGGAUGUAGAAGUUUUGUUAACUUGCGAUAAUUAGUACUAGAUCAUGGAAGUAAUUAUAUUGAUAUAAGUAGUCAAACACCAAGUUGGGAAAAGGCCCAAGCCUAGGAAGCAACUGACAUCGGCCCAUUAGAUGGAUGCGUAACUUUUGUAUUCUAGACCGAGUGCACCUGCACUACUCGAUGAUGUAUUAGUUGACUACCAGUAGUCGGCCCCGUGCGCUAGGGCAUCGUCAGCGUCUGGCGGCGACACAUGUGUUUGUUGAUUGUCCCCCCGUGCGCUAGGGCAUCGCCAGCAUCCGGCCACAAUGCGUGUAUUCGUCGUUUGUCACCCGUGUGUGCUAUGGGGAUCGCCUGCGGCGAGUCUAUGCGCCAAUUUCAUGAUAUCCAUGUGUUAGGCGCUUCAGCUUAUACCAUCAGAAUAACACUAUACCACUCGCGCCGGAUCUAAGGUAAUCAUAUUACGAUUUCAUGUCUUGGAUACCAUGUGUUAUUACUAUUGCUAAAUCUGUAUAUAAAACUGCUAGAUGCUAAAUACUGUUUGUUCAUCGGUUAUAAAUUAUACAUAUCGUCUAUACAUAACAGCCUCAAUAUCACAUAUUUUUAUAUAGAAACUGCCAAUCAAAUAUUUAGCGUAAAUAGAAAUUGCACAGCAAACUAGACAAUAUAAGAUUCUGAAUCUGUUACAUGCAUUUUUUUGUUGUGUUAGUGAUACAUCCAAACUAAUAAAAUUCUACAUGUUUUCUAAGUACAAAAUAUAUGUUAUCACGUGUUGGUCUUGUAUAGGCCCGGGCCCACAGUGGUGCAAACUGUGCGGCCCGUACAGGGCCCAAAAUUUUAGGGGGCCCAAAAAAUUUUAAGUAGGCCACGUACUAAAAAAAAACCUAUGGACUACUCACUACUCGACCAGUGGGCUGCUGGGAGCCAACGAGCCAGCGAGGCUCGAUGUCCCGCUGAGGCCAUCAAGGCAAGUAUCCAUCCAGCCAGAUUCUGCUUCCCCUAAUCACGCUGCUGCCGUUUUUUUGGAUCGUGGCAGCCUGCAGGUUGCCUCUUCGUCCGUUCGUCGCCUCGUCGUUCGUCUCCCCCUCGAGUCGCUCGUCCGCUCACAGGCUGGUCGUCGCCUCGUCGCUCGUCUCCUCCUCGAGUCCCUCGUCCAUUUGCAGGAUGCUCAUCGUGUCGUCGCUCGUCUCCUCGACGCCUCGUACUGUCAUACAAACUACAGACUACAGAGACUUUGCCUCCUCUCAAAAAUUUUAGAUUCGUGGACGUUUUCUUGUCCGAUUGAUCUUCAAGUUCUUUUUAUUCAUCGUCUAAUCGUCUUUAUAUUAUAUUUCAACAAUGCAGAUUUGAAUCAUCAUGGGAAAACAACAAUCUGAUGCCUAUAAACGCAAGAUAAAAACACAAGAACAAAAUUUAAUAAAUCUUAUAAAGAAGGUAUGGACAUAUUUGUUAAAAAAACACCAGAAGUAUCAUCUGGUAAUCGGUCUGUUGAUCCUUCUAGCCUUGCACUUGCAAUUUUUCCUUACAUUGAUUCAAGAUCUGCUCACACAGAGACAGAUAAUAUAGAGGUAGAGACAUAUAAUAUUGAGGCUGAUGAUUAUUUUCAAUAUGAUAUAUUUGACUCAAAAAACUGGAAUUCUCUUGAUUGUAAACAGAUUUAUAUCUUACCACAAAAUGAUCCAAAAAGAGACAAAUCAAUUAAGAAAGGUCCCAAAGAUAGACAUCGUAAAAGGUUUACUGCAGCCUUCUAUACUAGAUUCCUAUAUUUUCACACAGGGCCCCGGUUUUUGUCGGCCCGGCCCUGGUCUUGUAUGAUCAUUGUAUAAAAAAGUGUAUGAAAAUCUCUGGCAGGAGCUCGCCACCAUCAGGGUUAGUUUUCCUGCAUGUGUGUGGUGGGGUGGGCUGUAACUGGAUUUUCCUGCUCCUUUUUGUCGCAAGGCAAUGGGGGCGAAGCAGCCUCUCUAAUAUGUUGUGUAUCGAACGGUUAAGCCAACUUUAGAGUACGAUCCCAUUCGGUCCAGCUCUGUUUAUUUGGGUCAAAACAAACAAACCUCACUAUCCAGCGCGCAUCGUUCUGGACGCAUCUCGUCCGUUUUGUGUCCGGGACGACCCAUUUCCGACGCAAACAUGCGUCCAGUUUGGGUCCUGAUGGACAGCGAGCAGACGCGUUCGAGCCCACCUCUCGUCCGCGUCGGGGACGCAUGGCAGGCGGCCACCUACCUCCCACCCGCCCGUAUUUACUAUGCACGCCCGGUAGGCCCCACCUGUCAUCCACUCAGGCGGGCUAUCGUCGUCCUUCUUAAAUCGGGAAGCCGUGGACCGGCAUCGUACAACGCACGCGUCCACUCCACUGCCUCCUCGGGACCGACACCAAACCCGCGUGCCCGCUCCAAACCCUAGCUUCUCCCCCUCUCUCGAUCUCUCCGGCCGCCGACAGCAAUGGGAUGGUGGAGCACCGGCGGCAAGGGGAAGGGGGCGCACGACCACGAGGCUGGGUCCUCGUCUGGCCGCCGCAGCGCCGCAAGCGAGUCUUCUCCUCCGCGACGGCCUACUCAGGCACCCUUCUCCAUUGCCCCUCCGGACGCCCCGACGCGCUCCCGGCAGUACGUCCACGCGGAUGUGUGCCCUGACGACGAUGACGACAACGGCGGUCCCUGAAGACAUGACGGGCACAACAGCAGCGCGGGGCGGCCCCAUUUUUAUCUAUUUUUUUAAUUAUGUUAAUUAAGGAUUGUGGGUCGUGGGACCGUUAAAUUAUUGAUGUAUAAUUACUAAUGUUUGACUUUAUUUAUAUAUUUUUUUUGUUUUUUUUUGUUUUUCCAAUUUUUUAAUUCCGGAUAAUUUGAUGUGCGGCCACGCGUUGGACACAUCGACCCGGCCACGGACCGAUCCAGACAUGGGCAGGCCAAUUAUCGUCUCAAACGGAUAGAAUUGAGAUCAAACGGACAUUCGGAUGAGGUCACGCGCUGCAAUUGGCGUUAAGGAAGACGAAAUCGAGACAGAACAAGCGGCCAGCAAGCCGACUGAUUUUGGGACGCCUAGCAGCCGGCUACCAACAAAUACACAUGUGUGUCCUAUGAGCACAUCCGAAGGAAUGAACCAACGGAUCUUAAGAUUGAAAGUUCACCACAGACGCAAAUGUUGUAACAGUUCUCGUGCUCUAUUCCGUGAUGACCAUGGAACUAUGGAUGCAUUCGUCGUUUAAUUUAUUCCACUCCAUGGAGAAUAGCGGUUCANNNNNNUCCAUGGAGAAUAGCGGUUCAGCAGAUAACAUCGUUGUGGCACUCUCCAACGGCAGGUGCGUAGCUGCCAACAGGUAUGGAGCACACGUCUACCUCUAGGUAGCUAAGCUAGCUAGGCGAUGUACCCUAGCCUCUGGAGCAGCGCGGAGCGGAGGGCGCCGUCGCCGUCGUCGUCCUGUAGUCCAGCGGGCACGUCGAUGACGACGUCCUGCACCGUCACGCCCUCCAUGCGGUGCACGCACGCGUGCUGCACCUGCAGCUCUAGCGACCGGAGCGCACUCAUCAGCCGCGCCGGCGCGUGCCGGGCUCGUCCCGAGCUCAUCACGCGCACCGCCGCCGCGUCCUUCCCCACCAUCCGCACCUCCACCACAUCGUCGCCAGCCCCGGCGUGGCUGCCUCGGGACGAAGAAGCGGGCCCGUUCGACGCCUCCCACCUAGCGGCGGCCGCCUGCCGGCCCUCCUCCUCGAGCCGCGCGACGCGGGAGCGCAGCUCGGUGAUGUAGGCGACGGCGUCGGCGAGGAGUGAGGCCUUGUCCAUCCGGGACACGGUGGGCACGGCGGCGCGGAGGUCGCAGAAGCGUCGGUUCAGCUUGUCGCGGCGCUGGCGCUCGGCCUCCACGUGGCUGACGGUGAGACCAUCGGGCCGCGGCACGGGCUUCCGCCCACGCCGCUUUGUAGGCGUGGUCGUCGACGCCGGCGGUAGCUCGGAGUCCGGGGAGAGCGACGAGCUCCCGGCAGGCCACAAGAAAUCUACAUCCUCGCUCUUGGCCGGCACUGCGGUGUCGCCGAGCAGCCAUUGCUCGGGGACCUCGCAGGAGGCGAACUCGAGGAGCUGGUGGUGGGACCCUUCGGCGGUAGAGAACUGGGUAGGCGGCGAUGGCGGGAAGAACGGGGAGCACGGCGAUAGCAGCUCGUCCAUGGCCGGCACGCCGCUGUACCCUGUACGUCUCGCUAUGCUAACUGAAGAGCUCGAAGUGGCAAAUUAGCGGCCGGAGAUGUGUGGUGUGGUUUACUGUGGGCGAGUGUCUUAUACAGGUGGCAUAUUUGCAGUUGAGACCUUGCUUACAUGUAGGAGUAUGUGUCAUGUUAAAUGCAUGUAUCUGUCCUUCUCGAUUUUAAUUCCCUCUCGCGAAAAACAUGUCCCUUUGGGAUUAGAAGUACGAAAGAGAUUGGAAGUUUGGAACCAAUAGCUAAGGCUAUCUCCAAUGUAUCGAUGUGCUAAGCACAUUAAAAGACUUAGCAACUAAAACAUAUUGUUGCGAACGGACUAAAUCUGGGUCGUCAAUUAGCAAACCGUCGUUAGGACGUGAUUAGUCACUUAUUAGUCCAAAACGUCGUACGGACGCGUCCGUCCGUACAGGCGUCUUUUUGUACAGACACCUCUUCGCAUGCGUCCCAAACCUUGUAUAUAUAUUUCAGAUCAAUGAAAGAGAGACAGUGAUUCGCACAAUAUUUUGCUUUCGUUGUUUCACACGUUAUCAAGCACUGCUCUGCCAGAAAGAUAAAGAAGAAAUAGAUUUUACGGGAAAAUAAUCCAAUGAAAGAAGAAUUAUGUUUGGUGGACAGUUGUACCACUAACACAAUUUUAAGGGAAAUAAAAUAUUUCCAAACUCUAACUAAGAGAAAAGGGAAUAUUGUGACAAUCGCCGGUCGCGAUGCAUCAAUUAUUGGUUCAGGACGAGCCACACUUGUUCUACCUAUGGGUACUACGAUUGUAAUUGAGGAUGCACUCUUGUAUCCUGAAUCUACACGCACCCUUCUAAGUUUCAAAGACCUCAGAUCAAAUAAUUUUCAUGUGGAAACAAUUUCUGAAAAUAAUUCUGAAUAUUUGCUUUUAACAAAAAGCAAUGGGUUCUGAGAAACAAAUUCUUGAAAAAUUCCCCUCACUUUCAUCUGGAUUAUAUUACAGUUAUAUAAAACCCGUACCACAUGUUGCGUACAAAAUAAUUUUUCAAGACCUUGAUAAAUUCAAGACUUGGCAUGAUCGCCUAGGUCAUCCUGGCAUAGGGAUGAUGAGAAAAAUUAUUGACAAUUCUAUUGGUCACAGCCUUCCAACUAAAAAUUUUCCAAAAUCAUCAGAUUUUGUGUCCACCGCAUGUGCAACUCGAAAAUUAAUUAUAAGACCAUCUUAUCUUAAGGUAAAAAGUGAGUCACUUAACUUUCUUCAACGCAUUCAAGGAGAUAUAUGUGGUCCAAUUCAAUCACUAUCUGGACCUUUUAGAUAUUUCAUGAUGCUCAUAGAUGCAUCUACUAGAUGGUCAGAUGUAUGUCUAUUGUCCACACGAAAUCAUGCUUUUGCCAAGAUAAUUGCUCAAAUUAUCAAAUUAAGAGCAAAUCAUUCUGAAAAUAGGAUAAAAACAAUUCGAAUGGACAAUGCCGCUGAAUUCUCUUCACGAGCAUUCAAUGAAUACUGCAUGGCUAUGGGCAUUCAUUUAGAACAUUCUGUGCCUUAUGUCCAUACUCAAAAUGGUUUGGCUGAGUCUCUCAUCAAAAGAGUAAAAUUAGUUGCUCGACCACUAUUACAGAAUUGUAAUUUACCAGCAUCUUGUUGGGCACAUGCAGUAUUACACGCCGCAGAUCUGAUACAAAUCAGACCAACUGCAUAUCAUACAACCUCCCCACUGCAACAAGUACGUGGCACUCAGCCAAGUAUUUCCCAUCUGCGAAAAUUCGGUUGCGCAGUAUACGUACCGAUAUCACCACCGCAACGUACAUCCAUGGGCCCCCACAAAAAACUAGGGAUCUAUGUGGGUUAUAAUUCUCCGUCAAUUAUUAAAUAUCUUGAACCUCUUACAGGGGACCUGUUUACUGCCGGCUAAGCUGAUUCAAUUUUUGAUGAGGACCAUUUCCCGACAUUAGGGGGAGAAUCAAACCACAAAGAAUACCAGGAAAUAGAUUGGAAUGUAACAGGCAUUCAGUCCUUAGAUCCACGUACUAAAGAAUCUGAAACUGAAGUUCAGAGGAUCAUAGACUUGCAACACAUUGCAAAUAAUUUGCCAGAUGCAUUUACUGACCAUAAAGGUGUCACUAAAUCACAUAUUCCCGCUGUUAAUGCACCAGAACGAGUGGAGGUACCAACUAAAACCACUCAAACCCCAAAUGAGAGUAAGAGGGGGAUAAAUCUGGUUAGCCGGAAUAUAGCUUCUCAAAAGCCUCUGCGGAAACAGAAGAAACCAAAUCCUGUACCAGUAAAUGCAAUUCAACCUCAAGUUGAAGGACACCAACCAGAUGCUCAACAUCUUGAACCUAGCAUAAAUGCGCAUAAAAACAUAAUAGCUGGGACAUCGGAACACCAUGACUCUAUUGUUGUGGGAAAUCACAUAGAGUCUGAAGGUAUAAAAGAAAUUUCCAUAAACUAUAUAGAAUCAGGAGAAUCAUAUAAUCGAGAGACUACAAUUGUCGACAUAUAUUUUGCCUCUGAAAUUGCUGAAACCCUUCAACUGGAUCCAGAACCAAAGACCGUCAGGGAGUGCCUCAAGCGUCCUGAUUGGCCUAAAUGGAAGGAAGCAAUUGAGGCAGAACUGCACUCGCUCAACCAAAGAGAGGUGUUUUCCUCAGUAAUACCUACUCCUCAGAAUGUCUUCCCUGUGGGAGCAAAAUGGGUUUUGUCCGAAAAAGGAACGAAAACAAUGAGGUGGUGAGAUACAAAGCGAGGCUUGUAGCACAAGGGUUCACGCAGAGACCCGGCAUCGAUUAUGAUGAUACAUACUCUCCUGUUAUGAGUGGAAUAACGUUUCGAUACUUAAUAUCUAUGGCAGUACAAAUGAGUUUAUCUAUGCAGUUGAUAGAUGUAGUGACAGCAUACUUAUAUGGGUCACUCAAAUCGGACAUAUAUAUGAAAGUCUCUGAAAGACUUAAAAUGCCGAAUCCAAAAGCAAAUCGCAACGCAUGUUGUGUAAAAUUACAGAAGUCACUAUAUGGCUUAAAACAGUCGGGUAGAAUGUGGUAUAACCGACUAAGUGAGUUCCUUAUUCAGAAAGGCUACUCAAAUAAUGAUGAUUGCCCUUGUGUAUUUAUAAAGAAGUCCUCAAAUGGAUUUUGCAUCAUCUCAGUGUAUGUUGAUGACCUCAAUAUCAUUGGAAGUACAUCUGAUAUCGAAGAAGCACGCAAUCAUCUAAUGGCGGAAUUUGAGAUGAAAGAUUUGGGAAAAACCAAAUUCUGCUUAGGCUUACAGCUUGAGCACCUUCCCUCAGGAAUUUUAGUAUACCAACCUGCUUAUAUUCAAAAGGUUUUGGAAAAAUUUAAUAUGGAUAAAUCAUAUCCAACCAAAACACCCAUGGUUGUCAGAUCCCUUGAUAUGAAUAAAGAUCCUUUUAGACCUUGGGAUAAUGACGAAGAGAUAUUGGGACCUGAGUUCCCAUAUCUCAGUGCCAUUGGUGCGCUAAUGUACCUUGCAAAUUGCACGAGGCCUGAUAUUGCAUUUGCGGUAAAUUUACUAGCUAGACAUAGCGCUACUCCAACAAAACGUCAUUGGAUGGGAGUAAAGAAUAUCCUUACAUAUUUACAUGGCACAAAAAACCUUGGCUUAUUCUAUCACAAAAACCAAGGUAUGACUAUGGUAGGAUAUACUGACGCUGGCUAUCUAUAUGAUCCUCACAAUGCCAGGUCACAGACAGGUUUCGUAUUCUUAUAUGGUGGAACUGCUUUUUCGUGGAAGUCAACAAAACAGACUCUCGUAGCAACUUCCACUAAUCAUUCUGAAAUUAUUGCAUUAUUUGAAGCAUCAAAAGAAUGUGUAUGGCUUCGUAGGAUGAUUAACCACAUUCAAACUACAUGUGGUGUUGGUUCAUUAGGAUCACCAACUAUUAUUUAUGAAGAUAAUGCAGCUUGUAUUGCUCAAAUGCAAAUGGGUUAUAUAAAAAGCAAUAUCACAAAACACAUUUCUCCUAAAUUGUUCUAUCCUCAUGAAUUACAGAAAAAAUGGAGAAAUUGAUAUUUUGCAAACUAAAUCAUGUGACAGUCUAGCAGAUUUGUUCACAAAGUCUUUACCAAAUUCAACGUUCCAGAAAUACAUUCAUGGAAUUGGUAUGAGACGACUUCGUGAUUUGCAAAGUUCAGGGGGAGAAAUCUCCUGAAAAUAUAACCCUUUAAUUAUCAUCAGAUAAUGAAUAUUGUACUCUUUUCCUUUAUGAGUUUUUCCAAGAGGUUUCUCAUAAAAGGUUUUUAACGAGACAAUUAAAUACAAGCAUUGAUGCAUGCCAUAUCAUAUUUCUCCUUAUAUUUUUCCUACUAGGUUUUAAAGGAGUUUUUCAUGGCACAUCUCAUUGCACUCUUUUCAUUAUGAGUUUCUUUGAAAUUUUCUCUCAUAAUGUUUUUAAUGAGGCAAUAUCUUCAUUAAUAUCAUAUGCUAUACUUGCUAUUUUUCCUAUUAAGGUUUUUAAAGGAAAGUAUCUAAAGCAUAUUUAUUGUCCUCUAAAACUCACUAAUAAUUUUCUCCUUCUUUGAAGGUUUUUCUCAUAUGAGUUAUCAAGAGACAAUAAUCACUAUAUGUUGUAUUAUUUUCUCCUUAUAAUUUUUCCCAUUGGGUUUAAAAGGAGUUUUAACAACAUAUCUAUACAUUUCUCCUCAUAUUUUUUUCCCACAGGGUUUUUGGGGGAGAAUCUCAAGAAUUGACUGAUGGAUAUACAAGGAGUUUUCAAUAAUGGAUUACUCAAGAUGGCGUUGUACAAGGGGGAGUGUUGCGAACGGACUAAAUCUGGGCCGUCAAUUAGCAAACCGUCAUUAGGACGUGAUUAGUCAGUUAUUAGUCUAAAACGUCGUACGGAUGCGUCCGUCCGUACAAGCGCCUUUUUGUACAGACGCCUCUUCGCAUGCGUCCCAAACCUUGUAUAUAUAUUUCAGAUCAAUGAAAGAGAGACAGUGAUCCGCACAACAUUUUGCUUUCGUUGUUUCACACAUAUAAGGUUGUCCGUAAUGGGAGUAUCAUAGCUAGUAUCAUGCAUGCGAACUAAGCAAUUUUGAUGAAGUGGCAUAGAAUUAAAUGAAGAAAAAGAAGGUUGAGUAUCAUAUUAUGAUACUGUAUCAUAUUAAAUGAUGUGCUACUAUGUGGCUUGCAUGACAAUAAAUGAACUAUCUUAUGACACUAACAUAUGAUACUAUGCAUUACGGGUGUGGUAUCAUACACUAGUAUUAUAUGCAUAAUACUAGUAUAUGAUACUACCCAUUACAACCAGCCUAAUGCAUAGGUGUUUAACUUGUUGUUGCUAAGUAUCCUUCACUUAAUGAUUUAGGAACUAAAGUUAUUCAUACAUUGGCGUGUUUCUUUCAUUUAAGUGUUUUGUCUAAGUUCAUGCGCUUGGCAUUGUUUCUUCAUGAGGUUACUACACUCAUCUCUUUCCUUUUAAUUAUCUUGCACAUCACAUUUUCCAUCUACAUUGCAGCCUUAGCACCUAUACAAGGUGGAGCACCAGAUGUAGUCAUUUUGCUUUCCGAAGCAGAUGUAGUCAUUUAUAACUUGAUUUCGAUAUACAAAUGGAAAACAUGUAAGAGCAUCACCAACGACGAUCCGCAAACCGUCCGCAUAUGUCCUAAUUGUGUUGUUCGGAUCACGAAAGACAUCCAACGCGGGCCUGUAUCGGUCCGCAAGUCAGUUCGGACGCACUUUCUCCCGCAAACCGGAACCAAAUGGGAGACUUUGCUGGAGUACGAACACACGAAACUUCACUUUUUGCCCCCCUCCCCCGGCCCACCCAAAAGGAAGGCGUGCCCCCUCCCCCGGCCCACCCAAAAGGAAGGCGGAGCACGCGCUUUGUAGCAACCCGCACUGUUUCCGCACAAAAAUCGUCCACUCUCUUCUUCCAUCCCCUGCCGCUCUCCGACUAAUUCCCACUCUUUUGUCCCACCCUCUCCUUCCUUCCGUCGUCGAUGCAUGGAACCACCGGAGAUGGAGGCGUCGGAUGAUCCGAGCAUCACGCUCACCCAAAGAUGAACUCGGCUACGCGGUAGGAUCACCGCGUCAAAGCGAAGGCCGCAAAGGAGGAGAGGAUUAAGAAGCGAUUGGCCACCGGUGGGCUUGGUGGUGGCGUUGUGUGUGGCGGUCGUGAUGGUCAUGGAGGGCGUGGCAGACGUCGCCGGACGAGCACACCCAUGGUACAUACGGCACCGUGGAUGGAGCAUUAUAAGCCUCCAUACUACUACGCCGCCAAGCAUCUCGGAACCCUCUCCGAUAAGGUUCCUUUCAUCAUUGUCGUAAAUGGGAUGUCGUUCUUCUCCGAGUAUUGUUCAUUGCAGCUCGUGUGGGCGCGAACAAUGGUUGGGGAGCAGAUGGAUGACCGCACAUUGUUCGCUACAAUGCCUAGAGCGGAGGAGGGGGUGAAGUACUAUGAUAUGGACACGGAGAGGGUCAACAUGUUGGAAAUAUGCCCUAAAGGCAAUAAUAAAUUGGUUAUUAUUAUAUUUUCUUGUUCAUGAUAGUCGUUUAUUGUCCAUGCUAGAAUUGUAUUGAUUGGAAACUCAAAUACAUGUGUGGAUACAUAGACAACACACUUUCCCUAGUGAGCCUCUGAAGGACUAGCUCGUUGACCAAAGAUGGUCAAGGUUUCCUGAUCGUAGAAUGAGAUGUAGUUUGAUAACGGGAUCACAUCAUUAGGAGAAUGAUGUGAUGGACAAGACCCAAACUAUGAACGUAGCAUAUGAUCGUGUCGUUUAUUGCUACUGUUUUCUGCAUGUCAAAGUAUCUGUUCCUAUGACCAUGAGAUCAUGUAACUCACUGACACCGGAGGAAUGCCUUAUGUGUAUCAAACGUCGCAACGUAAUUGGGUGACUAUAAAGGUGCUCUACAGGUAUCUCCGAAGGUGUCUUUUGGGUUGGCAUGGAUCAAGACUGGGAUUUGUCACUCCCUAGACGUUGCCACCCUACCCUCCUCCCUUAAAAACUUCGGCCUCCACCAAAGGAAGCCGGUAGGCAAUCCCUGCCCAUUAGAUAGCAAACCCUGAUCUUCCCGCUCGUGAGACAAGAGAUCGACAUCCUGGAGCACGGCGUUGGCCCUAGAUGACGACCAUAUAAGAAGCGUAGUGUGGAUUACGGAGCGGCGACACGAGGACGAUGGUGGUCGGGUAGCCGGCGGUGGCCCGAGGAGGUGCCGAGGUUGCGAUGACCUCGUUCUUCGGGCAAGAGGCCAGUCAAGAAGGACAUGUUGUGUCUUGAAGUGAGAGAUUGGCGGUUGAUGAUGCGUAGUAGCAUGGUGGCUAGUAGGCGACCAAGGGGUAGAUGUCUGGUCGAGAUCAAGUCAUUGUGACGUUGUGUGAUGGUAGUGCUGGAGUUUGGUGAUUGGGGCGAGCGUUGAUUUCUUCUUCAUCGGAAGUGGCCUCUGUGAUCAUGAGGGAGAUGUAGAGGCUAGAUUUCGAGAUAGUGAUGUCCUUUCUGAGGCAUGCGGCGGUAUAGGACGCCCCCUCCACCUCUAGAGUCGGUUCGGUCUAUCUCCCUAGGUGCUGCACACGACGACUCUUGUGGAUGUGCUGAGUUAUGCAUGCCACCGCGAGGUGAUACGCACAUCGGCUCAUGCAGAGGCACCAAGUCAUGAUUCUGCGGGCAGGUGCUACACACUCUUGCUCCUAUAGACGCGACAAGUCAUGCAUGUGGCUGCUAUAACGAUGGUGCGAUAGUGAAGGGAGGCGAGACGAAGUGGUGCGUCUUGUCCUUCCGGUACCUUCUCUAGAGAUAACCGGGCAAGGGAUGAUGGUAGAGGCGGCUUCAACACCGAGUAUGCGCACUCCGAUGGAACAUAAGUCCCCUGAUUAGACUAUGUCAACAUGUGACUGCAUUGUGACCUUGCCAAAUAUGUUGGAUCGAAGCUCGGCUUAUGGGACGAAAUUCCGAGACCAAACUAUGUUUGGACUCAUCACUACCGGUGCAUGGAUGCCGCUUCCUUCGUGAAUGAUUAUCUUAGGAGUUGUGUAGUUUGCCUUUGUUCCUGUUUGUUUCCAUAGGGUUAGUGUUUGCUUAGUGUAUGUAAUGUCGUGAGGCAAGCGACCUUUCUUUUUUCUUUCCAAGUCAAAUUUGUUCGGUUGUUGGAGUUUGUUUUAUGAAUGAUAUAUGACAUGUGAUGCAAAACCUAGGGUUAUCCUCCUUUCCUAAAAAAUAUGCACACAUGUAUUAACAUGAUUUUCCGUUUGUCUCUUCUUGAGAGAAGUCUGUUUAUGUGGAGAAAUGUUCAUUGAGAGAUCCUUUAAACAUGUUCAUGUUAUUACACUUGAUAAAUCAUGUGCCGACUCUAAGUCCAUGAUUGGUUUGUUGACACAUGCCGAUAUUUGAAAAUAUUGAAAUGCCAAAUAUUGGCUAACGAUUGCUUAUUUACCCAUUUUUCCCGUCAGCCCCACAAAAAAGUUGCCAGUUUUUGAUAAACUUUGAUUUUUGCCACAUGUCAACAAACCAAUCAUGCUCUAAGUUGAUCGUACGCAUAAGGACUUAGACAUGACAUGGAACUAUACUUUGCACAUAGGUGUGCACUCCUUGUAGCCAAAAGGACAAAAAUGCAUAUACAUUUGGACACGUUACGUACGUGCUUCACGUGUGCGCCCUUUGGCCGGUGCAGUGAGCAUGCGCCCGUACACAGCCCUGAAAGCAUCCGCACGCAAGCGUCUAUGUAGGUGGAAAAGUCAGCGUUCUCUAUCUCCUUCAAAUAUCUGUUGUCACUUGUCAGUUUGUCACGUCCUAGCACCAUCCAUAUAUGGUAUGUGAAAACUUUAAACUAUUUUUUCUGUAUCUAAAUGAUUGUAAUUAAAGAAAACUAAUCUAAGUAUGCUAUUUAAUUACCCAUAAUUUUUCUUAAAGUUAAUCACCGAUAAAUCUUGAAGCUUAGGCCAUUUUCAAUGCAUUGGUGCUAAGAUGAGGUGCUAAGCAUAUUAAAUAGUUUAUCAAUUGAAGUCCACAAUGCAUAGUUGCUUAGUUUAUUGUACUACUAAAGUUUUGCAUAUUUAAUGCUUUUACAACUAAAGUUGUGCAUGCAUUGGUGCAUUUCCUUUAUUUAAUUGGUUUACCUAGUUUCACGCGCUUAACAUUGUUUUUUUCUGGGGUCACCACACUCAUCUCUCUCCUAUUAAUUAACAUGUCACAUCAGAUUUUUUGCCUAUGUGACAGCCUUAACACAUGUACAAGGUGGAGCAUUGGGAGUAGCCUUACCGAUGUGUUGUGCUGCUUUGCUUAGAGCAAGUACAAUAAGGUACAGUCAGCAGGCUGUAAGAAUUAAAAUACUAUAUUUUUGCUGAGUUGGAUGAGAGAGAAGAGGAGAGAGAAGGAAAGCGGGCUCUUCGUGAAGAGUCAGCUGUAGCACGUGCUCCUAGGUGAUUUGUGAGAAUGAAAGAUGGACCAUAUAUGAUAAAAAUAGUACUAUUUUAUAGCUAAUUAUUAUAAAAGCUAGCUAUAAGAUGAGCUAUAAGACUGCUUAUAGCCAGCAGUUGGCUAUACUAUUAAUCAUGCUCUUAGACGCGUAGGGAUAAGAAUGGACACGUUGGACGUUUUGCCAUGUCCGGGAGAGACUGGCCGACUGCAACGAGGAGAUUCGUUGACAUUUCAUUCCGCAAAAGAUAUUCCUUUGGCAUUUCUCCACAUAGAUGGGUGCCAGCAGGGCCAUAGCCCAGCCCGUGCACUCACGUACGUCAAGUGUGGGAAAUGGCCGAACGCAUGAUGCCGUUGCAGCCAACGGGGCGCAGAUAGAGGCCAGGGCAUGCAUGCCGCACUCCGGCGAGCUCGAAGGGACCGGACAAUUGGAGGAGGUCCAGGAGGGACACGUGUAGUAUGGUCCUACAACAGCGCGGCAGGCAAAGGGCCUGGCCUGGUCCUGGUCCUGGUCCAUCGUCCACGCGACGUAGGUCGUGGACCAACAACGUAGUACGACGCUCCGCCCCGGACGGACGUGUUAUCUUUACUAAAUGGCCCCUAAAGGAUUUUAUGUCGCACAUUGACCCUCCAAAAAACUUGUUUCGUCCUCUGAUCCUCACAUUCAUUUCCCGAUCUGCAUCAUAUGGUUCUCCAACGUGUUUAUAUUUUUUAAUUGUUCUAUGCUAUUAUGUUAUUAUUUUAGGAUACUUUUUAUAUUAUUAUUUACCAACUUAUAUUAUUUUUGAGCACUAACUUAUUGACCCGGUGUCUAGUGCCAGUUUCUGUUUUUUUUGUGUGUUUUUUGUUUCACAUAAAUUCCAUAUCGAGCGAAGUUAAAACGCGAUAAAAACUUACGGAGACUAUUUUGGAAUAUAUGUGAAUUUUGGGAGUUAGAAUCAACGCAAGACGAUCCUCAAGGGAGGCACAAGCCAAGAGGGCGCGGUCUGGGAGGGUCGCCCCUCAUGGCUCUGUGUCCACCCCUUAAGUCGGUCGGAGCUUUCUUUUGGCCGCAACAAAGAUAUUUUUUUAAUAAAAAUUCCCUCAAAAAUUAAUUGUGGUCGGAUUUUGGGAUAUCAGGUUAUUGAAGUAACGGUGAAGGGCCAGAAACAAGUCGUGCAAACAGGAGAGAAACACACACAGACACGCACACACACACACACACAUAGAGAGAGAGAGAGAUCCAAUCCCGGAGGGGCUGCUGCCCUCCGGGUCCCAUGGCGGCCUUGGACCAGAGGAGAAACCCUCCUCCCACCUAGGGAGGAGGCCAAGGAAGAAGAAGAAGAAGAAGGAGGAGGAGGGGGCUCUCUCCCCUCUCUCCCGAUGGCACCGGAGAGCUGCCGGGGUAACCCUCGUGACGGGGGUCCACACCAACAACUUCGCCGCCGUCACCACCAACUCUCUCCUCCUCUAUGCGAUGGUGUAAAAUCUCUCUUCCUUGUUGUAAUCUCUACUUGAACAUGGUGCUUAAUGCUAUAUAUUAUUAUCCAAUGAUGUGUGGCUAUCCUAUGAUGUUUGAGUAGAUUCCUUUUUGUCCUACGGGUUAAUUGUGAUAUGAUGUUAUUGAUAUGAAUCGUGUGUUGAUAUGAUGCUAUCCUAAGGUGUUUUCCGUUAGGCGCACACUUGAAAGAUUCACGCUGGAGGGUUUGCAAUAUAUUCUUGAUUCGCUUAUAGUGGGUAGCUAGAGUGACAAAAUCUUACACCUGAGUAAGGAAGUUGUGCGCAUGUGGAAGUAAAGAGGACUUGAUGUUUAAUGCUAUGGUUGGGUUUACCUUAAUGGUUUCUAGUAGUUGUGGAUGCUUGUUAGAGGCCCAAUUGUAAGUGCAAAUGAUCCAAGUACGGAAAGUGUGCUAGCGUAUGCCUCUCCCUCAUUGCAUAUGAUAUGUAUCUAUUAUGUUAUAUUCAAUUGCCUAUUGACAAUCUUCCUAUUGCGUUGUAGAGAAAAUCUGUCUACUAAAUAGCCCCUUACUUUUAUUCACUUGCUCUUUUUUUUCUUGCAAAACUAUCUAUUUCACCUAGUAAGUACUUCUAGUCUCCUUCCCGAAAAAUAGGUUCAUACUUGUUCUAGAUAAAGUAAGCGUUAGCGUGCGUAGAAUUGUAUCAGUGGUCGAUAGAACUUGAGAGAAUAUUAAUUCUACCUUUAGCUCCUUAUUGAGCUCGGCACUUACUUAUCGAAAAAGACUACAAACGAUCCCUUACACUUGUGGGUUAUCAAGACCCUUUUCUGGGGUCAUUGUCGGUGAGAAAUAGCGUAGUGGUCGAUAUUCUCGUGUGCUUGUUUUCUUUAUCACAAAGUAAUUUUUAUUUUCUGUUAUUGAUUGUUUUAUAUCUUUAGUUAUGGACAUGGAACACAAAACACCCAAAAAAAUAGUUAUACUUGCUACUCAUGGAGAUGGGGAACCUCCUAAAAUUCUCGAUGCUAGUUAUGUGAAACACAUUAAUUACUGCUUUGAUAAUACUGAGAAAUCCUCAUUCAACUUGAUAAUUGGAGACACGUUGGAUCAGCGUGAGUACUUUAGGGAUUAUCAUUUGUCUCAAAAAGGAAAACACUUAUGGGAUCAAAUUAAAAUGUUGCGUUGGUAUGUUUGGGAUUUAUGCGUGAUAAGUGAUUAUACUUGUUGCUCUAAAAGCAAGGGUCUAAACCUUCCCUUUCAAUGUAAAUUUAAUGAUAAUAGAACCAUAGACUCUUAUGCUAAUGGUAUAUAUGAUUACUAUGAUGUGAACAAAAUAAAAGAAUUUGUUGCCUUUAAGGGUGCAUAUUAAAUUGCUUCUUUGAUUGGAAAGUAUGAUGAUAUUCCUUAUAAAUCUGAAAAUUUUGACAUACUUAAAUAUUGCUAUGAGAAUUAUGAAUAAAAUGUUGGUAUUAAUGAAUUUCUUGAAAGAAUGACCGUUGCCUUGGAAUAGAUUAACAUUUUGCAGGAAUCUAUGGAAGAAGAAAUUGUUGAAUCUCUGAGCUCAUUAGAUGAAAAAGAUGACGAGGAGAGCGAAGAGAGGGAGGGUUGCAGCACCCAAUGCCACAGCACGGCCUCUCCCUCUCCCUAUAGAUCGUCUCUUCCUCUAGAUAUUCCGGUAGUGCUUGGCGAAGCCCUGUCGGGACAGCAACAUCACCAUCACCGUCAUAUCGUCGCGCUGCCAGGGGACUCAUCUACCACUCCGCCCUCGCUUUCUGGAUCGAGAAGGAGAAUACGUCAUCGGGUUGUACGUGUGCUGAAUGCGGAGGUGCCGUCAGUUCGAAACUUGAUCGGGAGUUUGCGGGACAGAUCGUGAUAGGAUCGCGAAGACGUUCGACUACAUCAACCGUGUUUCUUAACGCUUUCGCUCAGCGAUCUACAAGGGUAUGUAGAUUCAAUCUCUCCUCUUGUAGAUGUGCGUCUCCUAGAUUGAUCUUGGUAAGCGUAGGAAUUUUUUUGUUUCCUAUGCAACGUUCCCCAACACUUCUAUCUGUGUUAACAUGGGAAAUCUCACAAACACAUUAGUCCCUCAACCACGUUUGUCUUCAAUACUCCAAAACCAACAAGUGGUGGAACUAGAUGCACUUACGAUCUCCCCCUUUUUGGUCACUGGUGACAAACUGGCUGAAGUUUUCAACGGGGAUAAGAAUAUGUGAAGAUAAAUACUUGGAGAUUAUGAGAGCUCUCCCUCAAGAUGUUCUUAUGAAGGUUUUUCUUUGAAUGCAAAAGCACAUGGUAGGUUGUAGUUAGUGGAUAUCUCCUCCUAUAUCUUGGAAUCCAUUCACUAUGCAUUUUAAAGGUUUCAUGAAGAUUCUGUAAUGCAUAAUGAAAAAUAGGCAUCUGCUGAAUGACUUCAGACGCAUAUGAUAAGAUAUGGAAUAGCGCCAAAGAUACGAUAAACAUAGAAUAUGAAGACGUCCAUCAAGACUUAAGUUUUACAACCCAAAAGUGCAAUUGUUCAGAACAAGAGUUCUAAACUUAACAAAAUAGCAGCACCCAACCCUUAUAGACCCAUUCGAAUACUAUCAAUCCAAUGCUUCUCCCCCUUUGUCAUGGGAUGACCAAAAAGGGCGAAGACAUUGGGAACUACUCGUCCCCAGCUUGUGAAUACGUUGGUGCAGCAGGGUCAUCAAAGGUUGGUGCAGGUUCGCCUGGUUUAGUGUCGAUGCGAUCUGUUGGUGCAACAGGGGAAGUACAUCAUCAGUGUCAUUGUUUGCAAGAUUGGUAUGACCGGAUACUGCUGAAGAAGAGUAGUAACUUUAUUCGAUGGAUGGUGUCUUGCAUCAUUUCUCCGUACGAGGAGGAGGGGCACAAAAUUUGAAGUAUUUUUCAUAGCCAUCCUCACGAAGAUCUUCCUCCGGAGACAUGAGAGUCAAUUUCUUCCAAGAAUGCCUACAAGUUUCAUGUGCAACAAAGAUAUUCUUGGUGGAGAGGUUGCGAAUGCGAUUGAUAUCUGUUGCCAUAGAGUGCAUUUGUCUUCGCGUCACUCAUGGUGACAAUCCUACUUUUGUAUGAGCGAAACAAGAAGCUCUUGAUUAGUCAUAGCAUGUUCCCGUCUGGGUUGGGGAUGUUGAGGCAGAGUGCUAGCAGUGGCUUCAGUUGAGGUGGCACUUGGUUGUGGUUGACGGAAUGUGCCAAUCAGUCUUGCCUUGACAGGAUCACAAGGAAUGUGAAGCCCUUCAAUAUGUGUGGUGCCACUAGUGCCUUCAAUAAUGGGAUUCUUGCCCUUGGAUGGAUAAAUGUCUUUGUGUCUGACUUCCACAUCCAGAAGAUAUAUUCCAUGAUUAUGAGCGGAGGGUAGAAACCUUGUAUUUGUUAUGCGCUUAAUGAAGUGCAUGAUCCAUGGUGCAUAGAUCUUGAGUUCAGAGAUUGAUGCUAUUGGCAGCCAGGGUUCUCAAAAAUAAGUCUUGAAGAUUGAACCUGAUGCCAUAGACGACAUUGUAGAUCAACGUCUUCAAUGCCCCUUAAACCUUGCUUGAAGAAUAAUGUCAUUUGAUUGGCCAUAUGGUGUGACAAAGAAUAUGGUAGAUAGUCUUUGGUAGAUAUUGAAGAUCAUCAACAAAGAAUGUUGUGGGCAAGUCCGCAUCUGGGUCUAAAGGUGAAAGGACGUGGAUGUCGCCUAGAGGGGGGGUGAAUAGGCGCUUUAAAAUAAUUAAGGUUUAGGCUUGAACAAAUGCGGAAUAAAACUAACGUUUAAUAUGUCAAGCACAAAACCUCAAACAACUAGGCUCACCUAUGUGCACCAACAACUUAUGCUAAGCAAGAUAAACAACUAAGUGAUAGCAAGAUCUAUGACAAGAGACAAUAUGGCUAUCACAAAGUAAAGUGCAUAAGUAAAGGGUUCGGGUAAGAGAUAACCGAGGCACUCGGAGACGAUGAUGUAUCCCGAAGUUCACACCCUUGCGGAUGCUAAUCUCCGUUGGAGCGGUGUGGAGGCACAAUGCUCCCCAAGAUGCCACUAAGGCCACCGUAAUCUCCUCACGCCCUCGCACAAUGCAAGAUCCCGUGAUUCCACUAAGGGACCCUUGAGGGCGGUCACCGAACCCGUACAAAUUGCAAACCUUGGGGGCGGUCACCGAACCCGUACACGUGGCAACCCUUGGGGGCGGUUACCGGUACCCGUACAAAUUGCUCGGGGCAAUCUCCACAACCUAAUUGGAGACCCCGACGCUUGCCCGGAGCUUCACACCACAAUGAUUGAGCUUCGAGACACCACCAAGCUUCUAGGACACCAAAGCAUCCACGAAGAACAAUAUCUAUGGUACUAAGUACCAAAGGUAAUAAGCUUCUCAAACUUCACUUCCACGUAUCACCGUGGAGAACUCAAACCGAUGCAACCAAUGCAAUGGCAAGAACACACGAAGUGGUCAAGUCCCUCACACUCAAAUCCCUCCACAACAACGAAAGCUAUGGAGAAAUAUGAGAGGAAGAACAAGGAGCUCACAAAGAACUCCAAGAUCUAGAUCCAAGGGGUUCCCCUCACAUAGAGGAGAAAGUGAUUGGUGGAGAUGUGGAUCUAGAUCUCCUCUCUCUUUUCCCUCAAGAACAAGCAAGAAUCAUUGGAGGGAUUGAGAGUAAGCAAGCUCUAAGAAUGUCAACAAUGGAGGUAGAACAAGAGCUCAACGGAUGGAUAAGGCCAAGGGGCAAGAAGACCCCCUUUAUAUAGUGGGGGAAGGAAUCAGACCGUUACCCCCACUUACAACCCGAGUCCAGCGGUACUACCGCUGACCCUGCAGAGGUACUACCGCUGAGCCCAUGGUAGCGCAAAGAUACUACCGGGCCAAUCACCGCCAAGAAAGUCUUCGCAAAAAGGUCCGACGAAGUACAGCCGCUAGGAAGGCCGUACUAAGCUCCUGGAGCGGUACUACCGCUGACCAGGGGCGGUACUACCGCCAGCACAGCGGUACUACCGCCAGCUCUAGCGGUACUACCGCCAGCUCUAGCGGUACUACCGCUAGGGCCAGCGGUACUACCGCUCGCCACUGAAACAACCAUAACUUUCGCAUACGAGCUCCGAAUCGAGCAAACCCAAGCUUGUUGAAUUAAGACCAUGCUGAUAUGAAAAUGCCAAUGAUCUAGAGAUGUGAGACCUCUAUAAAUGAAGAACCGGCAAAAACUCCAACAUCGAAAACAUCAUAGUAGUUGCAUAUGGACUCCGUUUUUGAUGAACUCGAGCUUGUCAUGAAGAUGACCAUAAGCUCUAAAACUCACAAAGAGAAACACCAAAUAAGAACCAAGAAGUAUGAUGCAAGGAUGCAAAUGGUUUGAGCUCUCAACGAACGAUACGAUCAAGCUAAUCACUUGAGAGCCCCCUUGACAGUACAUCAUUCUAUCCUAAACAGAAAACCUAUCAAGGGAAAACCUAUACCUUGCACCUCAAUCUCUUGAGCUAGAUGAUGAUGAUCUUGGCUUCCUCAAGAUGGACCACCUUUCUUGAUUGCGUUGGCUUGAUGAAGACUAGGUUAUUGCUCCCCCAUACUCACUAUGGAUGAGCCACUCUUCAACAUACCUUCACAAGUCCAUUGCCACCACAAUGGACGGCAAGCUUCAAGCACGAUAUAUUCGUGUUGAUCCUCUUGAACUUGCACACCGCAAUCUUGAUGACGAUCACCACUUGACGUCAUCCUUCAUGGGUUGUAUGAGAUCUUCAUUUUGACACAAGCCCAUGGAAACACACCUAACCCACACAUAGAACUCUCACGAAGACCAUGGGUUAGUACACAAACACGUAAUGGAUAAUGCUUACCAUACCAUGGGAUCACUUGAUCCCUCUCGGUACAUCUUGUACGCUUUGUGUGUUGAUCAUCUUGAUUUACUCUUUGUCUGAGAUCUUGAUCAACCUUGUGUCUCUAUGACCAUUCUUUGGAUAAUACCUUGAAUACCACCUUGGUCAUCAUAUAAACUCCUUGAACCCAACAGAUGGACUUCAAUAAGUGCCUAUGGACAAAUCCUAUAAAUAUAACUUAAGGCAACCAUUAGUCCAUAGGAAUUGUCAUCAAUUACCAAAACCACAUAUGGAGAUAUAUGCUCUAACAAAAGGCUUCAUAAGUGUCAAAAUUUCAGACAUGUUAGGCUCACGCAUUUGAAAGAUGCUUCUUAUGGCUUCUUCAUAGGUGGGAGAUUUUGGAUCAAGAUCUUAGCCUGAUGCAGCAAGUGGAGUGGUGGCAAAGAAUUACAUAGCAAGAGCUUUCACAUGCCCAUCAUGGAUCAUGAAAUCCAUAACCCAUGUCUUCAGAUCUCAUCCAUAGCCAAAGAUGUGGAGAGUUGCAUAAAAUUGAAGAAUUGGUUCUUAAUUCCAAUCUUCAUGAUCAACAGCAAACGACAACAAUCCAACAUCUCAAAGACAAUUGAAGGCCUGGUCAAAACAAGGAAGACCACUCAUGGCUUCCAUGCUGAGAUGCUUGGGGGGAUCCUUUUUGGUCAUAUAGCACACAUGUAUAAUAGGUACGUUGAGGUACACUCCAGAAGUGAUCAGAUUGAAUCUUUAGACGCGUAUAAGGAUUCUUUUUAGAAUCAAGGAAAGUGUUGUCGAGCCGGAAUUCCCUCACGCUAAAGACAAGAGGACGUGUUGUUCCUAGUUGUCAAAGACUUGGAAGCCUAGGCAUUGGAUUCAUAACUUUUGGGCGACGAAAGAUGUUUAAUUCAUAUUGUGGACCCAUUCUGUUGGGUGGUGAAACAAGCUUGGGCCAUUUUGUUGGCACCAUCUCUCCCGCCCUAUUGCGAUCCAUGACAAUAUUGUCAGCAUUGUCGUCGGUCAAUGGCGUAGCACGCACAGGAGAACCAUCAGGGGAUGGAGCAUUGGCUUCUCCAUCAGUAAUCGGUGCUUCUAGAGGUGCAACGGUGUCAUCAGCAGCAAUGUCUUCACAUGCACUCGCUUCGAUCUAAGGUUGUUCACGAGCAACAUGUUCAAGUAUGAGAACUUCAUCGACUGAUGCAGUCAGAGUCACACGCACUUCAUCUUCUGGAAUGAUUUACAUUGAAGAUAUAGGUGGCCUUGGUCCUUUGUGAAUCCUUUUGAGAGGCGAUGCAUGUUCAGUUGUUUCAACUUCCAUGGGAGCAAAUGGGAAUUUAGGAGAUCUUGCCACUAGAGUUGGAAAUGGACUAGGCAGAGUGCUAGGAUUGGCUUCAGGCACGUUUCACCUUAGUGGAGUGCCAAUGUCCACAAAUUCACUGCCUUCAUGCAUUGGCGAUGAUACCAUUGGUGCAUCACGUUGAGGCACAUCAGUUUCUAUUUCAACAUUGUCUUCGGCAGAAGCAACGUUUUCAGCAGGNNNNNNNNNNNNNNNNNNNNNNNNNNNNAGCAGGAUCACCUGCAUUGUCUUCGGUUGCGGUGGUUUCAGCAGCUGGUGCAUCAUCUGUUGUUUGAGCCUUUAUGGUAACAGACUCAUGAAGAACAACUUGCCUCUCGACAUUUUCCUAGGGAUUUUAUCUCAACAAAUUUAAAUAAUCUCUAAAAUAAAUUCUCUUAUGCCACCGAGUAAACAAUUUGAUUAGGGACUAGUAGCGAAGGGAAUUAAAUCAAUAUAAAUUUGUGUUUAAAAGAUAUUAGCAAUCUAGGGUUUUGAGCAAAUUCAAAAUCUACUAUGCAAAUUUUAAAACUUCUGAAUCUAUGCAAAACUUCAUGUUAUUUGUGACAUGUUGCCAAAAGAAUCAACUAAAAACAAUCAAAAACUUAAAAGAUAUUAGCAAAACAAAGUCAUGAACUCCUCUCGAUUUGAAAUAAAGCAAAUAAAACAAAACAAGAAUUAAGUAUCGGCCAGGGGUGAUGUGGCACAUUCCUAUUGUGGCAGCGAAGUGUGCGCGAGAAAGAACACAGCGGCUAACUGAACACUAGCGUGUACCGGUUCGUGAGUUUAAGUGAUCUAAUCUAGAUCGUUCAUUGCAGAUCUGACGGUGGACACGAGAGAGAAGCUUACAACGGCGACGAUGGAGUUCUCCAGCGAGGCAGAUGGCUUGGGGUUGACGGCGAUGGUGCUCCAAUGGUCUUCCGGCAAUGGUGUCAGCUCCAAUCGAUGCACGCGAAGACGAUGGUGAGGUUGGUGGCAUCGGACGGUGUCGGGGCAGACUGCGGCGAGCGGCACGAGCUCAACGGGCUUCGGGCAUGGCAAAAACUAUGACGAGAUGUUGGGGUGGCAGUGGAGCAUGGAGGAAGGGUUUUAGGGAGGAAUCGGGUGCGGGAGGUCGGGGCUUUAUAGGAGAGGCAUUUGGUGGGGUCAAACGGAACGGGAGCGGCGAGAUGGAUCAGAUCCGGAGAUACGUCGGAAAGGGAAGGUGAGGUCGGGUAAAGGAAGGCGCUGACCGAGGGGGGUUCGGGUCGGGCAGGUGGGGUCGGUGCGCGAGAGGUAGGUGACCGAUUCGUUCGCGAUUCGGAUCCGAUCAGAGAGAAAAUGAAAAAUAAAGCAAAGAAAGUAUAUAUAAUAUAUACCUAUUAUAUAUCAACAAGUUCAGAAAAAAUAGCUCUACAACAUGAACAUAUUUUCAAGAAUUUUUGAAAUACUUAAUAUUUUUUUCCAAAAUUCAAAAAUGUCGUUGAUCCAAAGAUCAAAUAUUUUCCAAACAUUUUUCUGAGUUUGUAAAUUCAAAUGAAAUCAAAUUUGCCCCUGGUUUUGAGUGUGAUGUUUCUCCUCUCUUUAUUUUUAAUAUGAUCAUGUGCAUUUGAAUUUAUUCCAAUUCAAAAAUUGAAAUGGAUCGAAUUUGCAAAUGGAAAUACUCCAAAUGGAAACUUUUAAGAACUUUCAAAUCCCAUUUCAAAUUCUUCCAUUGAAGAAGUCGUGUCAUAUUCUCUCUAUGAUUUUAAAUUUGAAUUGGAUUUGAAUUCAAAAGCAAGGAAGAAAGUUUUGGGAAAGUCAUUUUAUCCCCUCUCUUCUAUUUUCCAAAAGUUUUCAAAUUCACUCAGUUUCACACAAUAAUUCAGACAAUCAAUCAAUAUAGUUCAUUUAAUAUGACAUUCCAAAAUUUAGAAUUUUGGGACGUUACACGCAAUCCUUCAAUGUUUUGCACCCAGAUGUCUCCUCAUUUCGCUUAGUGCUACAGAUAUAAAUGGUUGGUGGAACAAGAUCUCCGGGAAGUGGAAACGCAAAACUGGCCCAUGAUGAUAACUCGGUGGCGGCUUGCAUUGCUUAAAACCACUGGAAAGGGAGGAAUCACGGAAUUUUGAGAGGAAGGGGGUAAACCAUCCUUGGUUUGUGAAGCAUCAUAAUUUUUCUUGAAAGGAUUUAUCUGCUUGAUCUACUCCCUUUAACAGUGCGUUAUCCAAGAUGGGAUUUAUUUUCCAAGCGAAUGAGAUAAUUGUCCCCGGUUUGCGUAGCAUGAUGAAAUUUUUUUAGACACACGAAGCAUAAUGAUCUAAGCCUCCUGGACAAGCCCGUUGGAGACAUGGCCCUUAAUCUUCGUGCAGUCCAGACCCAGUUGCACCUUUGCAACAUCUGUUUUACACUGUUUCCCUCUUCUUAAUCGGGAAGCAGAACAUUUGCUGCGCUUGUGAAAAAAUUAUAUCCGGAUCACUACAUGGGUAGUGGUUCAGCAAGAUCCACCUUCAAUUUCACUGACUGAUAAAUAUGCUAGGACAAAAGAAACUGCUUACUGUUCCUCGUGAAGAAACGAUGUAGUUUAUGGAGUAUGUACGAGUCUUCCCAGAUUUUGCGUUUCCAUACAUAUAUUACGACCAAAAGGGUGCAACACGGCCACUUUUAUAACCGGAUGAGCACUUGUCCGUUGUCACCAAGUUCCCAUCGAUCUUUCGUACCUGGACCCGAGUGGCCUGGACGCUGCAGCUGAAGAACACUGUACCGAGUUUCAGACGGUGCCUCUGAGUCGAACAUUGUGUGGACCUGGCACGGCGCCUCAUCCCAUCAGACAAGGAGGCACCCGUAUCUUUCCGCAUUGUACAUACGAAUUGUAAGGCAGAAGCUGUGCUGGUGCUGGUGCUGGUGCUGCUCUAGCUCUACCCUGUGCACAAAGCCAUGCUACAGUGACAGAAUUCCUCUGCGCAUCAAGCAUUCCUGNNNNNNNNNNNNNNNNNNNNNNNNUCAAGCAUUCCUGCACGGCCAAGGUUUUAAAUUAUGUACUCUCACCAUCAUGGCCCAUGAAUUGGUUGUUCGGUUCGCCCGACAAACAAACCAACCAACAAGACGUAGUACUUGCUGGUCAGACAGAAACGGGCGUGUCCAUUAAAUCCUCUCGGAAAAGGAGUAUUUUUGAAGAAAAAAAAAGGUAAGCAACUCGCACGGGGUGAACUGAAGAUAACACUGGCAAGAGUUAGAGUAGCAACGAACUGACAAGGAAAAACAGACAAGGAUUCAGUACAACAGCAAGAGUUCCGCGUGGUAAAAAGGUCUCAGAAGUCUCAUGCUACAGUAGGCAAGUUGUGCUAGGUUUCCAUGGAACACUUGCCACAGAAGAGAUUUGAUUCUAGAUCUUACCCUCCCAGAGGCACUCAGGGGAGGGGCCGCCGUUGUUGCGGUUGUUUCCAGAGGCGGCGCGCGCUAGGAGAUCACCAAGGUGGGGCGGUGGCUGGAGGCCCAUGGCGGAAGCACGCUCCCAGCGCUGAAGCCUGUUCACACCGAUGCAUGGGCCAAACUUCAUGUCCAUGUCAAACUGCCGCAGCUGCUCCUCUUGCUCACUGAAAUCAUCUGCAGCAUCAUAAGCAAGAGUUAUUGUUUGCAAACAUAAAGCACUUGUGAGUUUAAACUGUAUGCAUAACAAUCUCUCCAGCGGGUACCUUUGAGGUCAAAGGAUCCGUGAGAAAUUAGUGCUGCUGUCUGAGCCUUAUUCGAGGCCCCAACAGAGGCCCCUCCAGUAUAAUUCUGUGGUUUCUUCUUAGAAGAUGCUGAAGUUUUGCCGGCACCUCCUUUCUUCUUCUGCCGGUAGAAAUCUUUCACGCCAGUAGAAGCCAUUCUUGUCUAUUAUUCAGUCCUACCUGUGUUUUCCUGUCAAAGACCCCCAACGGAAACUUAAAAUCACUUCUGCUGUAGCUUUUGUGUUUCAUUUGCAUUUUAUUCAUUUCACCACAAAGAAUGCUAUGAGCUAUAAUAAGUACGAUGUGAACAUGACAACAGCAGAAACCUUUCAUGGUUUGUUCAUAGGUCUUACAUAGCCAAGUCCUUAUUCCCGAACACUAACGACCCAAUUUAAUAGAAGGAAUCUGAUAGCUGACGUUGUUCUAUCUACGAGAAUAUCAGUUUUUCUGUGACGACUUGUAAACGGCAUACAGUAUGAUUUAAGACUACGAUAAACUAGGUGCGAAACAGUUACUGCAAGAAGCAGCAACUACCAAGUAAUAUUUGCACAUAGGUUGUAAGACAUUAACCCAGCCAGUUCAAGAGUAAAUAGUCCGUUUGCCUGCCAACGUCAGAACAAAUGGAGCAAUCAUCUGACAAAAACAUGGAGCAUAAAUAAAACAGCAAGCAGGCAUGAAGAGAAGACAUAAAGCAUCAUUGUUCCCCAUCAGCAUAUAGUAUACCGACGACAACCAAACUACAAAAGGCCUACCUAUCUCUGUCAUUUCAAGGUCUAUUAAGCAGUGAGUUUAAGACACUGAAAUGCAUUGAUACAAGAGACACAUCUUGGUUCUUGAAACUCUGUAAAACAAAAACUCAUACUACUAACUAGUUAUGCCCAUGGUCAGCCACCGAACCCGAUGCUCCAAAACCAGAAUUGGCACUCUAGUGGAGAUGUCAUUUGUUCUACUUCCAUCACCCCCUGGGCUUAAAUACACAUAAUGUGCUCUUCUCUUAAGAACACCCCACCCCCCCCCCNNNNNNNNNNNNNNNNNNNNNNNNNNNNNNNNAAGAACCCCCCCCCCCCCCCCCCCUCCCUCCCUCUGGAAAAUCGGCCAAAAAGAGAGGCAAAACGAUACUAAUAAAACACAAUGAUAGCGGCUACUCCCCUUGCAAAUCUGAGGCUGUACCUCCAACUCCAGGCGGUCGCUCAACCAUUACAGUGUACAAAACCUAUCCCAAUCCCUUCCUGGUAAAGAAAUGUAUCCCCUAGACCUAGAAUCUCCCUCCCUCGAACUUGCCGCUGCGGUACAAAAUUAGGCGGUGAACGGCUGGGUUCUACGCAGGGAGGAACUCGGAAGUUGAUUGGAUGGAGCGGAGGGCGUACCAGGGGAGGCGGCGGAGCGGACCGAGCGGAGAGCCGGAGAACGGCGGCGAGGUCAGGUCGGUAGCGAAUCAGGUCUUCGCCUCUUUCGCGUUUGACUACGACGAUACUACAGUACUACUUUGUAUCGUGGCGUAAGAUAUGUAACGUAAACAUGCUGGCCCAGCGACGGCCCAUCAAGUCAGUGGGCGCUUAUAAACCAGACGUAGGGCAACCCAUCAAGUCGGGAAUUCCUACCUGCCGCUCGCUGCGGCAGGGGGUCGCUCCCAAGCACACGCAGGCGUCCUACUGGGCCUGCCCAUCUUUUUUUCUAAAGAAAAACGAUAAUUUCCUUUUUCAUUUCUUUUUUACUGUUUCUUCUUUCCUUUACUGCUUUUCCGCACCUUUUUUGGCUCCUUUUUCUUCCCGUUUCCUUUUUUAUUUUUGUAUCAAAACGAACAAAUGUUCAAUUUCUCAAUCUUUUUUUGAAAUACUAAAUGAUUUUUAAAUCAGAGAACAAAAAAUAAGGAGCUUUAUUUUUUGAAAAGUCAUGAACAAAUUUGGAGACGCGGACAAUUUUCUAAAGCAUGAACAUUUUUUGAAUCUUGAUAAAGUUUUUUGAAACAGAGAACAAUUUUGAAAAAACACAAACAAAUUGAAAGCACGACAUUUUUUGAAUUUUUAGAAGAAACAAAUUAAAGCACAAACAUUUUUUGAAUCUUGAGAACAAAAUUUUCAAAAAUAUAACAAUUUUGACAAACCCCAAACAAAUUUGAAAGCGCAAAUAAAGUUUUCAAGCACAAACAUCUUUUGAAUUUCUAGAACAAAUUUUGAAAUCAAAAACAAAAAUGAAAAAUCGUGAACAUAUUUGAAAGCGUGAAUAAAUUUUUUAAAGCAUGCCCAUUAUUUGAAUUUUGAGAUCAAAAUUUUGAAAUGAAGAACAAUUUUGAAAAACUCCGAACAAAUUUGGAAGCGCGAACAAUAUUUUCAAGCACAAACAUUUCCUGAAUCUUGAGAACAAAAUUUUGAAAUGGAGAACAUAUUUGAAAAACCCCGAACAAAUUUGGAAGCGCGAACAAUAUUUUCAAGCACAAACAUUUCCUGAAUCUUGAGAACAAAAUUUUGAAAUGGAGAACAUAUUUGAAAAACCCCGAACAAAUUUGGAAGCGCGAACAAAUUUUUAAAGCACGAACAUUGUUUGAAUUUUGAGGAGUUUCGAAACCAAUAACAAUUCUCAAAAAUCCUGAACUAAUUUGAAAGCGCAGACAAUUUUUUAAAGCACGAACAUUUUUUGAAUAUUAAUAACAAAUUUGAAUCUCAAGAAGAAAAUUUGAAGAAGUUUUCAAGUUGUGUACAAAUUUUGAGAAAAGAGAAACAUUCUCCAUAAAACAGGAACAUUUUUAUAAAAAAGUGAAAACAAUAACAUUUUCUGAAAACACAGACCAAUUUAAGAAAAAAUGAACUUUUUAAAAAAAACGAGCAAUUUUUUUUAAUACGAGAACAACUUUUGAAACACGAACACUUUUAAAAAUAUGAACACAUUUUGAAAGCAAGACGAAUUUUUGAAGCGCAAACAAUUAAAUAUAAAUAUUGAAAACGGGAACGUUUUUUGAAAUUCAAAACAAAUAUUAGAAAAUGUCAAACACAAAUAUAGGAAAAGGAAAAAAGGAAUAAAAGUGAAUGAAAUAAUGAAUACCAAAACAAAUAACAUUUUCUAAAAUUCGAAUAAUUGUUCUGAAAAUGUCGAACAUUUUUUUCAAAUCGCGAAAAAAAAUAGAAUUUAGAAAUGUUUUUGAAAAAUGGAAUUUUUUUACAAUUCCGAUUUUUUCUAUAAAAUUAAGAACAUUUUCUGAAUUUCAACAACAAUUAUCAAACAUGAACUUACUUUAAAAAAUAACCAUAGAAAAAAUGAGAAACAGAAAAAAGGACAAAAAAAGGGGGAAACGAAACAGAAAAAAGGACAAAAAAAAAAGCAAAAGAGGAACUGCCUGCAGAGGGAGAUGGGCCUCAAUGUGGUGAUUAAAGUAAUUAUAUUUCCAUUCCUCAAUGUGGUGAUUGAAAUAAUUAUAUUUCCAUUCCUUUGCUCACUUUUUUCCAACUGUUACAAUUAUCCUUGAUACCUAUAGAAAAGAUACAUUGGUCUAAAGAGUUUUGUGCAUUGUAAUAUUUGCACACAAUGUGUCUUCGUACCCACAGUAUACUAGGAUAUGAUUCCUGACUUGUUCACAUGCCACAAAUCUAAUUUUGAUUGUUUACAAUUAUCGGUGUUAAUGAUGCUUGUUCUUGUAAUUGACAUAAAGAAAGAAAAAUAUUAGUGUAGAUUCAUUGAUCUUAGAGUUCAAGAUUUAUGUUAGAAAUUGAAUGUGUCCUCGUUAAGAGGAGUUAAUCGUGUCCUUGUUGGGUUCGACACUCUUACUCAUCGAAAGGACUACGAUAGAUCCCCUGUAAUUAUGGGUCAUCAGGGACCCACAUGAACGUGGGUAGGCCCCACACCCCUAGUCAAGGUGCACCAAGAUCCCCCCUUAGAAGGAAUAAGAUCAUAUCCCGAAGGGAUAAGAUCAAGAUCCCUAAAAAAGGGGGAUAACAAUCGGUGGGGAAGGGAAAGGAUGGGACUUCUUUCCUCCCACAUUUGCCAACGCCCCAAUGGACUUGGAGGGCAAGAAACCGACCCCCUCCACCCCUAUAUAUAGUGGGAAGGCGCAUGGGAGCUUAACCCUAGCCCCUGGCGCAGCCCUCCCCCUCCUACACCUCCUCCUGCUCCAUAGUGCUUAGCAAAGCUGUGCCGGAGAACCACGAGCUCUACCGCCACCACACCGUCGUGCUGCCGGAGUUCUCCCACAACUUCUCCUCUCCCCUUGUUGGAUGAAGAAGGAGGAGACGUCCCCGGGUUGUACAUGUGUUGAACGCGGAGGCGCCGUUCGUUUGACGCUUGGAUCGGAUCUUCUGCGAUUUGGAUCAUCAUGAGUACAACUCCAUCAACAGCGUUCUUUGCAACGCUUCCGCUUAGCGAUCUUCAAGGGUAUAAAGAUGCACUCCCUCUCUCUCGUUGCUAGCAUCUCCUAGAUUGAUCUUGGUGACACAUAGGAUUUUUUUUGAAUUAUUACUACGUUCCCCAACAACUACCGCCAAAGAGUAGUAGUAAAAAACUACUACCACUCUUCCUACGGUACUAACGCUGGCACUAGCGGUACUACCGCUGUAAGUGCAUCUAGUGCGCCUUAGUGAUUUUGGUGGUUUGAAGACUUAUAGGUUAAGUAUCUAAUGUGUUUACGAGUGUACACAGGAUCUAUAAGUCACUGAGGAGUUUGAAAUAUUUGAGGAAUAUCGACCCCUAAAAAUGUAUAUCUUCGGUUGAAGAAAUUGGUCUAAAGCUGAAAAAUUGAAUCGCGAAGAAUCCGCGAUGAAAUUGAUAUUCCUCAUGAAGAUAUUGAAAUUGAGGAAUUCGGUGUGUCCUAAAGAAAAUCAUUCUGAAGACUUUGAAGCAUGAGGAUUUACUCUUUCUGUUUUAUUUUCUUCACACUUGAGUAAUAGGAACACCGUACUGUUAAAGGGGGUCGAAGUUACACUCUGGAAUGAAUUUCUUCAUGAUGCUCAACCCAAGCCUAAUCCUACCAAAAGCCUCAAGUGAGGAAUACGAGUGACAUGAGGACUCUCACAGUUGAGGGUUCCGACCGUUUCGAUAGCCACGCCACAUCAUUGGUCUUAUCCACACCAACGGUCAUAUUAUUUAAGGGCAUUAGUGUCAAAUCAUGUCAGGAUGCUCCCAGGCUAUAAAUAGCCGCCCCCACAACCAUUAGCUGGUUGGCUGCUCUGUUAGAAACUGACACUUGUCAUAAGAGCAACCCAAUUCCUCAGAGUCUUCGAGAGAAAUUUAUCAGUGAGGAAAUACCCCAAACACCAAACCACAAACUUAGAACCAAGUGAUUGAGCAUCACUGAAGAAGUUGUUCGUGUGUGGUACUGAAGCCUUUUACCUUUGAGGACUGUGCAUCCUCCAAACGGUUAGGCGUCAUGGUCUAGAGCAAUCGAGCAGUCAAUUGUGGAUCGCCGGGUGACCAAGUUUGUGAGGGUUUGGAAGUCUGCCCUGAAGACUUACCACGAGUGUUGGGUGAGGGCUGUGUGUUCUUAGCCCAAGGAGAAUACGGUAGGGACUGUGUGUCCCGGGACUGUGUGUCUUUUGGUUUCAAUACCAAACCGCUCCAAACCAGAUGUACGACUGUCAUAGCAGUUGGAACUCGGUCAUCAACUACUGUCUUCGCUGUGAAACGGAUUCUAAUUCCUCAACCCUUUACAUUCCUCAGAUUAUGUGUUGAUGACUUUCACUGUGACUGUUUGAAUAAUUUGCUGAAGACUUUCUCUGAAAUUCCUCAACCCCAAAUUCUUCAAACUAGUUAAUCCUCAUCUAUUUUCUGCCUGCCUGCUCACUGUGCAAUCUGUUUUCACAUUCCUCACACUGAAAAACUAUUGUUGUGAAACUUUGCACUUCUGAUCCUUUACUGUUUCCAAUGUAAGUUAGUCAUUAGUGAGGAAUUUCGUCAAAAGGAAUUUCCUGAGUAAUGAAAUUCUAAAAAUCUCCUAUUCACCCCCCUCUAGUCGAUAUAACGCACUUUCAACCGCUGGACACAGAAACUGCCAUAACUUUCGCAUAUGAGCUUCGAAUCAAAUGAACUGCAAGCACUGGGAGCUCGAGACAUUACUGAUCACGAAGUUGUGAAGAAACUGCUAAGAUCUUUGGAUUCUUCAUUUGAUACUUUAGUACUGAUGAUUCAAGAAAGACCAGACUACAAGAUGCUUGAUCCAGCUGAUAUACUCGAAAGACUCAAUACUCAUGAAUUCCAUGUAGAAGAAAAGAAAGAUCUAUAUGGACCAAGCUAUUCUAGACCACGUGCACUGAAGACUAGAGCAAUUUCCUCAUCUGAGGAAGAAAAUUCGGAUGAUAGCAUUGGUGACCCUGAAGAAUUUGGACAGGAGCUUGCAAUGCUCGUGAGGAAAUUCCAGAGGUUUACACGACGUGGUCAGUUCGGUAAAUCUUCAAGAAGAGACAUGAGGAAAUCAGAAUCUUCAUCUGAGGACUACAAGAAAAGAACCUGCCACAAAUGCAAGAAAUCAGGUCAUUACAUUGCUGAAUGUCCCCGUUGGGGAAAGGAAUCAAAGAAGAAGAAAUACAAGGAUGACAGUUCUGAUGACUCGUAGAAGAAGAAGAAAUCUUCAAAAUCCUCAUCUUCAAAGCCCUCAUCGCACAAGAAGACUAGUUUCAGAAAGGCUCGGGCACUUAUUGGCAAGGAAAUGGAUUCCGAGGCAGAAUCAGAGGAAUGUGAUGAAGAAGAGGGUUCUGAUGAAGACUCAGAAUCCGGACAGGCUAGUCUUGCACUUGCAACCACUUUCGUGAGCAAGUCAAUCUUCAACCUUGAAGAAGAUGACAACACCAUCCACAGUGAUGACUAUGCUGAUGACUUUGCUCCAACCUAUUGCUUCAUGGCAAAAGGUUCAAAGGUACCGAAUGAUGCUUCCUCCUCUGAUUCAAGUGACUCUGAACCUAAUGAUUAUAAAAAACCCAGUUACAGUAAACUUGCUAUCAUUGCCACUAAACAACAAACUGCCCUGGAAAAGCUUCAGAAACUGCUAGAUAGAAGUGAUGAUCUGUUGAAUGAUGAAAUGAAUCUUACCCAAAUCCUCACUGAAGAUGUGAAAAGUCUUCAGUCUAGAUUUGAUAAUCUUCAAGAUCGUUAUGAUACCCUCCUCGCUGAUCAUGAAAAACUUUCCUAUGAAUUUAUUCAAAGGAAGCUUGAUCUAGAGAAGUUGAGGAUUUCUCAUGAUGAUCUUCGUAUAGAAAAUGAUUCAUUUCUAGCUCAACAGAUCAGCGCUGCUCAAGCUGAAUUCAUUCCUCCAUGUCUUAAAUGCAUUGAAUGCGAAACUGCUAAUUCUUCACCAGAAUCAUCAAAUGCUUCUAUUGCUACAAAUUCUUCAACUGCACCUGUAGUGUCACUUGAGGAAAACACAAAUGUUACUGAUGAAAAUGCAGGGUUGAAGGAAUUGUAUGUGACAGGCAUAUACAAAAGCCUCAAAGGACAUCAAACCCUUUGUGAUGUUCUCAAAAAGCAGAUCUUGAACAGGAACCCGAGGAAAGAAGGAAUUGCCUUUGAGAGGAAAUUAAAUGCACAUGGAUCUUAUUGGAAACCUGAGCAGUAUCCAAAAACCUCAUGGGUUGCUGCUACUGGGCCUCCUUUUGAUCCAUCCAAUCUAACUGGCUUUUCAUGUGAAUUAUCCUAUUCCUCACAUGAGUCAUUUGACUCCAACUAUAAACUGUUCAAAUAUCAAUCUGGUGAAGUAUUUGCUCGAUAUGUUGGAACUAACUGCAGGAAUGGCCCUCCUUUGAGGAAAAUCUGGGUUCCCAAAAGUUGUCUUGAAAAUCUUCAGGUGAAUGUCCUCAUGACACCACCAAUGAAGAAUCUGAACCCCAGAUCAAAAUCCUCAGGAGGACCAAAGUCUUCAAGAGGAUCAAAAUCCUCAACUGAUCAAAAUUAUGCUCAUUCCCGUGCUAAUACUUCUAACAUGCAGGGAAACUACAAGGAAUAUGAAUAUGAGCGUUACUCUUCAAAUCAUUAUGUUCGUAAGUCCUCAAACCAGUUCUCUGCAUAUUCAUAUGAGUACUUUAACCCCCCUACUGUUAAGAGAAGUGCAUUAGCUUCAAUGCCACCUUUUUCAUAUGGUACUCGCAGGAUGAUGAAUGCUUUACCACCCCUUCAGAUGUGGAUGGUGAAGAAAUCGAACUAAUCACUUCUGCAGGUCAGGUCUCCACUUGAAAAUCACCAUCUGAAGAAUUUGCUGGAGACCUGAGGAAAUGCUUGAUAGGACGCAAGCUAAUAUUGAUGAAAUAGAAAUAUUUCACACGUCUUUUUUAAUUCUGUUAUGAUGAAAUUCUUAUCUUAUGAAAUUGAUAUCAUAUUCUUCAAAUCUGAAGUGUAUGAGAUGGUAAGCUGUACUAAUUCAUCUACAGGAUGACAAACCCAAGAAUACUGUGUGGGUUCUUGAUAGUGGCUGCACCCAUCACAUGACUGGUGAUAAAAGCUUGCUGAUGAAUAUGCCACUAACUCCAUCACCUCUGAAGCAAAUCACAUAUGCUGACAAAGGUAAAAGCAAGGUAUUGGGACUUGGCAAAGUGGCUAUUUCCAAGGAUAGGCAUAUGGACAAAGUGAUGCUUGUUGAAUCCCUUGGUUUUAACCUCAUGUCAGUCUCGAUGCUUUGUGAUCUUGAUAUGAUUGUUAUCUUUGGUAGAUAUAGAUGUGUAGUCUUCAUGGAAUCUGACAGAUCCAAAGUCUUCGAAGGUGUAAGAAGAGGGGAUUUGUGCAUUGUUGAUUUCUCUACAAGUCCUCAACCAGCCACUUGCUUACUAGCAAAGACCUCAGAAGGAUGGGUGUGGCACCGAAGACUAGGUCAUGCAGGCAUGAGGAAUUUGCACACGCUUGCGAAGAAGAAGCAUGUCAUCGGCAUCGAAUCAGUCAAAUUCCUCAAGAAUCAUCUCUGCGGUGCAUGUGAAUCUGGGAAAAUGACCAGAUCCAAGAAUCCCUCGAAGACUAUCAUGACCACUACACGUCCCUUAGAAUUGCUUCAUAUGGAUCUAUUUGGACCUACUCACUAUGCCACACUAACCAAUGCAGCAUCUUUAUAUGGCUUCGUCAUAGUUGAUGAUUAUUCCAGAUAUACAUGGGUGCAUAUCAUCAUAUAUAAAACUGAAGUGCAGGAAAUCUUCGAACGAUUUUCUUCAAGGGCCUCGACGAACUUUGGCAUCAAGAUCAAACAUAUCAGGAGUGAUAAUGGAAUAGGGUUCAAAAACACUGGUCUCGAUGAUUAUCUUGAUGAACUUGGUAUUACUCACGAAUUAUCUGCUCCUUAUAUUCCUCAGCAGAACGGUGUCGUCGAGAGGAAGAACAGGACUCUGGUUGAGAUGGCAAGAACUAUGCUUGAAGAAUAUCAGACUCCUCGUCGCUUUUGGCCUGAAGCAAUCAACACUGCAUGCCAUAUCAUCAACAGGGUAUAUCUUCACAAAUUCCUCAAGAAAACCUCAUAUGAACUCAUCACUGAUAAGAAACCCAAUGUAAGUUAUUUCAAAGUCUUCGGUGCAAAAUGUUGGAUUAGAGAUCCUCACCAUAGCUCAAAAUUUGCACCUAAGGCACAUGAGGGUUUUAUGCUCGGUUAUGGAAAGGACUCGCACACCUACAGAGUCUUCAACAACUAUCACAACAAAGUUGUUGAGACUGUAGAUGUGCGGUUCGAUGAAACUAAUGGCUCGCAAAGAGAGCAAUUGCCUUGUGAUCCAGAUAAGUUGUCUCCUGAGGAAGCAAUAAAGCUCAAGCCUACUGAAGACAUUGUUCCCACUGAGGAAAUUGAUGAAGAAACCAUCCCCAUCACUGAUGAAAAUCAAGAAGAUGCUCUUGAGGAAAUUGCUCCAGAACCUCUUCCUCAGCCCAGACGAAAUCCUCAACCAGCUCAUCCGAGGAUUGCAAAUGAAGUAGAACUUGACAAAAUCCUCAACGACAUCAACGCGCCAGGUCCUCUCACUCGCUCAAAAGCUUCACACUUAGUUAACUUUUGUGGGCAUUUUUCCUUUGUAUCUAUCACAAAACCCUCAAAAGUUGUUGAGGCUUUCUUGGAACCGGAGUGGAUCCAAGCUAUGCAAGACGAACUUCUUCAAUUCAAGCUGAAUGACGUAUGGGAGCUAGUCAAACGACCAGAUCCUCGCAAGCACAACAUCAUCGGAACAAAGUGGAUUUUCCGAAACAAGCAAGAUGAGGAUGGUCAAGUGGUGAGGAAUAAGGCAUGACUCGUAGCCCAAGGCUACAUCCAGGUUGAAGGAAUAGAUUUCGAUGAAACUUCUGCACCUGUUGCUAGACUUGAAGCUAUUCGAAUACUACUUGCUUAUGCUAAUCAUCAUAACAUCAUCUUAUAUCAAAUGGAUGUGAAAAGUGCAUUCCUCAAUGGUAAGCUUGAGGAAGAAGUAUAUGUUGCUCAACCCCCAGGUUUUGAGGAUUCAAAGAAUCCAGACAAAGUAUUCAGACUCAAAAAGGCGCUCUAUGGUCUCAAGCAAGCCCCUCGGGCAUGGUAUGACACAUUGAAGGAAUUCCUCAUGAAGAAAGGCUUCAAACCUGGUUCACUCGAUCCAACUCUUUUCACUAAAUCCUAUGAUAAUGAGCUAUUUGUGUGCCAAAUAUAUGUCGAUGAUAUCAUAUUUGGCUGUACUGACAAACGAUACAGUGAUGAAUUUGCUUACAUGAUGAGUGAAAAAUAUCAGAUGUCUAUGAUGGGGGAGCUGAAAUUCUUCUUAGGUCUUCAAAUUCGUCAACAACGCAAUGGAAUCUUCAUAUCACAGGAGAAAUACCUCAAGGAUGUUCUGAGGAAAUUCGACAUGCAUGAAUGCAAAGGUGCCAAGACUCCAAUGCCUACAAACGGACACCUCGGCACUGAUGAAAAUGGUAAAGAAUUCGAUAAACAGGUAUAUCGCUCUAUGAUUGGCACUUUAUUGUAUCUGUGUGCAUCUAGGCCAGAUAUAAUGCUUAGUGUUUGCAUGUGUGCACGUUUUCAAGCAAAAUCGAAGGAAUCACACCAUAAGGUUGUGAAAGCAUAUUCUUCGAUACUUAGCUCACACACCAACACUAGGAUUAUGGUAUCCCAAGGGCUCAAAUCUUCAUCUGGUAGGGUAUUCUGAUUCUGACUAUGCUGGUGAUCAUGUGGAUCGCAAGUCAACUUCUGGUACAUGUCAUUUCCUCCGAAGAUCACUAGUUUGCUAGUCCUUAAAGAAGCAGAAUUGUGUAUCACUCUCCACUGCCGAAGCUGAGUACAUUGCUGCUGGUUCAUGCUGUGCUCAAUUACUAUGGAUGAAGCAAACCCUCAAGGACUACGGCAUCAACAUGAAGAAUGUGCUUCUCUACUGCGACAAUGAGAGUGCAAUCAAGAUUGCAUACAACCCAGUACAACACUCGAAGACCAAGCACAUCCAGAUUUGUCAUCAUUUUCUUCGGGACCAUGUCCUCAAGGGCAAUAUCCUCAUCGACCAUGUGAAGACUGAUGAUCAACCGGCAGAUAUCUUCACUAAGCCCUUGGAUGAUAAAAGGUUUUGCAAGUUGCGGUGUGAGCUAAAUAUCUUAGAAUCUUCAAAUGUUUUGUAAAAACAUGCACACAUCCUAACACUUAUGCAAAAUUGAUGACUUAGAUGUGCAACACAUGAUGAAUCGAUUUUCUUCAACUAAUGAAGAAUAUCACUCUGAAUGUGGAGAAAUCAACGAAGAAAUUGAUUCUCACGGCCCUACGACAAUUGUACGCGGCGUCUGUAAUCAACAUUCUUAUAUGGUGGGUCACGCCACCGCCCAACGUGAAAUUCCUCAAGUUGAUUUUCUUCAAAGUUCCAUUUCCUCAAAACUUGUUUUUCUUCAAAAACACUUGAUGACUUUCGUUUAACUACAUAGACUGUGAUUUCAAGUCCUCAACAGCAUUCACUUAUAGCUAUUUCUUCAAGUUGAUAUUUCAUCUAAGUGAAUGUGAUCGGACCCUACUUUCCCUCUAUGCUAUUCUCAUCCAGUCUAUUCGAUUCUUCAUAUGCGUUCUGCUUGAAACUUUGUUCAAAAUCCUCACUGCGUCCUUGUCAGCUGAUGAUUUUGUAACUAAAAUCCUCAACUCUUCAAAAAUGUUUCUUUAAUGCACAGUAACCGAACCCCACUUCCCACGUUCGGAUAACCACGAUCUCCACUAUCUCCACCGCCUUGCUCGGGAGCUACACGUGUCCUGCGGAGACGUAGAGGCAGGGGUUGUUUGGUCCGAAUUCUUCGCGCCGACAGUAACUGCCUGGCUAUAAAUAUGUCCUUAUACCCCUCGGCAAACACUUCUUCGCUCCAUUGCUCUCCUGCUAUAGCAAAAGCCCCGAACCCUAGCGCCACCGGUGGAAGUCUCAUCGCCGGCAAAGAAGAGCUUCACUGCCUCGACUUCUCCGUCGCCGGAACCACGCCGGAGUCGGACCAUCUUCGUCCGCCGCCGCCGUAGACGUCCUCUGCUGCCGGGUUAGGGCGCAUUGGACACGCACCGAAGAGCUUCUCUCUGCAACUCUUCUCUGUUCUUCGUGCGCGCCAUCUAGGGUAAAUAAAAACCCUAUUUUUACAGCAAGUUAGAUCUACUAUUUUACAUCUCAGAUGUGAAAUCUAUUUUUCCUCAAGAAUCCAUAUGCAUCUGAUUCCUCAAACACUGCCUAUCACCACACUGUUGAUGAACUUCACUAAGCAUCUAAGAUUUUCACGAGAUUCCUCAAUUGUGUGAAUUUUUGGAUCUGUACAACUCUGGAACCCAAGAACGGUAUGCUUAGGCAAAUUCCUCAACCACUGGUUAAAUGUUAGAAUUAUGCCCUAGAGGCAAUAAUAAAUAUAGUUAUUAUUAUAAUUCNNNNNNNNNNNNNNNNNNNNNNNNNNNNNNNNNNNNNNNNNNNNNNNNNNNNNNNNNNNNNNNNNNNNNNNNNNNNNNNNNNNNNNNNNNNNNNNNNNNNUAAAGUGAAUGCAGCUGUUUCUAAUGCAUAACCCCAAAACGAUAACGACAAAUCAGUAAGAGACAUCAUAGAUCGCACCAUUUCUAAUAAAGUACGAUUACGACGUUCGGACACACCAUUACGCUGUGGUGUUCCAGGCGGUGUUAACUGCGAAACAAUUCCACAUUGUCUUAAGUGAGUACCAAACUCGAAACUCAGAUACUCACCCCCACGAUCAGACCGUAGGAACUUGAUCUUCUUGUUACGAUGAUUUUCCACUUCACUCUGAAAUUGCUUGAACUUUUCAAAUGUUUCAGACUUGUGCUUCAUCAAGUAGACAUAACCAUAUCUACUCAAAUCGUCAGUGAAGGUGAGAAAAUAACGAUAUCCGCCGCGUGCCUCCACGCUCAUCGGACCACACACAUCGGUAUGUAUGAUUUCCAAUAAGUCACUUGCACGCUCCAUUGUUCCGGAGAACGGAGCUUUAGUCAUCUUGCCCAUGAGGCAUGGUUCGCAAGUGUCAAGUGAAUCAAAGUCAAGUGACUCCAAAAGUCCAUUAGCAUGGAGUUUCUUCAUGCGCUUUACACCAAUAUGACCCAAGCGGCAGUGCCACAAAAAUAUGGCGCUAUCAUUGUUUACUCUAACUCUUUUGGUCUCAAUGUUAUGUAUAUGUGUAUCGCUAUCGAGAUUCAAUAUGAACAAUCCUCUCACAUUCGGUGCAUGACCAUAAAAGAUGUUACUCAUAGAAAUAGAACAACCAUUAUUCUCAGACUUAAAAGAGUAACCGUCUCGCAAUAAACAAGAUCCAGAUAUAAUGUUCAUGCUCAACGCAGGCACUAAAUAACAAUGAUUUAGGUUCAUCACUAAUCCCGAUGGUAGGUGAAGUGACAUGGUGCCGACGGCGAUUGCAUCAACCUUGGAACCGUUUCCUACGCGCAUCGUCACUUCGUCUUUCGCCAGCCUCCGUCUAUUCAUCAGUUCCUGCUUCGAGUUGCAAAUGUGAGCAACAGAACCGGUAUCGAAUACCCAGGCACUACUACGAGAGCUGGUUAAGUACACAUCAAUAACAUGUAUAUCAAAUAUACCUGAUUUUUCUUUGCCCGCCUUCUUAUCUGCCAGAUACUUGGGGCAAUUGCGCUUCCAGUGACCCAUACCCUUGCAAUAGAAGCACUCUGUUUCAGGCUUAGGUCCAGCCUUGGGUUUCUUCGGCGGAUUGGCAACAGGCUUGCCGCUCUUCUUCGAAUUGCCCUUCUUGCCUUUGCCGUUUCUCUUGAAACUAGUGGUCUUGCUCACCAUCAACACUUGAUGUUCUUUACGGAGUUCAGACUCUGCGACUUUCAGCAUCGCAAACAACUCGCCGGGAGACUUUUUCAUCCCUUGCAUGUUGUAGUUCAACACGAAGCUUUUAUAGCUUGGCGGUAGUGAUUGGAGGAUUCUGUCAGUGAUAGCUUCUUGCGGGAGUUCAAUCCCCAGUUCAGCUAGACGGUUUGAGUACCCAGACAUUUUGAGCACAUGUUCACUNNNNNNNNNNNNNNNNNNNNNNNNNNNNNNNNNNNNNNNNNNNNNNNNNNNNNNNNNNNNNNNNNNNNNNNNNNNNNNNNNNNNNNNNNNNNNNNNNNNNGCCGCCAGGAUAGCCGAUUCUCUCUAGCGGACUGAUUCAGAGGCUCGUAGAGGAAUCGAGCAGAUCCGCGCCUUGUUGCUUAUGGUGCAAUAGCAAAAUUCGGCGAUCUCCCAGUCGCACAACAGGAUCCACAACAGUUCUGUUCAAGCGAACACGCAUCGGUCGGUUUUCAGUCCCGACUCUCACCAGCGAUGCAGAGGGGGCAGCCGUUCCAAGGACCCGAGUCGGAAUACGCUUCCCAUUUGGUCUCAUCCCGAAGAUCGUCGCCGUUCGCGUACUCCUCCAUGGUGUGGGCCUUACGGGCCCCGGCAUUACGAUGAUCGUCGUUCGGGCGGUGGCGCGCAUGAUCCAAGGCCUGAUGCAAGAGGGUACAUCACCCAGACGAAGGUCGACAAAAGUCGAGCCCACCGUGAUGGUCAGGAUAGAGACCAUCCGAGUGGAAGCAGGACCGUUGUUUCUGGCCCCGAGUGCUUCAGUCGGGCCAUCCGCUCAGCUGACAUCCCUCCCAACUUCUGAUUGGUGACGGGAAUCAGCAAAUUCACAGGAGAGUCCAAACCAGAAACUUGGUUGGACGACUACAGAGUGGCGGUCCAGAUCGGUGGCCGAGAUGACCAUGUCGCCAUGAAAUAUCUCCCACUGAUGCUCGACGGUUCGGUGCGAGCUUGGCUAAACUAGUUAGCUCCGUCAAGGAUCUACAGUUGGGCAGAUCUGGCCCGAGUCUUCAUAAGGACCUUUCAGGGAAUGUGCAAACGCCCUGCUGGUCUCGUGGAGCUUCAUCACUGUGUCCAGAAGCAAAACGAGCCCUUGCGCGAUUUCAUCCAGCACUGGACGACCCUCUACCACAAGGUGGAGAAUGUCACAGAGCACCAAGCAGUCUGUGCCUUCAAGGUAGGCGUUCAAUACAGAGAUCUGUACCUGAAGUUUGGUCGGACAGGCGACAUCUCCAUGAGCAAGAUGAUGGAGAUAGCCACGCGCUAUGAAAUGGCGAAGAGGAGGACCACAUAUGUAGCGGCAAGCAUAAGUCAGUCGCCGAUGGAGAUGGGAACAACUGUUGGAAGCAGAAGCAGAAUUCUCAAUCCACUCCGCAGGCAUAGGCAGCAGCCGUCACAAAUGCCAAGUUCAAAGGCAAGGGGAAAGCACAAUACGCCCCCAAGAAGAGGCAAUCAGGAAAUUCCAUCCUAGAUCAACCGUGUCCAAUCCACACGAAGACAGAUGAAGAAGGCAAUGUCAUAUUGUCGAAGCAUACCACUCGGCAGUGUCGCCUCCUGAUCCAAGGAUUCGGCGAAGGACAACCGAGUGAGAAGGACACCGAGCAGGAUGAUGAGGACAAGGAGGAUCCGUUCCCCCUAGUCCAUGCAACAUUGAUGAUUUUUGUUGAUGUGGAAAGCAAAAGUCGACUGAAGCUGGUCAACAGGGAGGUAAACAUGGCAACCCCAUCCACUCCCACGUUCCUCAAGUGGUCACAGACUGUGAUCACCUUUGAUCAGUCAGACCACCCAGCACACGUACCCACCCCAGGGAGGCAGGCUCUGGUCAUCGACUCGGUGGUGGAAGGAGUUAGGCUGCGCAAAUUCCUCAUGGACGGCGGCAGCGGCUUNNNNNNNNNNNNNNNNNNNNNNNNNNNNNNNNNNNNNNNNNNNNNNNNNNNNNNNNNNNNNNNNNNNNNNNNNNNNNNNNNNNNNNNNNNNNNNNNNNNNACGCACACACUACAUGUACUAUGUUCGUUUCGUUUCAUUUUCUUUGUUSCGMRAARGGGUUAGGUUUUGGGAAGUUUGGGGUACCGUUGGGGUCGUUAGUUCGAGGAUGUAGGUGGGCAACGGGUASGCACACGGCAUGCACACAGGAGAUGCGGUCACUGAUCACGUAAGCUACUUGGUGAGUUUCUUGCACGAGGCCGAUGAUUUUCUUGAAGAAAAACUCAACGACCGAUGACGAGAGCUAGGGAGCGAGUGCGACACCAUACAACCGCGCAACUUCUGUAUGAUGCAAACCUUGACCUUUCGAAUCAUCUAGUUGCCUUCCCCGCCAAAAUUCUAGUUAAAUUUGGUGCGAUCACCCUCGGAGUGUGAAAAAACGGGUUCGGUUUGGUCCUAUGUUCAAACUGAAAAUGGUUGGAUGCAGAGAAGCAGCCAGGGAUUGGAUGGUUGGAUCAUCUCUAACAGAUUCCUUAAAAAUGGUUAAAUUUCAUAAGAAAUAACGUACAGUUGUCAACAAACAUCUCAAGUAACUAUUUUCAAACCGAAUAGUAGCCCGUAAAAGUGGUUAAAUCCGUAAACCCCUGAGCAUCCACCCCAUGACUCCUUUAUUUCCAUAUUUGGAGGCAGAACUGAGGAUACCUUAAAAACCGGUCAACGUUACUCCCUCCCUCCGUCCACAAAUAAGUGUACAUAUAGAUUUUUACUUAGUUAAAUUUUUUAAAAUUUGAUCAAUUUUAUAGAAAAUAGUAGCAACAUAUAUGGCAUAAAAAUGAUAUAUUUAAAAACUUCAUGUAAAGACGAAUCUAUUGAUACUUAUUUGAUGUCAUAAAUGCUAACACUUUUCUCAAUAAAGUUAGUCAAAGUUUAACUAGUUUGACUGACAGAAAAGGAAAAAGUACACUUAUUACCGGACGGAGGGAGUAUAUGAUAAAGGAUUUUGUCGUGCGCACACGGGCUCCGAUGACCUUUCACCAUGAAACUCGCCAACUCGAGCAGCUACGGACUAGCUAGCUACGCUAGAUCGAUUUGUAUUUGGCUGCUUCGUGUGCUGUUCGUCGGCUUUUUAGAGCGAGCUAGUUGAUCGUGGAUAUGAACGAGAUGAAGAAGAAGACUGAGACAAAUAUAAGCAAAUAUUCAGUUUUAUAGUUUAAGUUUGAGAGGUUUGUUCGACCGCAACUCAAAUCGAUUCUUAAAAUGCGUUUUUUUCUGAAUUGAAAACCGCGCUUCAGUUUCACGAUUUAAGGGUUCUGCUGGAGGUGCUCUUAGGAGGGUGUCCGUGCCCCGGGCUAUCACUCAUCAAACCUCGGGUAAUGGGCAUCAUUUAAAAAAAUAAGAGACGACAUUCUGGUGUGAGUGCACGCAUGCAUGAGUCUACAUUGUAACAUGUGUUUAAAAAAGGAUUUUGUUUUAGAGGAUUUGAUGCUUAUGAUCACCUAGUCAAGGAAAUGAGUUAAGAAACUCGGUAACUGGUUUCUUGUAAUCGGUGUUUUCCAUGUUGAUAAUUUUCUUCGUCGAAAAUUAAGAUAAUUUGGAAACAAAAAUAGGAAAAGAGUUUCUUUUGUUGAAAACUAAGAUAAUUUGAAAUGAAAACUAGGAAAAGGUGAUUUAAAAUAUAAAAAAUAUAUGUGACCAAAAACAAGAAACCGGUUGUGUAUAAAACUGCAAGCUUACACAAGGAAUUUUGACUUGAAAUUUAUCGGGAAACAUCCAUAAUCACAUAAGAACUCUAAAAUGUUUAGACAAAUGUGAAAUAUUCCACAUAAGGAUUCGAAAACUUUUGAGAACUUUUAGAAGUAAAAAAAUGUUUAUAUCUAGUCCCAUGUUCAAACUAAAAAUGGUAUGAUACUAUACAUUGGACAAAUGAAGUAGAAAAGUAAGGAAAAAAGGAAGUGUUGUAAAUAAAUAGUCGAAAACUUAAGUGAUUCGAAGGAAAACAAUGAAAAGUAAUGUUAAAAACUUACGGAUAUACAAAAGAAAAAAAGAAACCAAUUGUGAAAAAGGUAUACAUUCAUAGAAACAUGAUAUUUCAAAAUUGAAAUUGUCUUGGAACAUCUAUAACAUCAAAAAUUCUGAAAUACCGUUAUAGUGUAAAAAAACUGUCUGCAUGGAUUGUUUUUGUCUAGUUCACCUCUGUUUUUAGAAUAAAUGUGUCUGUUAGGCAUAAAAUUCAUAGGAGAUAUUAGCAUUUCUUUAAUAUUUUUAGCUCCUUGUUUGUUUUCAAGUUUCUUGUUUUCCCUACUUAUUUUUGCUAAGUGUAUGUCUUUUGCGUGAAUAAGUGGAUGCAACCUCGUCAUAAAAAACAUUACUUGGGUAAUUAACCAACUUCUAGACAAUUUGACAAUUUUUUAUGCUUUCAAAAACAAGAAURGCCAAUACAGAGUUAAGAUAUGACGAGGUUAUUUGGGUAAUUGACCAACUUUUAGACAAUUAUUUAUGUUCUCGGAAACAAGAAGUUGAGAUAUCAAACGGUUAUUUGGGUAAUUGACCAACUUUUAGACAAUUAGUUUGACCCACAAAAUAAUCGCCAAAAUAAGGGUUUGCACGGAAAAUGUUGCCACACAAGACCCUGCAAACGCGUCCGACCCGCAAACUUUUUUGACGGGCGCGGCAAAAUCCCCUCCCGACCCACGAAAACACAGGUUUCCGCCUCGCCUAUAGGAUGCCCUGCAUUCGAGGGAAGCGGUUAGCGGGACGGACAUUUCAGCCCACGCCCUUUCCCCACCCCCUUCCGCUGCCGCGCCGCCAUUAGUUCCCCCUAUCCCCCGUCGGUGAUUCUGCCGAAUCUACCGGGUGAAUCGCGCCGCUGGGCACCACUGUCCUCUUCCGCCAAGCCGCUACAUCGACUCCCCCGGAUCCGCCAAUCCACGGCGGCGGGAGAGCCACCGCCGGAGAUGGACUUGAGCCUGUGCGAGAAGUUUCCGCUCGAGGAUUCAUCCGAUUCGGACGACCCAGAUGUUGAGACGAUGUUCUCAUAUUUUGCCAGCAUAGUUUGGUGAUGGCCCUCGCCGUGAAGGAGCACGAAGACGAGCACCGAAAGAGGCGGCGUGGAUCAACUAUUAGUCGUCUUUGCAUUCCUCGAAAUAGCCAUCUCGGCAACGAGAUGCUGAUGCGAGACUACUUCGCCGCCAAUCCAACAUACCCGCCGCACCUCUUCGGGAGAAGGUACCGUAUGUGCAGAUCCAUGUUUGUUAAAAAAAGUUAAGCUUGCGAGGCUAAUUGUCGAUAUUUUACUCAAAGAAGGAAUGUCGCGGGCUUGAAGGGAUUUAGUGCAUAUCAGAAAAUCUCGGCAGCUAUGCGGGUAAUUUCAUACGGCGUUCCGGCUGACUAUACCGAUGAGUACCUUCGCAUUGGGGAAGACAGUACAAUUGAGUCGGUGCGUAGGUUUGCCAAAAUGAUUGUCCGUGUCUUUGAUCCUGAAUAUCUUUGGGCACCGAACGAGGAAGACACAAAAAAUUGAUGACAUUUAACGAAAGAAGAGGAUGGCUCGCAUGCUAGGAAGCAUAGAUUGUAUGCAUUGGACUUGAAAAAAUUGUCCAAAAGCAUGGCAAGGAAUGUACCGUGGCAAGUCUCGUGAUGCAACAAUUGUGCUAGAGGUCGUACCUUCACAUGAUUUAUGGAAUUGGCCUUGAUUUUUUGGUAUGCCGGGUACUCUAAAUGAUAUAUAUCAAUGUGUUGCAACGGUCUCAUUUGCUUGCUAGGCUUGCUAGUGGUGAUGCUCCAGCUUGCAAAUACACUAUCAAUGGGCAUGAAUACACAAAAGGAUACUAUCUUGCAUAUGGUAUAUACCCUUCUUGGUGCACAUUUGUGAAGAGCAUCAAAGACCCCCAAAGUAGAAAGGAGUCUGAAUUCGCAAGGGCACAAGAGGCAGCCUGAAAAGACAUUGAAAGAGCAUGUGGGGUUUUGCAAUCUAGGUUUGCCAUUGUUCGUGGUCCUGCUCGAUUUUGGGACAAACGAUCCUUAAAAAACAUCAUGACAUGUUGUGUUAUUCUUCAUAAUAUGAUUCUCGAAUAUGAGAGAGGCAUGAACUUGGAGUUCUUCUAUGCAAUGUGGACAGUCGUGUCAAACCAGCUAGAGACCCUAACCGAAUUAGAGCUUUUCUUUAGACCUACAGUGUAAUGACCCAGAUGUAACCCUUGCCUUUUGUGGAACCCUUUCCUAUUUUGGGUCAUGAUGGCAAUGCUAUAAGAGUAUCAUUUCAUGCGGUCAUUUCAUGUCAUCACUUUUGGAUCAUGCCAUUCAUUGCAUUCAUGUUUUCUCCUUUGUGUUGAUGUUGUUGCUUGAUCCUUCAUUAGUGGAGUGUGUUGUGUUUGAUGUGGUGAUGUCUUCAAAACAUUGUUGCUUUCAACUAGGUUUCAAAAACCCCUUCUUCUUUAUUUAUUCGAGCUCAUGUUUAACUUGCUCAAAAUCUAUUUUAGAAAUGUUGUUCAUUUUGUAGUUUUACCUUGUGGAUGAGGGAUACUGUUUUGGGGUUUUUAAAACUUAAAUGAAUGGGAGUUUAAAUACAAAAACAGCAUAGAUUUUCUGUUUUUGCAUUUAAAUUACUUGCUCUAAAAAUCUGGUUUUUAUUUUUUUUAAAUAGGGCAUAAUUCCCUUAUGCCCUGUGUGCUUUAGUUUUUAUUUUUCCAAACACUCUGGAGCACUGGGCUUUUUGCUUUCUGCUUGGUUUAAAUAAAAUAGGAAAAACCCUUGUUUUAUUUUUUUCCUAUCAUGCGCUAGAUAGGAGUGGGCUUCCUUUUCUCUCCCUGGGCCGCCUCCUUUUCUCCCGAGCCAGGCCCACCCGGCGACCCUCUUCUUCCUCCUCGCUGUCGUCACUGUGUACGACGCCACCUCCACCACUGAUCUUCCUCCCCCUUCGAUCUGGUGGCUCCAAGCAUGCCUCCCGAGGUCAUAUAAGGAGCCGGUGCCUCCCUGCGUCUAGGGUUCUAUUUUCCCCUCCUCUUCUCCCUCUAGCGCCGCCAGGAACAUAGCAGAGCAUCCCCAUCGCCAUGGAGACCUCCGGCCCGAGCUCGACGCCGGCGUAGCCUCGACCUCGCCUCCUCCCCGAAGCUGCCGGGAGCAAGAGGACUGAUGUCCCAUAAGCGUAUGGGAUCGCAACAGUUUUCGAGGGUAGAGUAUUCAACCCAAAUUUAUUGAUUCGMCAAGACGGGAAGCGAAAGAAUAUUCUCAAGUAUUAGCAGUUGAAUGUGUCAGAUUCAACCACACCUGAAAGAUUAGUGUCUGCAAGCAAAGUAUCAGUAGCAAGGUAGUAUGAUAGCAACGGUGCCAGAAACGAUCUGUUGACGGCAGACUAUUCCUAACUGUUGUAUCAAUGGCGCUAGCACGUUGACGGGGGAUUAUUCUUUAGAAGAAUGCUUCCCCGGCUACGGCUCCAACAAAGUCUUGCAACAAGUAACAGCGGAGUAGCAAGGAACAGCAGUAGCAGCAUCAACAAAGUAACAAGUAACAGCAGUAGCAAAGUGGCCCAAUCCCUUUGUAGCAAGGGACAAGCCUAGGCAAAGUAACGUAGCGAGGACCAGUAGUAAAAGACUCGUACGCAGUGGAUCGGUGAUGGAUGAGUAUGACGGAUGUGAUUCAUCAUGUAAUAGCUAUAACACGGAGAGAUAUGUAACUAGCUCCCUUUCAUCAAUCUAAUGUAGGCAUGUAUUCCAUAUGUAGUCAUACGUGCUUAGGGAAAAGAACUUGCAUGACAUCUAUUUUCCAUCCCUCCCGUGGCAGCGGGGUCCUAAUGGAAACUACGGGAUAUUAAGGUUCUCCUUUUAAUAAAGAACCGGACCAACGCAUUAACACGCAGUGAAUACAUGAACUCCUCAUACUAUGGUCAUCUCCGGGAGUGGUUCCGGCUAUUGUCACUCCGGGGUUGCCGGGUCAUAACACAUAGUAGGUGACUACAACUUGCAAGAUAGGAUCUAAAACACACAUAUAUUGGCGACAACAUAAUAGGUUAAGAUCUGAAAUCAUGACACUCGGGUCCUAGUGACAAGCAUUAAGCAUUGCCAAGUAGUAGCAACAUCAAUCUAGAACAUAGUGGAUACUAGGGAUCAAUCCCCGUCAAGAACUAACUCGAUUACAUGAUAGAUCUCAUCCAACUCAUCACCUUCCAGCAAGCCUACGAUGAGAUUACUCACGAACGAUGAAGAGCAUCAUGGAAUUGUCGAUGGAGAAAGGUUGAUGAUGACGAUGGCGACGAUUUCCCCUCUCCGGAGCCCGAAACGGACUCCAGAUCUCCUCCAGAUGAAGAACAAGAUGUGGCGGCGCCUCUGUAUCGCAAAACGCGAUGAAACCUUCUCUUUGAUUUUUUCCAGGCGAAACGGAAGAUAUAGAGCUGAGUUUGGGGGCGGUGGUGCCACGUGGGCCCCACAAGCCUGCACGGUGAGGCCUAGGGGGGUGGCCACGACCUGUGGACUUGUGGCCCACUCGCACGCCCCCUCAGGUGGAUUUUUGCGCAUGUAGUUUUCUUUUAUUCCAGAAAAAAUCUCCGUAAAUUUUCAGGACAUUCCGAGAACUUCUAUUUCUGCACAAAAACAACACCAUGGCAAUUCUGCUGAAAACAGCGUCAGUCCGGGUUAGUUCCAUUCAAAACAAGCAAAUUAGAGUCCAAAACAAGGGCAAAAGAGUUCGGAAAAGUAGAUACGACGGAGACGUAUCAAGGACCCAGGAGGGGUUCCAUUUUUGCUCAGAGCGGGAGCAGGGUCUUCUUCCACGACGUCCACGACGGCCGGCGUCCUCGUCAACUCCGGCGGCCUCUCCGUGCAGCAACACGUCGUCGGGCCUUCUUCCUCCACGGCGUCUCCCUCUCCUCGGCACCCUAGGUGACGCGCGGUUCCCUUCUCCUUCGUUUUCCCCUUGUAGCCGAGGCCCCGCCGUCGGUAGCCAUGUCCGCCGGCGAGCUGCUCGUGCAUGCGGUGCGUCUGUAGUGGUAACACCAGGAGUAGUUACAGGUUCAGCAGCNNNNNNNNNNNNNNNNNNNNNNNNNNNNNNNNNNNNNNNNNNNNNNNNNNNNNNNNNNNNNNNNNNNNNNNNNNNNNNNNNNNNNNNNNNNNNNNNNNNNCCUUUUGGGGCAUCGCCCUCAAAAUAGGAAAGGGCCGUAUCUUAGUCGUUACAUACAGGGAGAUUGAAAAUGCAAACACCGAGUGCCAACUUCAGAAGGAUCUCAUUGAGCACCAUUGACAAAGGGCUGGGCAUUAACUCAUUCUAUUUUUCCAUUCAUUUUCAUUUCAUUCAUGUGUGAUUUGUAUACGGGACAAGUUUUGUAUUCAUGUGUGACAUUCAUUUAGUUUGCUACGGUGAUUUGAAUAAUUAUUGUACUUUAGAUGAUUACUGUAUUUGUAAUAUUGGCAUUUUACUUAUAUUGCACAUGAUGAGUAAUUCUAAUUUACGGGGUAUCCGGGUUGUGGGUCGACGCGGUGGCGCCCAAGCAGACCCCGCAUUGACGAUCCGUAUAAUAGCAUCUUCUGUGAAUAUCCUUUUAUACGUAUCCAUUUUGGAGGGUCUACCUCUAUCCACGCCCGCGUCGAUCCGCAAAAACCGUUUUUCAUGAACUGUAAAAUAUUUUUUGCGGAUCGGCAUUAUACGAGGUCUUCUGGAGAUGCUCUUAGCGCAUCCUCAAAGCGAACCCUCAAAGCUUUGGUACACCGUGUCCGAACCAGUUUUGCUAACCUUUAUAAUUUAAUGGGACUUUAAACGUCUGCAGAUUAGUGUGGACCCCGAUUUUUGACAAAUUUAAAACAGAAUUGAGGAAGCUAUGGUGAAGUCGCGACAUGCAAUUGACCAAUAAAAAGCCCCUUCACGGUCCUCCUCUAUUUUCUCUCUAGUCACAUGCAUGACCACCCUCCUCCUCUCAACCGAACACAACAACACAAUAUCCCACUACAUGCAUAGUCCUCUUCUACUCUCUCUCUCUCUCUCUCUUCUUUCAUAUUAGUAAUUAUAAAUAAAAWUAAAACAACUAWUGCUAAAAACUAACUUAKUUGCGGUCGGUUACCGGUUUAGGGGUCUAGUGUUAGGAAAUCGUACCCUUAAGUAAAACGAAAUUAGNNNNNNNNNNNNNNNNNNNNNNNNNNNNNNNNNNNNNNNNNNNNNNNNNNNNNNNNNNNNNNNNNNNNNNNNNNNNNNNNNNNNNNNNNNNNNNNNNNNNCGGGUUUGGGGGGGUUCCGGGGGGGUAGGGGGUCGGGUAGGGGCCGGGAAGGGAAGGGAGGACCGGGACGGGUACGGUACGUUAGUGUAGUGGUGUGGUGUGGUGGUGURGGGGGGGGGGGSGCGGACGGCGCGACCGCACGUUGUGGUGUGGUGACGCACACACUAUGGGGGGUUCGUGCUCUGAUCUGCGGCUUGGAUACGUAAGGGGCUUGCGUUGGCGUGGCCUGGAGCGCAAGCAAGAGCCUGGAAGCGGCGGGGAAAAGGGGGCGAUGCGUAGCGGGGCCGUUGACCUUGGGGCUUGGCGCGCGCCUUCGGUGGUGCCCUCUCUGGUCUGGUGCAGUGGGUGGGCUGGCGCGCGCCGUCUUCCUCCGUGCGGUUUUCUAGAGCGCGUGCGAUGACGGUGACGGUGACGGUGACGGUCAUCCAACACGUGCAUCAAACAUCCGCGAACUGAUGAGAAUGCACCAAUUAACCCGUGGUUAGAUGGAUAGAAAGGCAGUGGUAUUACAGUCCAUCAGGCUUGAAGUCUUGAUACUCGUAUUUCUGAAUUUAUUCGGUAUUUUUUAUGACGCGUAUUUAAUGGAAGAAGACGUGACACUUGCUCUAUACUUUGUUAAAAAAAGAAGAAUUGAUAAGGCGUAUGAAAUCUCACAAACCAAAAACAAAACGAUAGACAAUCCAGAUGUAUCACGUGGACGUCCGACAUCUUUGCCCACAAUAAACCCUCUUUCUCGUUCCGCUUUCGCUAGAAGUAAGAACCAGUAAUAUAUUAUGAUUUCUACGUUUCAAGCCUUUCUUAGCUAUUUUAUUAUUCAACUAACAAUGUUCUUAUUUUCUUGGAUCAUAUGUGUAAGUGCAUCUAGUGCCAUCCUUUGUUGGUUUUGGAGUAUUGAAGACAAGCGUGAUUGAGGGAUUUAAUGUGUUUGUGAGAGUUCACAGGAUAACACGGAUAAAAAUCCAUGAAGAUUUGGUUUAACCAUCGAAGACGACCCCUAAAAAUAUCUGAAGACACUGAAGAUGGUUGAAGGCAACAAUAGGUGCGCGAAGAUAUAUGCAUGAAGCUAAUGAAACGUGAAGACGAAGUCUUUUGGUAGUUCCUUUUUUUCUUUCCUUAGUCAUAUGAACCAAUAUAUUGUUAAGUGGGGUCUAAGUGAUUGAAGUCAGAAUCUGACGUGAUGCUCAACCCAAACACCUAUGUCUUCGAGUGAAUACAAUAAGAAGAAAUCUCUUUCAGAGUUGGUUGAGUCAACAUUGCUUGUACCCCAAGUAAUGUUGCCAUGUGAGUCGUUGAAAUCCGACCACUGUGACAUGUGUCGGUUGGCCAUUGACCCAGGAUAAUUUCGGUCAUAUCAUGUCGGGUUGCCUGUUGGCUAUAAAUAACCCAUCGCCUCCAUCAUAAGUUGGUGGCUACUCAGAGUUAUUAUACAAUUAUUGUCGUUUUGGAGCGUCCCACUUCUAAGACAUUAAGAGCGAGAGCUAUCGUGCAAGGAUAAACCCAAACACCUAGAGCCAGAGUGUUUGGAGCAUCAUCGAAGUCAUUCUGUUCUAAGAGAACUAAAGAUUUAUUACCCUUAAAGACUGUGAUCUUCUAGCCUGUUAGUCGUCGUGGUCUAGAGCAUCCAAGAGUUACUCUGGAUUAUCGGGUGAUCGAGUUUUUGAAGGUUUCAAAAGUCUACCUUGAAGAUUUACCAGAGUGAUUGGGCGAGGUCUAAGAGACCUUGGCUCAAGGGGAAUAAGGUGAAGAUGAGGUCUUUAUAGUUAAAUCUCAGCCUCCCCAACCAGACGUACAGUUGUCACAACAACUGGAACUGGUCCACAAAUCUUGUGUCUUCGUCAAGCAGUUGGUUCUAUCUUUUCACUCCUUUACAUACUAUUUAGUAUUGUGAAGCCAUUGCUUGCUUAUUCUUGUAUGAAGACAUUCACCAAAGACAUUCAUCUGAUUUGCAUUUGUCUUCAUACUGCUCAAGUUUAUCUUUGAUUCACUUUUGUUUGCAUGAUGAAUGUGCCAUACUUGCCUGAAUGUCUCCGUAUCAUUACAUGCAUUGCCUAGCUCCUUGACUGUAAUCCCUAACUGAUCCUAAGUCAUUUUUGCUCACUUCGAAGACAUUUACUGGCUCAACUAGGCUUAGGGUUUUGGUUUGGAACUGGGGAUUUUAAAGCGGCGGGACGAUUUGAGCAAUUUCUUUCUCUUGUAGCUACCUAGGACAACCACUUCUAAGGAAUGGAGCGGGGUAGGUGAAGACAUGCAUGUUCAUGAUCGACAUAAAUUUCCAUCCGUAAAGUUAUGAGCUUUUGAAUAUGGUACAGUGGGAGGAAGUUUCAGCCACAUACAAAGAAGGUUAGCCUAACUCCCGCCGUUAGAAAUCAUUUGUUAUAUUAGGUGUGAUUCAAACACUUGAUUUUUUAUUUUGGAUGUGAUUAAGACACUGCCAUAGUUCUACGACUGUGAGUGCCAUUUUAAUUGAUAUCAAUAGCAAUACAUUAUAAAAGUUGUUUGGAUCACAUGGUAGGAAUUCACAAGAUGACUAUAAAACAUAACAUUUAGAGACUUGGUGCAAAAAACAUUUUUCACAAACUCUUUUAACUUGAAGGCAUAUUGACAGUAAGAAAACUAUAUGCUACAUGAUUUGAGAUGACAUAAAAAUUUACAGCAUGGUAGUAGACACGAUGCACUUCAUUUUAUUCAACAUGAGCAAAGGUGUUAGAGCAUAUUUAUCCAUAUGUGGUUUUGGUAAUUGAUGACAAUCUCUAUUGUCCAUAACGCUUUUGUGUACUAACCCAUGGUCUUCAUGAGAGUUCUAUGUGGGAUUAGGUGUGUUCCCAUGGGUUUGCGUUAAGAGGAAGAUCUCAUUCAACCUAUGAAGGAUGACAUCAAGUGGUGAUCGUCAUCAAUAUUGCGGUGUGCAAGUUCAAGUGGAGCAUCACGAAGAUAUCAUGCUUGAAGCUUGUCGUCCAUUCUGGUGGCAAUGGACUUGUAAGAUGUGCUGAAGAGUGGCUCACCCAUAGUGAGUAUGGGGAGCAAUCAACUAGUCUUCAUCAAACCAACACAAUCGACGAAGGUGGUCCAUCUUGAGGAAGCCAAGAUCAUCGUCAUCUAGCUCAAGAGGACUAGGUGCAAGGUACGGGUUUGCCCUUGAUAGGUUUAUCUAUUUUAGGAUAGAUUACCAUAUGUCAAGGGGGGCUCUUAAGUGAGUAGCUUGAUCGUAUCGUUCGUUGAGAGCUCAAACCAUUUGCAUCCUUGCAUUAUAUUUGUUUGUUCUUGUUUCGUGUUUCUCUUUGUGAGUUUUAGAGCUUAUGGUCAUCUUCAGGACAAGCUCGAGUUCAUCGAAAACGGACUCCAUAUGCAUCUUCUAUGAUGUUUUCGAUGUUGGAAGUUUUUGUCGGUUCUUCAUUCAUAGAGGUCUCACAUCUCUAUAACAUUGGCAUUUUCACAACUGCAUGUUCUUAAGAUUUCCAACAAGCUUGAUAGCUCUUGUCGUCCAGAAUCCACUGUUUUGAUAGCUCUUGUCGUUCUGAAUCCAACAAGCUUGAGUUUGCUCGAUUCGAAGCUCAUAUGCGAAAGUUAUGGCAGUUUUUGUGUCCAGCGGUUGAAAGUGCAUUAUAUCGACUAGAGGGGGGUGAAUAGGAGAUUUUUAGAAUUUCAUCACUGAGGAAAUUCCUUUUGAGGAAAUCCCUCACUGAUGACUAACUUACAGCGGAAACAGUAAAGGAUCAGAAGUGCAAAGUUUCACAACAGCAGUUUUUCAGUGUGAGGAAUGUGAAAACAGAUUGCACAGUGAGCAGGCAUGCAGAAAACAGAUGAGGAUUAACUAGCGUGAAGAAUUUGGGGUUGAGGAAUUUCAGAGAAAGUCUUCAGCAAAUUCUUCAAACAGUCACAGUGAAAGUCAUCAACACAUAAUCUGAGAAAUGUAAAGGGUUGAGGAAUUAGAACCCGUUUCACAGCGAAGACAGUAGUUGAUGACCGAGUUCCAACUGCUGUGACAGUCGUACAUCUGGUUUGGAGUGGCUUGGUAUUGAAACCAAAAGACACACAGUCCCUACCGUAUUCUCCUUGGGCUAAGAACACACAGUCCUCACCCAACACUCGUGGUAAGUCUUCAGGGCAGACUUCCAAACCCUCACAAACUUGGUCACCCGGCGAUCCACAAUUGACUGCUGGAUUGCUCUAGACCAUGAUGCCUAACCGUCUCGAGGAUGCACAGUCCUCAAAGGUAAAAGGCUUCAGUCCCACACAGGAACAACUUCUUCAGUGAUGCUCAAUCACUUGGUUCUAAGUUUGUGGUUUGGUGUUUGGGGUAUUUCCUCACUGAUAAAUUUCUCUCGAAGACUCUGAGGAAUUGGGUUGCUCUUAUGACAAGUGUCAGUUUCUAACGGAGCAGCCAACCAGCUAAUGGUUGUGGGGGCGGCUAUUUAUAGCCUGGGAGCAUCCCGACAUGAUUUGACACUAAUGCCCUUAAAUAAUAUGACCGUUGGUGUGGAUAAGACCAAUGAUGUGGCGUGGCUAUCGAAACGGUCGGAACCCUCAACUGUGAGAGUCCUCAUGUCACUCGUAUUCCUCACUUGAGGCUUUUGGUAGGAUUAGGCUUGGGUUGAGCAUCAUGAGGAAAUUCAUUCCAGAGUGUAACUUCCACCCCCUUUAACAGUAUGGUGUUCCUAUUACUCAAGUGUGAAGAAAAUAAAACAGAAAGAGUAAAUCUUCAUGCUUCAAAGUCUUCAGAAUGAUUUUCUUCAGGACACACCGAAUUCCUCAAUUUCAAUAUCUUCAUGAGGAAUAUCAAUUUCAUCGCGGAUUCUUUGCGAUUCAAUUCUUCAGCUUUAGACCAAUUUCUUCAACCGAAGAUAUACAUUUUUAGGGGUCGAUAUUCCUCAAAUAUUUCAAACUCCUCAGUGACUUAUAGAUCCUGUGUACACUCAUAAACACAUUAGAUACUUAACCUAUAAGUCUUCAAACCACCAAAAUCACUAAGGGGCACUAGAUGCACUUACAGCGGUAGUACCGCUAGUGCCAGCGUUAGUACCGUAGGCACAGUGGUAGUAGUUUUUUAUACUACUCUUUGGCGGUAGUUGAUAGGAAUACCAUGAAUGAUGUUGAAGAGGAUAUUCUUCAUGAGGCCUACACCAUCUUCUUCAUCAUCGUGUCCCUUGAUUGGUGCAAGGACGCUGCAGAGGAUUCUGUAAACAGAUCUUGGUUCAUACUUGAGUUCGUGGACAGGAAGGUUUUUCUCGGUGGUUGCCCUUUAGCCAAAGGCUUCAUGAGGACUUCCAUCAUCCUGUUGGGCAGCUCACGCUCACCAUAAAGCUUCACAACCUCCUCUCAGGGAAUUGAUACUGGCAAUUCACGCAGUAGCUCAGUAGCAGGAGCCUUGUAGUGAGUGUUUUGUGUCAUCCAGUCAAACACCCAGGUGUUAAUGUCUUCAGGAUCGCCAGAUAUGUGAAGAGUGGCAUAAAACUGAAGAAUGAGCUCACUGUUCCAAUCAGAGAUGUCUGAGCACAUUGGUAGCAGUCCAGCUUCAUGAAGAACAUUGAGGACUGGAACCAGGCAUGGAAUUGCUUCAAGUUCAACAUGAGGAAUAUGCUUGUGCUGGAAUAUCUUAUUUCUUCCACACAGCACAGAGGCAUAGUAAUUCAGCUGUGUCCUCGUCCAAAACUUCAGAUGUCUGAUUUGAGGCUUGUCAUAGGGAUUUUCUCCAAUGAAGUACAUGUGUUCUUCAAAGAAGUUCUCCUUUUGAAACUUUGGACGCUUGGAGAAUGGCUGAUGCUGCAUUGGCUGAAGAUUUUGCUGAGGAACUGGAGGGGAGACAACAAUUGCAGUCUCGGGGUUGAGCACGACGAAAGCAUUGUCUUGGUCAAGUGCAUUUUCCUCAACAUUGUCCUCAGGGUGAGGAAUUUCAUCAGCUUGGGCUUCAGGCUGAGGAGCUUGCUCAUGUUGUGCUUCAUGUUGAGGAAUGGGAUCUGGCUGGGCAUCAGGCUGAGGAAUUUCAUCAACUGGAGCAUCCUGUUGAGGGUUCUGCUCCGGAGAAGGAAUAGGUUCAUUCUGAGCCUCAGUGUGUAGAUCUUGUUCAGGUGGAGGAGUUGGUCAGCCUGUUCCUCAUCUUGAGGAUUUUUCUCAGGACUUUGAAUUUCAUCAGCUUGAGGAAUUUCACUUUGCUCUUCCUCAGCUUGCGUGGUGACAGAGACAGUUUCAUCAGCUGGUGCAGCUGAUCCUUGUACAGUGUCUUCCUGAGGAAUGGAGUGCUGAGGACUGUCGUCAAUACGAAUUUCUUCGUCAGUAUGUUCCUCAGAUGCAGCAUCCUUCAUUUCCUCAUCUGGCCCUUUCUCUUGGUCUUCAAAGGUGACCAUUUCAUAAGAUGGAGCGACGUUGAGGGGCACAGGGUCCAGUGGAGCAUUAUCUUCAAGCGCUUUGAGGCGCUUGGCCUCAGUGUUUUCUUCUGCUGAGGAGGCCUUUCUCUUUUUGGCUUCCUUCUCCGCGGCCCUCGUCUUCUUCACGUCUGAUGCAGACGGAGUCAUCUUCUACACCUUUGAAGCUUUUGGUGAAGGGGUUCUCUUGACAAAUUCAUCAGCUGGCUUUGAGGAACCAGCUGGAGUAGAGUCAUCAGCUUGCUUUGAUGCAGCAGCUGGAUCAGGGGCAGUCUCACCAGCUGUAGUAGAUUCAUCAGCUGGAUUUUCCAUGGUGAUUUCUUCAAUAGCCGGUACAUCCACACGGCUUUCUUGGGGUAUUUCCUUAGCUUGAGGAGUUUCAUCAGCUUGAGGAGAUUCAUAGGCUGGCUCUUCAAUCAGAGGCUGAGGAGUUGGUACUAGAGGGGCAGCCUUCUUGUUGUAGUCGUCAACAACUUUAGUGGCAAAUUUGAUGAAACUGCUUUUGAGACUCUGACGACCAGAUAGCUUGGAGUACUUAUCUGUCAAAGUCUUCAACUCGGCCUGUGUUGACACCAGUGCAUCAGGCGUCAAGUUGAGGAGAUUCUGCUUGAGGAAUUUCUCCUUUUUGAGCUUAGCAACCUUGGCCUGCUUGGCUUGCUGCUCCUUCCACUUGGCCUCAUUGAUGAAUGUGGCCACCAUGUGGCUGAUGCCAGGGGAAGUUUCAAAUCAUCAAGCGGAGUGUUAGGGUCCUCAUACCAGAUGUUUAUGUAGUCUAGGAGGACCUUGGGGUCCAUGGCCAGAGGAAUGGCGCUACCAGAAGCUUGAGCUACCCUCUCCUGCUUGUUUCUGAUUAUAGCUUGCAGGGUUUCAUCAUCAUAUUCAUCACUACCCUCUGAUGCAGACGGGACUGUGAUGAUUUUACUGGGGCUUGGUUGUGUUCCUCUUUCAGCAGACACCUGAGUCUUCAUAGGAGGUGGUGCAGACUUUGUCUCCGAGCUGGUUGCAGUUGGGAGUGAGGACCUGGAGGUAGCGGGCAGUGGCUUCAUGACCGGCUUCAGUUCUGGUUUUGAAACCUGUGGUGGUGCUGAGGAUUUUGGCGCUGAGGGUUUUGUAACUGUUGCCUGAGAUGGUUUCUCUUGAGGCUUUGGAGCCUUUGGUUUUGACGGCACAGACUUUGGUUGAGGAAUUGCUGAACCAGAGGUCUCAGCGGCAGAGGAAGUAGUUGCAGUUGAAGCAGUAGCUGAGGAUUCAUUGAAUUUCCUCACCGCAGCAUCUGCCUGCUUCUUAAUCUUAGCCAAGUGCUUGUCCUUUUCAUCAGGAUAGUCAUCAAGGGUCUUGAGGCUUGAGGGAUGUGCUACUUGAUGAGCCUCAAGUGGAGCCCGUUUGCCAGGAGGCUUCAGAGCGAAUUUCUUCGCAUACUUGGCAGUGACGAAUAUGUAUUCCUUCCACUCCUUUGCCCAUAGGCGUUCUAUCUUCUGAAGCCGAAUCUUUCUCUUUGCCAUUGUUUCAGAUUCAUCAGGUGUGCAAUAGUCUAAGUAAAUAUCCUCAGGGAUAUCCAAGGCUGUAUUCUGCUCAAGUUUCUUGCCUCCCUUUUGUUUCCUGUCAUCCUCCAUUUUCUUCAGCUGAGGAUUUUGCUGAUGAUAUUGAACUCUUGAGGAUUCUAAUGAGACUUGAAGAUUUUCUUCAAGAAACGCUGCAAAUGAGUUAAUGUGAUGAGAACCGAGAGAUUCAUCAGCUGACAUGUGUGUACCUGUGAACAAAGUAUAGUUGCGAGGAAUUUGGAGAGGUCAUAUGCUUUCUCAGAUUUGAAGAAAAUGAAAAAGUUUGACACUUGAGGAAUUUAAUGUUGGGGAACGUCGCAUGGGAAACAAAAAUUUUCCUACGCGCACGAAGACCUAUCAUGGUGAUGUCCAUCUACGAGAGGGGAUGAGUGAUCUACGUACCCUUGUAGACCGUACAGCAGAAGCGUUAGUGAACGCGGUUGAUUUAGUGGAACGUCCUCACGUCCUUCGAUCCGCCCCGCGAACAAUCCCGCGAUCAGUCCCACGAUCUAGUACCGAACGGACAGCACCUCCGCGUUCAGCACACGUACAGCUCGACGAUGAUCUCGGCCUUCUUGAUCCAACAAGAGAGACGGAGAGGUAGAAGAAUUCUCCGGCAGCAUGACGGCGCUCCGGAGGUUGGUGAUGACCUUGUCUCGGCAGGGCUCUGCCCGAGCUCCGCAGAAACGCGAUCUAGAGGAAAAACCGUGGAGGUAUGUGGUCGAGCUGCCGUGGAAAAGUCGUCUCAAAUCAGCCCUAAAACCUCCGUAUAUAUAGAAGGGAGAGGGGGGGCCUUGCCUUGGGGCUCAAGGAGCCCCAAGGGGGUCGGCCGAGCCAAGGGGGGAAGGUCUCCCCCCCUAAACCGAGUUGGACUUGGUUUGGUGGGUGGGAGUCCUUCCUUCCCUUCCCACCUCCUUCUUUUUUUUCUUUCUCUUUGAUUUUUCUUCCAAUGCGCAUAGGGCCCUUUUGGGCUGUCCCACCAGCCCACUAAGGGCUGGUGCGCCACCCUCAAGGCCUAUGGGCUUCCCCGGGGUGGGUUGCCCCCCCCGGUGAACUCCCGGAACCCAUUCGUCAUUCCCGGUACAUUCCCGGUAACUCCGAAAACCUUCCGGUAAUCAAAUGAGGUCAUCCUAUAUAUCAAUCUUCGUUUCCGGACCAUUCCGGAAACCCUCGUGACGUCCGUGAUCUCAUCCGGGACUCCGAACAACAUUCGGUAACCAACCAUAUAACUCAAAUACGCAUAAAACAACGUCGAACCUUAAUUGUGCAGACCCUGCGGGUUCGAGAACUAUGUAUACAUGACCCGAGAGACUUCUCGGUCAAUAUCCAAUAGCGGGACCUGGAUGCCCAUAUUGGAUCCUACAUAUUCUACGAAGAUCUCAUCGUUUGAACCUCAGUGCCAAGGAUUCAUAUAAUCCCGUAUGUCAUUCCCUUUGUCCUUCGGUAUGUUACUUGCCCGAGAUUCGAUCGUCAGUAUCCGUAUACCUAUUUCAAUUUCGUUUACCGACAAGUCUCUUUACUCGUUCCGUAAUACAAGAUCGCGCAACUUACACUAAGUCACAUUGCUUGCAAGGCUUGUGUGUGAUGUUGUAUUACCGAGUAGGCCCCGAGAUACCUCUCCGUCACAUGGAGUGACAAAUCCCAGUCUUGAUCCAUACUAACUCAACGAACACCUUCGGAGAUACCUGUAGAGCAUCUUUAUAGUCACCCAGUUACGUUGCGACGUUUGAUACACACAAAGCAUUCCUCCGGUGUAAGUGAGUUAUAUGAUCUCAUGGUCAUAGGAACAAAUACUUGACACGCAGAAAACAGUAGCAACAAAAUGACACGAUCAACAUGCUACGUCUAUUAGUUUGGGUCUAGUCCAUCACGUGAUUCUCCUAAUGACGUGAUCCAGUUAUCAAGCAACAACACCUUGUUCAUAAUCAGAAGACACUGACUAUCUUUGAUCAACUGGCUAGCCAACUAGAGGCUUGCUAGGGACAGUGUUUUGUCUAUGUAUCCACACAUGUAAAUGAGUCUUCAUUCAAUACAAUUAUAGCAUGGAUAAUAAACGAUUAUCUUGAUACAGGAAUUAUAAUAAUAACUAUAUUUAUUAUUGCCUCUAGGGCAUAAUUCCAACAGUCUCCCACUUGCACUAGAGUCAAUAAUCUAGCCCUCACAUCAUCAUGCGAAUUACAUUGUAAUAAAUCUAACACCCAUACAGUUCUGGUGUUGAUCAUGCUUAGCCCGUGGAAGAGGUUUAGUCAGCGGGUCUGCUACAUUCAGAUCUGUGUGCACUUUGCAUAUAUUUACGUCCUCCCCUUUGACGUAGUCGCGGAUGAGGUCGAAGCGUCGUUUGAUGUGUCUGGACUUCUUGUGAAACCGUGGUUCCUUUGCUAAGGCAAUGGCACCCGUGUUGUCACAGAACAAGGUUAUUGGAUUCAAUGCGCUCGGCACCACUCCAAGAUCCGUCAUGAAUUGCUUCAUCCAGACACCCUCCUUAGCCGCCUCCGAGGCAGCCAUGUACUCCGCUUCACAUGUAGAAUCUGCUACGACGCUUUGCUUGGAACUGCACCAGCUUACCGCACCCCCAUUAAGAAUAAAUACGUAUCCGGUUUGCGACUUAGAGUCGUCCGGAUCUGUGUCAAAGCUUGCAUCGACGUAACCUUUUACGGCGAGCUCUUCGUCACCUCCAUACACGAGAAACAUCUCCUUAGUCCUUUUCAGGUACUUCAGGAUAUUCUUGACCGCUGUCCAGUGAUCCACUCCUGGAUUACUCUGGAACCUACCUGCCAUACUUAUGGCCAGGCUAACGUCCGGUCUAGUGCACAGCAUUGCAUACAUGAUAGAACCUAUGGAUGAAGCAUAGGGGACGGAGCGCAUAUGCUCUCUAUCUUCAUCAGUUGCUGGGCACUAAGUCUUACUCAAUCUCGUACCUUGUAAAACUGGCAAGAACCCUUUCUUGGACUGUUCCAUUUUGAACCUCUUCAAAACUUUAUCAAGGUAUGUGCUUUGUGAAAGUCCUAUCAGGCGUUUUGAUCUAUCCCUAUAGAUCUUAAUGCCUAGAAUGUAAGCAGCUUCUCCUAGGUCCUUCAUAGAGAAACUUUUAUUCAAGUAAUCCUUUAUGCUCUCCAAAAACUCCACGUUAUUUCCAAUCAGCAAUAUGUCAUCCACAUAUAAUAUUAGAAACGCCACAGAGCUCCCACUCACUUUCUUGUAAAUACAAGAUUCUCCAACCACUUGUAUAAACCCAAAUGCUUUGAUCACCUCAUCAAAGCGUUUGUUCCAACUCCGAGAUGCUUGCACCAGUCCAUAAAUGGAUUGCUGGAGCUUGCACACCUUGUUAGCAUUCUUAGGAUUGACAAAACCUUCGGGUUGCAUCAUAUACAAUUCUUCCUUAAGGAAACCGUUAAGGAACGCCGUUUUGACAUCCAUCUGCCAGAUUUCAUAAUCGAAAAAUGCAGCUAUUGCUAACAUGAUUCUGACGGACUUAAGCAUCGCUACGGGUGAGAAUGUCUCAUCGUAGUCAACUCCUUGAACUUGUGAAAAACCCUUUGCCACAAGUCGAGCUUUAUAAACGGUCACAUUGCCGUCAGCGUCUGUUUUCCUCUUAAAGAUCCAUUUGUUCUGAAUAGCCUUGCGGCCCUCAGGCAGUACCUCCAAAGUCCACACUUUGUUCUCAUACAUGGAUCCUAUCUCGAACUUCAUGGCUUCUAGCCAUUUGUUGGAAUCUGGGCCCACCAUUGCUUCUUCAUAAUUUGCAGGUUCAUUGUUGUCCAACAACAUGAUUGACAAGACGGGAUUACCGUACCACUCUAGAGCAGCACGUGGUCUCGUCGACCUGCGUGGUUCGACAGAAACUUGAACCGGAGUUUCAUGAUCAUCAUCAUUAACUUCCUCCUCAACCGGCGUCGCAACGACAGAGGUUUCCCCUUGCCCUGCGCCACCAUCCAGAGGGAUGAGAGGUUCGAUAACCUCAUCAAGCUCUAUCUUCCUCCCACUCAAUUCUCUCGAGAGAAACUCCUUCUCGAGAAAAGCUCUGUUUUUAGCAACAAACACUUUGCCCUCGGAUUUGAGAUAGAAGGUGUACCCAACUGUCUCUUUUGGGUAACCUAUGAAGACGCACUUUUCCGCUUUGGGUUCCAGCUUUUCAGGCUGAAGCUUUUUGACAUAAGCAUCACAUCCCCAAACUUUAAGAAACGACAACUUUGGCCUUUUGCCAUACCACAGUUCGUAUGGUGUCGUCUCAACGGAUUUUGAUGGUGCCCUAUUUAAAGUGAAUGCAGCUGUUUCUAAUGCAUAACCCCAAAACGAUAACGGCAAAUCGGUAAGAGACAUUAUAGAUCGAACCAUCUCUAAUAAAGUACGAUUAUGACGUUCGAACACACCAUUACGCUGUGGUGUUCCAGGCGGUGUCAACUGUGAAACAAUUCCACAUUUUCUUAAGUGAGCACCAAACUCGAAACUCAGAUAUUCACCUGUUGGAGAACGUCGCACGGGAAACAAAAAUUUUCCUACGCGCACGAAGACCUAUCAUGGUGAUGUCCAUCUAUGAGAGGGGAUGAAUGAUCUAUGUACCCUUGUAGACCGUACAGCAGAAGCGUUAGAGAACGCGGUUGAUGUAGUGGAACGUCCUCACGUCCCUCGAUCCGCCCCGCGAACAAUCCUGCGAUCAGUCCCACGAUCUAGUACCGAACGGACGGCACCUCCGCGUUCAGCACACGUACAGCUCGACGAUGAUCUCGGCCUUCUUGAUCCAGCAAGAGAGACGGAGAGGUAGAAGAGUUCUCCGGCAGCGUGACGGCGCUCCGAAGGUUGGUGAUGACCUUGUCUCAGCAGGGCUCCGCCCGAGCUCCGCAGAAACGCGAUCUAGAGGAAAAAUCGUGGAGGUAUGUGGUCGGGCUGCCGUGGAAAAGUCGUCUCAAAUCAGCCCUAAAACCUCCAUAUAUAUAGGUGGGAGGGAGGGGACCUUGCCUUGGGGCUCAAGGAGCCCCAAGGGGGUCGGCCGAGUCCAAGGGGGGAGGACUCCCCCCCAAACCGAGUUGGACUUGGUUUGGUGGGAGGGAGUCCCCCUUCCUUCCCACCUCCUCCUUUUUUUUUCUUUCUCUUCGAUUUUUAUCUCUAUGGCGCAUAGGGCACUUGUGGACUGUCCCACCAGCCCACUAAGGGCUGGUGUGCCUCCCUCAAGGCCUAUGGGCUUCCCCGGGGUGGGUUGCCCCCCCCGGUGAACUCCCGGAACCCAUUCGUCAUUCCCGGCACAUUCCCGGUAACUCCAAAAACCUUCCGGUAAUCAAAUGAGGUCAUCCUAUAUAUCAAUCUUCGUUUUCGGACCAUUUCGGAAACCCUCGUGACGUCCGUGAUCUCAUCUGGGACUCCGAACAACAUUCGGUAACCAACCAUAUAACUCAAAUACGCAUAAAACAACGUCGAACCUUAAGUGUGCAGACCCUGCGGGUUCGAGAACUAUGUAGACAUGACCCGAGAGACUCCUCGGUCAAUAUCCAAUAGCGGGACCUGGAUGCCCAUAUUGGAUCCUACAUAUUCUACGAAGAUCUUAUCGUUUGAACCUCAGUGCCAAGGAUUCAUAUAAUCCCGUAUGUCAUUCCCUUUGUCCUUCGGUAUGUUACUUGCCCGAGAUUCGAUCGUCAGUAUCCGUAUACCUAUUUCAAUCUCGUUUACCGGCAAGUCUCUUUACUCGUUCCGUAAUACAAGAUCCCGCAACUUACACUAAGUUACAUUGCUUGCAAGGCUUGUGUGUGAUGUUGUAUUACCGAGUGGGCCCUGAGAUACCUCUCCGUCACACGGAGUGACAAAUCCCAGUCUUGAUCCAUACUAACUCAACUAACACCUUCGGAGAUACCUGUAGAGCAUAUUUAUAGUCACCCAGUUACGUUGCGACGUUUGAUACACACAAAGUAUUCCUCCGGUGUCAGUGAGUUAUAUGAUCUCAUGGUCAUAGGAAUAAAUACUUGACACGCAGAAAACAGUAGCAACAAAAUGACACGAUCAACAUGCUACGUCUAUUAGUUUGGGUCUAGUCCAUCACGUGAUUCUCCUAAUGACGUGAUCCAGUUAUCAAGCAACAACACCUUGUUCAUAAUCAGAAGACACUGACUAUCAUAGAUCAACUGGCUAGCCAACUAGAGGCAUGCUAGGGACGGUGUUUUGUCUAUGUAUCCACACAUGUAAAUGAGUCUUCAUUCAAUACAAUUAUAGCAUGGAUAAUAAACGAUUAUCUUGAUACAGGAAUUAUAAUAAUAACUAUAUUUAUCAUUGCCUCUAGGGCAUAAUUCCAACAGUCUCCCACUUGCACUAGAGUCAAUAAUCUAGCCCUCACAUCACUAUGUGAAUUACAUUGUAAUAAAUCUAACACCCAUACAGUUCUGGUGUCGAUCAUGUUUUGGCCGUGGAAGAGGUUUAGUCAGCGGGUCUGCUACAUUCAGAUCCGUGUGCACUUUGCAUAUAUUUACGUCCUCUUCCUCGACGUAGUCGCGGAUGAGGUUGAAGCGUCGUUUGAUGUGUCUGGUCUUCUUGUGAAACCGUGGUUCCUUUGCUAAGGCAAUGGCACCCGUGUUGUCAGAGAACAAGGUUAUUGGAUCCAGUGCGCUUGGCACCACUCCAAGAUCCGUCAUGAACUGCUUCAUCCAGACACCCUCCUUAGCCGCCUCCGAGGCAGCCAUGUACUCCGCUUCACAUGUAGAAUCUGCUACGACGCUUUGCUUGGAACUGCACCAGCUUACCGCACCCCCAUUAAGAAUAAAUACGUAUCCGGUUUGCGACUUAGAGUCGUCCGGAUCUGUGUCAAAGCUUGCAUCGACGUAACCUUUUACGGCGAGCUCUUCGUCACCUCCAUACACGAGAAACAUCUCCUUAGUCCUUUUCAGGUACUUCAGGAUAUUCUUGACCGCUGUCCGGUGAUCCACUGCUGGAUUACUCUGGAACCUACCUGUCAUACUUAUGGCCAGGCUAACAUCCGGUCUAGUGCACAGCAUUGCAUACAUGAUAGAACCUAUGGCUGAAGCAUAGGGGACGGAGCGCAUAUGCUCUCUAUCUUCAUCAGUUGCUGGGCACUGAGUCUUACUCAAUCUCGUACCUUGCAGAACUGGCAAGAACCCUUUCUUGGACUGUUCCAUUUUGAACCUCUUCAAAACUUUAUCAAGGUAUGUGCUUUGUGAAAGUCCUAUCAGGCGUUUUGAUCUAUCCCUAUAGAUCUUAAUGCCUAGAAUGUAAGCAGCUUCUCCUAGGUCCUUCAUAGAGAAACUUUUAUUCAAGUAACCUUUUAUGCUCUCCAAUAACUCUACGUUAUUUCCAAUCAGCAAUAUGUCAUCCACAUAUAAUAUUAGAAACGCCACAGAGCUCCCACUCACUUUCUUGUAAAUACAAGAUUCUCCAACCACUUGUAUAAACCCAAAUGCUUUGAUCACCUCAUCAAAGCGUUUGUUCCAAAUCCGAGAUGCUUGCACCAGUCCGUAAAUAGGAUCGCUGGAGCUUGCACACUUUGUUAGCAUUCUUAGGAUCGACAAAACCUUCGGGUUGCAUCAUAUACAACUCUUCCUUAAGGAAACCGUUAAGGAACGCCGUUUUGACAUCCAUUUGCCAGAUUUCAUAAUCGAAAAAUGCAGCUAUUGCUAACAUGAUUCUGACGGACUUAAGCAUCGCUAGGGUGAGAAUGUCUCAUCGUAGUCAACUCCUUGAACAUGUGAAAAACCCUUUGCCACAAGUCGAGCUUUAUAAACGGUCACAUUGCCGUCAGCGUCUGUUUUCCUCUUAAAGAUCUAUUUGUUCUGAAUAGCCUUGCGGCCCUCAGGAAGUACCUCCAAAGUCCACACUUUGUUCUCAUACAUGGAUCCUAUCUCAGACUUCAUGGCUUCUAGCCAUUUGUUGGAAUCUGGGCCCACCAUUGCUUCUUCAUAAUUUGCAGGUUCAUUGUUGUCUAACAACAUGAUUGAUAAGACGGGAUUACCGUACCACUCUGGAGCAGCACGUGAUCUCGUCGACCUGCGUGGUUCAACAAAAACUUGAACUGGAGUUUCAUGAUCAUCGUCAUUAACUUCCUCCUCAACCGGCGUCGCAACGACAGAGGUUUCCCCUUGCCCUGCGCCACCAUCCAGAGGGAUGAGAGGUUCGACAACCUCGUCAAGUUCUAUCUUCCUCCCACUCAAUUCUCUCGAGAGAAACUCCUUCUCGAGAAAAGCUCUGUUUUUAGCAACAAACACUUUGCCCUCGGAUUUGAGAUAGAAGGUGUACCCAACUGUCUCUUUUGGGUAACCUAUGAAGACGCACUUUUCCGCUUUGGGUUCCAGCUUUUCAGGCUGAAGCUUUUUGACAUAAGCAUCACAUCCUCAAACUUUAAGAAACGACAACUUUGGCCUUUUGCCAUACCACAGUUCGUAUGGUGUCGUCUCAACGGAUUUUGAUGGUGCCCUAUUUAAAGUGAAUGCAGCUGUUUCUAAUGCAUAACCCCAAAAUGAUAACGACAAAUCAGUAAGAGACAUCAUAGAUCGCACCAUCUCUAAUAAAGUAUGAUUACGACGUUCGGACACACCAUUACGCUGUGGUGUUCCAGGCGGUGUUAACUAUGAAACAAUUCCACAUUUUCUUAAGUGAUCACCAAACUCGAAACUCAGAUAUUCACCCCCACGAUCAGACCGUAGGAACUUGAUCUUCUUGUUACGAUGAUUUUCAACUUCACUCUGAAAUUGCUUGAACUUUUCAAAUGUUUCAGACUUGUGCUUCAUCAAGUAGACAUAACCAUAUCUACUCAAAUCGUCAGUGAAGGUGAGAAAAUAACGAUAUCCGCCGCGUGCCUCCACGCUCAUCGGACCACACACAUCGGUAUGUAUGAUUUCCAACAAGUCACUUGCAUGCUCCAUUGUUCCGGAGAACGGAGUCUUAGUCAUCUUGCCCAUGAGGCAUGGUUUGCACGUGUCAAGUGAAUCAAAGUCAAGUGACUCCAAAAGUCCAUCGGCAUGGAGUUUCUUCAUGCGCUUUACACCAAUAUGACCUAAGCGGCAGUGCCACAAAAAUGUGGCGCUAUCAUUGUUAACUCUAACUCUUUUGGUCUCAAUGUUAUGUAUGUGUGUAUCGCUAUCAAGAUUCAAUAUGAACAAUCAUCUCACAUUGGGUGCAUGACCAUAAAAGAUGUUACUCAUAGAAAUAGAACAACCAUUAUUCUGUGACUUAAAAGAGUAACCGUCUCGCAAUAAACAAGAUCCAGAUAUAAUGUUCAUGCUCAACACAGGCACUAAAUAACAAUGAUUCAAGUUCAUAACUAAUCCUGAUGGUAACUGAAGUGAAACUGUGCCGACGGCGAUUGCAUCAACCUUGGAACCAUUUCCUACGCGCAUCGUCACUUCAUCUUUCGCCAGCCUUCGUCUAUUCCGCAGUUCCUGUUUCGAGUUGCAAAUAUGAGCAACAGAACCGGUAUCGAAUACCAAUGCACUACUACGAGAGCCGGUUAAGUACACAUCAAUAACAUGUAUAUCAAAUAUACCUGAUUUUUCUUUGCCCGCCUUCUUAUCUGCCAGAUACUUGGGGCAAUUGCGCUUCCAGUGACCCAUACCCUUGCAAUAGUAACACUCCGUUUCAGGCUUAGGUCCAGCUUUGGGUUUCUUCGUCGGAUUGGCAACAGGCUUGCCGCUCUUCUUUGAAUUACCCUUCUUGCCUUUGCCGUUUCUCUUGAAACUAGUGGUCUUAUUCAUCAUCAACACUUGAUGCUCUUUACGGAGUUCAGACUCUGCGACUUUCAGCAUCGCAAACAACUCGCCAGGAGACUUGUUCAUCCCUUGCAUGUUGUAGUUCAACACAAAGCCUUUAUAGCUUGGCGGCAGUGAUUGAAGGAUUCUAUCAGUGAUAGCCUCUUGCGGGAGUUCAAUCCCCAGCUCAGCUAGACGGUUUGAGUACCCAGACAUUUUGAGCACAUGUUCACUGACAGACGAGUUCUCCUCCAUCUUGCAAGCAUAGAAUUUAUCGGAGGUCUCAUACCUCUCGAUCCGGGCGUUCUUCUGAAAGAUAAACUUCAACUCCUGGAACAUCUCAAAUGCUCUAUGACGCUCAAAGCGACGUUGAAGUCCCGGUUCUAAGCCAUACAAGACUGCACAUUGAACUACUGAGUAGUCCUGCUUACGUGAUAACCAAGUGUUCUUAACAUCCUGAUCAGCCGUAGCGGGUGGUUCAUCUCCUAGCGCAGCAUUAAGAACAUAAUCCUUCUUCCCAGCUUGUAAGAUUAGCUUAAGAUUACGAGCCCAGUCUACAAAGUUGCUUCCAUCAUCUUUCAACUUAGCUUUCUCUAGGAACGUAUUAAAAUUCAGGGUGACUAUCACGUGAGCCAUGAUCUACAACACAAAUAUAUUCAAAGUGGACUUAGACUAUGUUCAAGAUAAUUAGAGUUUAACUUAAUCAAAUUAUUCGCUAAACUCCCACUCAAAAAGUACAUCUCUCUAGUCAUUUGAGUGGUUCAUGAUCCACUUACACUAGCUCAAGUCCGAUCAUCACGUGAGUUGAGCAUAGUUUUAGUGGUAAGCAUCCCUAUGCUAAUCAUAUCAUCUAUAUGAUUCAUGAUCGACCUUUCGGUCUCAUGUGUUCCGAGGCCAUGUCUGCACAUGCUAGGCUCGUCAAGCUUAACCCGAGUGUUCCGCGUGCGCAACUGUUUUGCACCCGUUGUAUGUGAACGUUGAGUCUAUCACACCCGAUCAUCACGUGGUGUCUCGAAACGACGAACUGUAGCAACGGUGCACAGUCGGGGAGAACACAAUUUCGUCUUGAAAUUUUAGUGAGAGAUCACCUCAUAAUGCUACCGUCGUUCUAAGCAAAAUAAGGUGCAUAAAAGGAUUAACAUCGCAUGCAAUUCAUAAGUGACAUGAUAUGGCCAUCAUCACGUGCUCCUUGAUCUCCAUCACCAAAGCACCGGCACGAUCUUCUUGUCACCGGCGCCACACCAUGAUCUCCAUCAAUGUGUCGCCAUCGGGGUUGUCGUGCUACUCAUGCUAUUACUACUAAAGCUACAUCCUAGCAAAAUAGUAAACGCAUCUGCAAGCACAAACGUUAGUAUAAAGACAACCCUAUGGCUCCUGCCGGUUGCCGUACCAGACGUGCAAGUCGAUAUUAUCUAUUACAACAUGAUCAUCUCAUACAUCCAAUAUAUCACAUCACAUCGUUGGCCAUAUCACAUCACAAGCAUACCCUGCAAAAACAAGUUAGACGUCCUCUAAUUUUGUUGUUGCAUGUUUUACGUGGUGACCAUGGGUAUCUAGUAGGAUCGCAUCUUACUUACGCAAACACCACAACGGAGAUAUAUGAGUUGCUAUUUAACCUCAUCCAAGGACCUCCUCUGUCAAAUCCGAUUCAACUAAAGUUGGAGAAACCGACACUUGCCAGUCAUCUUUGAGCAACGGGGUUACUCGUAGCGAUGAAACCAGUCUCUCGUAAGCGUACGAGUAAUGCCGGUCCAAGCCGCUUCAAUCCAACAAUACCGCGGAAUCAAGAAAAGACUAAGGAGGGCAGCAAAAUGCACAUCACCGCCCACAAAAACUUUUGUGUUCUACUCGAGAAGACAUCUACGCAUGAACCUAGCUCUGAUACCACUGUUGGGGAACGUCGCAUGGGAAACAAAAAUUUUCCUACGCGCACGAAGACCUAUCAUGGUGAUGUCCAUCUACGAGAGGGGAUGAGUGAUCUACGUACCCUUGUAGACCGUACAGCAGAAGCGUUAGUGAACACGGUUGAUGUAGUGGAACGUCCUCACGUCCCUCGAUCCGCCCCGCGAACAAUCCCGCGAUCAGUCCCACAAUCUAGUACCGAACGGACGGCACCUCCGCGUUCAACACACGUACAGCUCGACGAUGAUCUCGGCCUUCUUGAUCCAGCAAGAGAGACGGAGAGGUGGAAGAGUUAUCCGGCAGCGUGACGGCGCUCCGGAGGUUGGUGAUGACCUUGUCUCAGCAGGGCUCCGCCCGAGCUCCGCAGAAACACGAUCUAGAGGAAAACCCGUGGAGGUAUGUGGUCGGGCUGCCGUGGAAAAGUCGUCUCAAAUCAGCCCUAAAACCUCCGUAUAUAUAGGUGGGAGAGGGGAGGGGGGGCUUGCCUUGGGGCUCAAGGAGCCCCAAGGGGGUCGGCCGAGCCAAGGGGGGAAGGUCUCCCCACCCCAAACCGAGUUGGACUUGGUUUGGUGGGUGGGAGUCCUUCCUUCCCUUCCCACCUCCUUCUUUUUUUUCUUUCUCUUUGAUUUUUCUUCCAAUGCGCAUAGGGCCCUUUUGGGCUGUCCCACCAGCCCACUAAGGGCUGGUGCACCACCCUCAAGGCCUAUGGGCUUCCCCGGGGUGGGUUCGCCCCCCCCGGUGAACUCCCGGAACCCAUUCGUCAUUCCCGGUACAUUCCCGGUAACUCCGAAAACUUUUCAGUAAUCAAAUGAGGUCAUCCUAUAUAUCAAUCUUCGUUUCCGGACCAUUCCGGAAACCCUCAUGAUGUCCGUGAUCUCAUCUGGGACUCCGAACAACAUUCGGUAACCAACCAUAUAACUCAAAUACGCAUAAAACAACGUCGAACCUUAAGUGUGCAGACCCUGCGGGUUCGAGAACUAUGUAGACAUGACCCGAGAGACUCCUCGGUCAAUAUCCAAUAGCGGGACCUGGAUGCCCAUAUUGGAUCCUACAUAUUCUACGAAGAUCUUAUCGUUUGAACCUCAGUGUCAAGGAUUCAUAUAAUCUCGUAUGUCAUUCCCUUUGUCCUUCGGUAUGUUACUUGCCCGAGAUUCGAUCGUCAGUAUCCGCAUACCUAUUUCAAUCUCGUUUACCGGCAAGUCUCUUUACUCGUUCCGUAAUACAAGAUCCCGCAACUUACACUAAGUCACAUUGCUUGCAAGGCUUAUGUGUGAUGUUGUAUUACCGAGUGGGCCCCGAGAUACCUGUUCGUCACACGGAGUGACAAAUCCCAGUCUUGAUCCAUACUAACUCAACGAACACCUUCGGAGAUACCUGUAGAGCAUCUUUAUAGUCACCCAGUUACGUUGCGACGUUUGAUACACACAAAGUAUUCCUCCGGUGUUAGUGAGUUAUAUGAUCUCAUGGUCAUAGGAACAAAUACUUGACACGCAGAAAACAGUAGCAACAAAAUGACACGAUCAACAUGCCACGUCUAUUAGUUUGGGUCUAGUCCAUCACGUGAUUCUCCUAAUGACGUGAUCCAGUUAUCAAGCAACAACACCUUGUUCAUAAUCAGAAGACACUGACUAUCUUUGAUCAACUGGCUAGCCAACUAGAGGCUUGCUAGGGACAGUGUUUUGUCUAUGUAUCCACACAUGUAAAUGAGUCUUCAUUCAAUACAAUUAUAGCAUGGAUAAUAAACGAUUAUCUUGAUACAGNNNNNNNNNNNNNNNNNNNNNNNNNNNNNNNNNNNNNNNNNNNNNNNNNNNNNNNNNNNNNNNNNNNNNNNNNNNNNNNNNNNNNNNNNNNNNNNNNNNNGAACCCCAACCCUACNCCSACCACCACCACACCACACCACACGCACGCGUCGGCGCCGCGCCCCCCCCCACCCCCCCCACCACACACACACAUCAUAAAGCUCCUCCCGGUCUCUCUCCGCCCAUCCACCCCGCCCCCAAAACAAUCGCGCCCGUGAGUCGUGGCUGCUGCUACCAAUCUGCCCAGCAGAGCCGGCUCUCGACACGCUCGCUCGCGCCGCGUUCGUUGCAUGCGCCGGGCCGCCGCCGCCACCAGCAGGGUCAGGAUCCACAUGGCGGCGGAGGAGGUCAGGCAGGCGUCCGCGGCCGCCACGGCGGCCGAGGCGGUGCCGGCCCCCGCGGGCUCCCGCUGGGCGCGGGCCUGGCCGGCCGCGCUGCGCUGGAUCCCCACCUCCACCGACCGCAUCAUCGCCGCCGAGAAGCGCCUCCUCUCCGUCCUCAAGUCAGUGCCCCCAUAUCCCCUACCCCUGUUCCUCUCCUCGGACCACGAUUACUUGUUUUCGUCCACGAUUACCACUUGUACCAUCUGCACGAUUAGUUGUUCCGCCUCUUCACUCCGCCAUCCCACGAUCCGUAACAGCUGAUUGACCUCCUCAUAGGGCCCAAUUUUGGGGUUGCUGGACGACUUGUAGGGCUGUAAUCCGCUCAUCCCCCCACCACGGUUCACUGGUUUCCGAGCGUCGGGCGAGGGCGAGUGCCAAAGCUGUCUGCUUGUGCUCAAAACCAUCCAGCCGGAUACUGAUUCUGCAGCCAAUUCUGAUGUUGAAGUUGCUACCUUCAUUGAUAGGACUAUAUCAGAGCAGUGUGUCACUUUGGGAUCACUAAAGCCUGGAUUUAUUUAUACGCACUACUUAAUUUGAACUGUUCGAUUGUUGUGCAUAUAUAACACUCAGUUUCGUUUAAGCAUGGAACCGGCGGCUGUUCUGUCUGCUUGUCAGUAUUGUCUAUUUGGUCUCAUGAAGCCCAUACAACAAUAUAUAGCAUAUGUUGUAGUCUUUGAUGAUAAUGUUGUUAAUACUUGAAAGCAUUGACGGGACUCCUUGACCAUUAGUUGGAUAUUGUCCAUUUGGUCUUUCUAUUAUACUGUUGAAAAGAUAUACUCAUGAACUGCAUGGUGAAACUUUGUUUGUUGUUGAUCUGGUACUUCAUUCCAAUGCAUGAUAGCUUGGUCAACACAUUGCUCUGUUUCGAUUUGUGCAAUAAGGAUUUAAAAAAAAAAUACAUUCUGUACCUGAACUCGCUAACGCCCUGAAGGGAUAAUGUUACGAGUUCGUUCCAAGACAUAAUAUUGUAUUACAGUACUACUGACAUGGGACUUCACAUCCCCGUUUUUUCGCCUACUUGGCCUUUAGUAGAUAUUCCAUGUCUUCCUUUGUUUUAUUGUAGAUAGAAGAGUUACUAUUUCAUUAUGCUGAUACAUGAUGUAACUUUUUUUAUCUUCACAGAACUGGGUAUGUCCAAGAACAAGUUAACAUUGGCUCGGCUCCACCUGGGUCAAAAGUAAAAUGGUUUAGAUCAUCAAGUGAUGAGCCAAGAUUCAUCAAUACAGUGACAUUUGAUAGCAAGGAGAAUGCCCCCACCCUUGUCAUGGUCCAUGGUUAUGGUGCUUCACAGGGGUUCUUCUUUCGAAACUUUGAUGCCCUUGCAAGCCGCUUCAGGGUGAUUGCCAUUGAUCAACUUGGGUAAGCUCUAAGAAAAUCAAUACACUAUUGUGACUAAUAUUCCUCAAUGUGGUGAUUGAAGUAAUUAUAUUUCCAUUCCUUUGCUCACUUUUUCCCAACUGUUACAAUUAUCCUUGAUACCUGUAGAAAAGAGACAUUGGUCUAAAGAGUUUUGUGCAUUGUAAUAUUUGCACACAAUGUGUCUUCAUACCCACAGCAUACUAGGAUAUGAUUCCUGACUUGUUCACAUGCCACAAAUCUAAUUUUGAUUGUUUACAAUUAUCGGUGUUAAUGAUGCUUGUUCUUGUAAUUGACAUAAAGAAAGAAAAAUAUUAGUGUAGAUUCAUUGAUCUUAGAGUUCAAGAUUUAUGUUAGAAAUUGAAUCUUAUCAGUGUGAGUUAAGAGGAGUCAAUCGUGUCCUUUUACCUCUAGGUAAGGAAAAUUAAUAUGAUGAUACAUAAAUGUUUGCCUACUAUUAGGAUAUGUGUCAUGGAUGAUAAAAAAUGUUUUAUACUGUUCUUGUAAUUACUCCACAUUGUUUGAUGUUGCAUAUUGUUGAAUUUUUCCUACCCUUUUGCAGUUGGGGUGGAUCAAGCAGACCUGACUUCGACUGUAGAAGUACUGAAGGUUAGAUACAGAUACUUUAUUUUAGUAUGCUACUGGUUCCCCUCGACUGCCACUAUCAUUUCUGUUGUUGACCAUGCCUUGGCAUCAAAUUUUAUGGUGAACAUCCUGUUUUAUUUUGAUUUUUGACGAUCCUGCAAGCAAUUGCUACUAUGGGAAACCCAUGUAGAUUUGUUCCAUCAUAUUGCUUUGUGAUGUAGUUUCUGCUAUAUGCUUUUUUUUUAAACAACGAGUAACAUGCUUCCUUUCGUUUUUUAUUUUGGUCAACUUUGUGAACAGAAACCGAGGCUUGGUUCAUAGAUUCUUUUGAGGAAUGGCGCAAAGCAAAGAACCUCAGUAAUUUUAUAUUGCUCGGUCAUUCUUUCGGAGGAUAUGUUGCGGCAAAGUAUGCGUUACAGGUAUAUUUAUAAUUAAUUUAGCAAGUGAAGCUACUCAACUGCUGCCUAUGAUAAUUAUACUAAAAUGUAUGCUUUAUUUCAGCAUCCUGAACAUGUUCAGCACUUGAUUUUGGUUGGUUCUGCUGGCUUUUCAUCAGAAACAGAUCAUAGUUCUGAGAGGUUAACCAAGUUCCGUGCAACGUGGAAAGGCAUGCUAGUAAACCAUCUUUGGGAGUCCAAUUUUACUCCUCAAAGAAUUGUGAGGUAAGGCUAGGGCUUCUUCUAUUUGUAUUUUCAUUUUUUUACCUAAUAAUGCAAAUGAAGACAAGAUGAAAAUGUAAGCCUCUCCACUUCAUAAUUAGCAAUCAUCCAUGUCUAGUUAAAUUUGGUUAGUGCACGUACCUUAACAAAACAGAGCAAUCCAUCACCCAUUUUAACUGGAAGUAUUAUGUAGCCAGCUGUGACCACCAUAUCAGACCAAACCUGCCAGCAUGAUUUUGUUAGGAAAACAGCAACGCAUAUUGAACGGAAGCUCCAAAAAUAAGCUGCAAUAUUAUUUGCUGUCAAAUAGAGAAGUGCCAAUUAUUAUCUGAAGUAACACGAAUUAACAAAAAUCGCAAUCAAAUUCAUUCUGCUGUCUUAGAAGUCCAUGAAGGCAUCAUAUAUACUCUGAACUGGCAGUCACAGCUGGGGCAUAUAACAACCUUGUCAUGCUUCAGUCAGUUAAAAUGGAUGGAAGGGCUGGAUUGCUCCUUCUAUCGAAGUAAAUGAGUACUACUCCCUCCGUUCCUAAAUAUAGGUCUUUUUAGAGAUUUCACUAGGGACUACAUACGGAGCAAAAGGAAUGAAUCUACGCUCUAAAGUAUGUCUAUAUACAUCCGUAUGUAGUCCGCUAGUAAAACCUCUAAAAAGACCUAUAUUUAGGAACAGAGGGAGUAUGUUCAAAUUGAAGUAGAGAUAGCUCAACAACGCAAAAAUAAUUUGAAGUGGAGAUAGCUGCAACAAUUCGAAAACUAUCGGAUUUCUUUAUAAGCUACCUCUUUGGUACCUUUUGUACUGAUGUCCGUUUGUUUUACUUAAACAGAGGAUUGGGUCCUUGGGGUCCUGAUUUAGUUCGGAAAUAUACCACUGCUAGGUUUGGCUCACAUUCAACAGGUGAAUUACUAACAGAACAUGAGUCCUCCUUACUGACAGGUAAACAUUUGUUGUUACAUUAAUUCUGUAAGUGCAUUUUCUUAGAUGAUGCUUGUAAUUGAACCUUAUUGUUGCUUUCUUGUAUAUGAAGAUUACAUUUACCACACUUUAGCUGCUAAAGCUAGUGGAGAGUUGUGCUUAAAACAUAUUUUCUCAUUGGGGGCAUUUGCAAGGAAACCACUUCUGCACAGGUUAGCUCCUCUUCCUAUGCACUUAGUUUCUUGGAACUGCCCCCCUGGUGAUAACAGCAUGUUCAAUUAUUAUGUUUCUCAGUAAUCAUUAAGAAUUUAAGAUAAGAGCCCCUCCUAUAAUACUACCUCUGUAACUUAAUAUAAGACGUUUUUUGACACUACGACGGUGUACAAAAACGUCUUAUAUUUUGAUACGUUGGGAAUAUUAUUUAGAACUGUAUUUAAUAAAAGUGAAAAAGGGUUGUGUGUGCGCCCAAGUAGCUGUGGAAAAUCUGCUUUCGUUGAUUGUGGCUUUUGAAUCUUUAGCGGACAGGAUGGAAUUUGUUUCACAUGUUCUUCCCUAGCAUACUUGUUAAUUUCUUCUCUCUUUAUAGCAUUAGUCAAGUAGAUAAGAUAACUAUGGCUGCCAAUAACCACUUAUUCGUUACCAUGAAUAGAUUUGAAUUCCAGAAUGGCUUAUCUAGCGAAAAGUUUGAAAAUCCGACUCUGUAACAAACUAGCUAUACUACCAAUUUUCGUCAGUAUAUUUGAUAUAUAAAACAUGAUAAGUUAAUGAUCUUGUAGAUGCAGUAAUGUAUUGACCAAAAGUACCAGAGUGAACUAUAUGCAGCGUAAAUAUAUUUGUGAUGUUUUCUCACUGGCCUAUGACUUGCGACAGUGCAUCCGACUGGAAAGUGCCAACUACUUUCAUAUAUGGCCACGAUGAUUGGAUGAAUUACCAAGGGGCGCAGCAAGCACGCAAGGACAUGAAAGUUCCUUGCGAAAUCAUCAGAGUCCCACAGGUCAGUUUUCCAUUCUGGCAGUAUGUGCCCAGCCAGCCAAAAGAUUAGUAUUGACGACAUAUACCUUAACUGCUAUGCAGGGAGGACAUUUUGUGUUUAUAGAUAACCCUGAGGGGUUCCACUCGGCGAUCUUCUACGCGUGCCGGAAAUUUUUAUCUGGAGAUGCAGAGGAAGGUCUCUCUCUUCCUGAUGGCUUGAUAUCUGCAUGAGGCGUCAUCUUGUGUGAUCUCGUACCGAAUAGCGGUGUCAGCAUAAAGCAAAGCUAUACAACAAUAGAAAUGUUUUUGUAUGUAUGAAUUGUGUGAAUAUGUCAUUCAUAUGUGCUUGCGUACCAACAACACUAGUGAGACUAUUAUUGUUUUUUUUUUUGUCAGGUCUAGACAUAAUUAUGUCAUAUAUGUAAGAUCUUCCUAGUCAGUUUUUAGGUCAAGUUGCUGUAAGUGAUGCUCUAUAUUCUUUCAGGGCAACUUUAUGUUUGCCUGCUACGAAACAUCUUCACAGUAUUAACUGCCGCUGUACAUUUGCUGCAGUCAUUGCUGCGUCGUAGCCAUUUUUAGAAAGUAUUUUGGAACAGUGGAAGUGCAUUUUGGUGUCUUACGAUGCUAUUAUCCUACCAGACUAUUUUGGUACUAGUACGUCUACGAGUAUUCUACAAUUAGUCAUGAGGCUGACAAUGGCAACGUCCGCGGGGGCUGUUCCUGUCCCUGAAGGAGUUUUUUUUGGCCCCGAUCGGACUUCCUUCCUCGAGCUCGGGGGAAUCCCUUGGUCCGGUCUCCGGACCAGGAGGCGGUGGCGGCAUGGUGUCACUAUCUUUUUGAAGGGGUCGUCUUGUUGUUCGAAGAGUCUCGAUGGUGCGGCUCGAGUCAAUGUUACCGGACUUCUUGGGCGUAAUGUAUGCCAUCUCCGGCGCCAUCUCAAAGACACCUUUCCUAGGUUUGGCCGUACCGUUCACUUGUUGAUUUUCUCUUGGCACAAUUGGUGAUAGUACGUUGGAAUGUGUUGAUGUUGAGGUGAUAGUACGUUGGAAUGUGUUGACGUUGAGUCUUGGUUUUGUUGUAGAGGUCUCGGUAUUGGUUGUGAUGUGACUUGGUUGCUUUUUGGCUUGAGUCAUUGUCAUUGACAUAAGGUUGGACUAGGGAAACAUAUAUCCUAGUAGACAAGGUGGAUAUGAGUGAUGAGUGUGGCGGCUAAUUCUCGUGAUUAACGUUGUAAUGGUCGAAAGGCUUUGUAUUCGGUUUCUUUUUUUAAUGUGAAAGGUGCUUCUUUAUACUUCUUUUAAUGCGAUGAUACGCAUAUUUACGUGUAUUCUAUAAAAAAAUCAUGGCAAAAAUAUUUGUGUUUACUAAGCUCAACAGCUUGCUGAUUCCUACUCUCUCAAAUAUAAAUCGCUUUAGAUAUUUUAAUAUGAACUAUAGUACGGAUAUGUAUAUAGAUGUAUUUUGAAACAUAAAUUCAUCUAUUUUACUUCCUACAUAUUUCCUCCGUUUUUAAAUAUUUGUCUUUUCAGAGAUUUAACUACAGACUACAUCGGAGCAAAAUGAUGAAUUUACAUUUUAAACUAUGUCUAUAUACAUUCAUAUGUAAUCGAUAGUGAAAUUUCUAGAAAGACAAAUAUUUAAAAACGGAGGGAGUAGUUUACGCACACACUAUCUUUAAAAUGAUUUAUAUUUAAAAACGAGGGGAGUAGUUCUCUUGGACAUUAUGCCUAACUUCCAACUCCAAACAAAGAAAAAGCUCGCCCUUUCAUUUCAGCAAAGAGGGAGCGAGCGUGCCGCUCUUUCGCGGUUUCGCCUACCCCAUUUGAUGAGCCUAAACCCACAGGCGGGGCGCGCCGCAGCUCGCGUGGCAGAGCAUGGAGCGCCCUCCGCCAUCGCCGGCCUGGCCGCCGCCACCUCCAGGAUCGCCUCCCACGGCCGCGCCGGCGACGCCGCCGCGGCGCGCGCCGUGUUCGACGCGAUGCCCCGCCGCGACGCCGUCGCCUGGAACGCCAUGCUCACCGCCUACGCCCGCGCCGGGCAGCCGCGCGCGGCCNNNNNNNNNNNNNNNNNNNNNNNNNNNNNNNNNNNNNNNNNNNNNNNNNNNNNNNNNNNNNNNNNNNNNNNNNNNNNNNNNNNNNNNNNNNNNNNNNNNNCGAACCCUCCAAAGACUUUUGGUUACAACCCGUGUCCGAACCAAGUUUUUGUCUAACCUUUAUUAAUUUAAUUAGGGACUUUAAACGUUACUGCAGAUUAGUGUGGACCCCGACUUUUUGUACAAAUUAAACUAAGAAUUGAGGAAGRCUAUGGUGAAGUCGCGACAUGCAAUUGACCAAUAAAAAGACCCCUUCCACGGUCCUCCUCUAUUUUCUUCUCUAGUCACAUGCAUGACCACCCUCCUCCUCUCAACCGAACACAACAACACAAUAUCCCACUACAUGCAUAGUCCUCUUCUACUCUCUCUCUCUCUCUCUCUCCUUUCAAUUGGAAUAAUUUGUAAAUAAAAUUGGACAUAAAAACAAACAUUUGCGGUGUCCGUUUAGGGGGUCAGUGUUGGAAAUGCCCUUAGUAAACGAAAAUGUAAUUCUAAGAUAUUUACUGUGAGAAAGGGGUGUUGGGAAUUAUUUGAAAUGCGAUACUCAUAUGACCAUAUGGGAUGCGGCGGGAAAAAAGAAAGAAAGGAGGAUAUUAUUUGGUUGGCUCCGUCGAGAGGAGAGAAGCGUGGGGAAAACAAACUGCAUAUAUACGGCCGGCGGGGUGGGUGGUGAAAACUAGGAGCGAGGAGAGAUCAGUUGGAUGGCGACUGGGAUAUGCGCCAUGUAGUAUACGGCCCGUGUCGUGUCAAUCAACACAUGUGUCGUUUGUUUGGCUUGUCCGUUUGUCAUUUCCUCCUUCGUAGGCACCACGACGAGCCCUGCGCCUAAACGGCAACCGCAAGUCUCAUAUGUGUUCGUCAGCUAGCCAGCUAGCUAUCCUCAAAGAAAAGGGAAAAAAGAAAAGUAGCUAGCUAGCUAUCCUCUUAGAAAAGGGAAAAAAGAAAAGUAGCUAGCUAGCUAGCGCCAUUGGUCGAUGGACGGGGAGGUUUGCGUUCCGUGUCCAUCACGGCCAUCUCCUGCCGAGCCACCGAGACCUUUCCAACCUUGGGAAGAACAUGGAGCGGAUCACUUCUAGAAUCUCUCGACAGUGGACGUUUGGUUUCUGGACUGAUGAAGCACCUGGACUCGGACGAUUGAGAUGUCAUCGCGGACACCAUGCUAUGUGGAGCAGCGUGCUGGUCACAGUCGAAAGUAUCGUAUAUUGAUACUACGUCCAUAAUGCAUAGAAUUAUGGUUUGAUAUCAUACUUAAUUUUAUUUAUUUAAUUAUAUGUUACCUUAAUAAAAUAUCUAAUUCACAUGUAUGAUACUAGCUAUUAUAUUACGGACGUGGAUUUUUUUUUGCUCUGGGGAGCAUAUGAUGCUCCCUAAUGAACAGUAAAAACCAAAAAAAAAAAGUAAAUAAGUUUUAAAAAUUCUGAAUUUUUUUUAUAGAUGUUCACAUUAGUGUGGCAAGUGUGCUUGCUAAUUUUCAUGACAUAUGGGAUAGCGGUGCUUCGUUGGUGAAAAAAUUAAAAUUAAACUAAACAUUUGAAGAUAACAUUUGACGUUGGACUUGUUCAUUUUGUGCAGACCAAAAUACUUAAGUUUUUGACCUGUAAAUUGCAUAUACCAUUUGAGUGUGACAAUGAACACAUCUGUUUUUUUCAAAAAAUUUGAUAUUUGUAAAAUACAUUUUUAACACGCAGAAGCAUAUGCUUCCUAGAAUCAAAUUGAAUAUCCAUUAUACUACCAGCCUAAGAGGCGACACAUCCGACAAACAAGUGUCAUUAAUAGGCACAUGCUCAGGUGGACAUGUUAUCAUAAAAUAAAUGAUCAAGUUAGAAACAAAGGAAUAUAAUACUCCUUCUUUCAAAAUAAAUGACUCGAUUUUAUAUUAAUUUUAUAAGGUUAGUAUAAAAUUAAAUCAUUUGUUUUGAAACAAAGGAAGGACAGGUCAAGGAGGAGGUGGCACAGACUAAAGAAAAGCUUAUCCUAUACCGACUAGAUGUGACUUGGACAUAUCCACCACAGGCAUGCAAAAGCGUCAAUGAAAAUACUCUAGGAAGGGUAGGGGCAACUAAAAUUAGAGCAUCUCUAGCACACCCUGUGUAAUGCCUCGUCCCGUAAAAUAACCGCCAAAAUAAGGAUCGAAAAUAUUACCACAUCAGAUCCCGCAAUGUGUCCGAGCCGUAAAAAACUUUGCGGGGCGCGAUAAAAGUUUGCCCUCAACCUUCAGAUUCACGGGGUGGGAGGCCGACCCGAGCUCGCCCCCUAUCCGCAACGAGAUUUAACGCGAGGGAAAUUUCCGCGCGGUUGUUCCCUGCUCCCCCCUCCUCGACUGCCAUUGCCACGCUACCGCGCGCUCCGGACCAUCUUCCCCACCAUUCCAUGCCGCCAUGGAAGCCUCUCAGCCGGCGGAUCUCGUCAACAUGGAGGUUACGCAUGCACAAUCCCAUCGGCGGAUCUCGUCAACAUGGAUUAAUACUUCCAACUCAUGGUCAAGUAUCCCAAUAAGACAGUACGAACCUUUCAGUCACUCCAAGGUCGUUGGGACGUGAUCAAGCCGACUUGUAGCCAUUGGGCAGCUUGCUUGGAACAAGUUCGCAAUGCUCCUCCAAGUGGAACCGUGGAAUCCGACUAUGUUAGUUUGUUUUCACGUCCCAAGUUCUACACACCAUUUGCAUCAUGUGAAAUGGUUCCAUCAUUUGACUUUGUUUUAAUUGUGUAGGAAAAAAUUGCCCAACACCGGUACAAAGACAUGGAAGCUUCAUAAGGCAAAAAAAUUAAACUAGAGCAUUGUUGGGAAAUGAUCAAAGACUGCGACAAGUGAAAGUUGAUUGACAAAGAAUCCCCACCGAAGAGAGGUUCACUUACGAACAUGGAUGAAGAUGAAGAUGAUGAUGACCCAAGAAACUUGAACAAGCCUGAUGGUGACAAGAAGACAAAGAAGAAGAUCAAAAGGGAACACGAAGCAUCGAGCUUGCGGGAUAGGAUAUAUGCCAUGGUAAAAUCAAAUGAGGUGAUGCUAGCGAAGUCUCUGGAGGCAAAGAUAGAGUUGGCCGAGAAGAAGGCAUGAGAGAAACAAGAGAGGUGGAAAUUGCUAAAGGACAUUGAGGAGAGAAGAGCACGUGUUGCUGAGAACAAAACCAUGGCCAACCUUCUUGCCGAAGAGAACAGGAUCAUGACUUUGAACUGUAAUGACAUGGACGACAUCAGCAAAGAAUGGCAUGAUAUGACAAGGAGAGAAAUCUUGAAGAGGAGGAUGCUUGCGUGUUACAAUGGCGGCGAUGUUUUCUCAUUGGGAAUCGGAACCAAUAUUGUCGAUGAUUUCAAUGCCGGAGUUGGAACAAGUGUCAGCGAUGGAUACGGGGGAGUCGAUGGAUUCAGGGGCGACGAUGACCUCGAUGGUGCGGAGUGAAGAGCGACCAGGAUGCAUGAAGUCCUUUUGGGUUUGUAUUUUAAACUAUGCUUUCAUUUUGCACGCGAACUAUGUUAUAUUGUUUAAAAUCGAAUUCAUUUCUCGGAACCGCUCUCAAAUUCGCUUAUUGGGAGGCUUUUCGGUUUACGGGUCAACGUGGCGGCAUCCGAGCAGACCCCGUAUUGCCAACCCGUAAAAAACAUCUUCUGCAAAUAUAUUUUUUACGGAUCCGUUUUGCGGGAUCUGAUUCCAUUCGUGCCCGCACUGGCCCACAAAACCCUUUUUUCUCGAACUGUAAACGACUUUGCGGGUUAACUUUAUACGGGGUCUGCUAGAGAUGCUCUUAACAUGAGAAUAGACAAUGCUCUUAACAUGAGAAUAGACAGUAAAAGGAGACAUCAAGGAGAGUGCAAAGUUUUAAUGGACGGGGGCAUUAGAGGACUUUAUUUCAAAAGAUUCAAAAAUGAUAUUUCUAUAUUUUUUUUAAAUCCCAAAAUAAAUAUUUGAAAACUUAUACGUAUUUGCAGUGGAUCUAUGAAAUUUCGUUUACUAAAAAUUUUAUUUUUUAACUAAGUCUGCAACAAAAAUUAAAAAAUUAAKUAGGACCCAAAAACAAAACCAAAAAAAGAAUACCUAACUUUUACUUAAUUUAAUUAGUUUUACUUUAGKUUUUUAUURUUAUACGUCYAMKUAUAGUAAAGUAUAUUAGUUAUUGUUAAUUUUUUCUACAACUAGUGUUGUGNNNNNNNNNNNNNNNNNNNNNNNNNNNNNNNNNNNNNNNNNNNNNNNNNNNNNNNNNNNNNNNNNNNNNNNNNNNNNNNNNNNNNNNNNNNNNNNNNNNNACGUAACGGUUUACGGUAACCCUACGUCCCGACAACCCCCUACCGUCCGUUACCCUUUCCCUAACCCUAAGACCACCCGGACUACGAGACGACUUAGUCACUUGUCAGCACGAUAGUCGUCGAUGAGCGCUGCAUCGAAGACACCAACCAUACGUCCACUGCAUCAUCAUGAGCGCCCAUCGGAGCUCCGACAACGUUGCGCCGCAGCACAAACAACCACCGACAAAGCUGCAUCGAAGCACCCGUUUCUCCCUGUAGAGUCGCAACUGUUGCAACGCAACAGCCUCGCCGCAGCACCGACUACUCACGCGAGCGCUCUAUUGCAGCAUUGUGACCGUUGCACUGCAGCUUCGGCAACACCGACCAGCAUUGCAUGCCGCCGGUGAGUACUCCAUUGUAGCACGACGAGAGCUGCAACGCCUCAUCCUCAAGCGGACCGUUGCCACUUUGCAACUUCACGGGUGCUGCGACAUCUCCUUUUGCGGCAGCGCCACACCCUCGAGCGGCGAUACGACGAGCCCUUAUCAGCAGCGAUGGCUGCCCUGCAACUCACGACAACAGGGUGGUCAGCGUUGUGCGGCUCUCCUCUCCUACAACAAUGGCAGAUGAUCCCCGAUUUUCAAUUGUUAGGGCAGCAACACGUGUGGGAUAUCGGGACUGCGACUGCACGACGAUCCUGCACUCGAUUCCUCAACUCCGUCGACAGUCCUCCUGAUUUCCCUCCAGUGUCUCAUCUAACAGCUGACGAAUAAGAGAACAAUGAAAAGGGAAAGGGAGAAACGAGUGGAGGGGAAGAGAUAAGGUGGGACGAGAGUGAGCGGUGGAUGAAUCCAUGAGGGCACAUGGCGUACGGAGGCGACGGUUUAAGGGAGAGAGAAUCAGUUGGUUGUUUUUAAUUGUUUUCUUUUUUCUUUCAAAGAAGGCAUUUUUUCUAAAACUGUCAUCGUUUAAUCUCGCGCCGUAACCAAAACGGUCAUGAAAAUGCAUUCGCUUGCCAUCUACCUUCCACAGAGGAAACGUUCGUCAGUUAGUAUUUCCGUAAAACAUUCACUCGAUGAGAUUUCGGUUCUAAGAGCAACUCUAGCAGACCCCGCAUCCGCCCUCGACCCGCAAAAUAACCGCCAAAAUGCGGGUCGGGGUGGAAAAGCCUGCCCGAUCAGACCCCGCAUCCCGCCCCGGCUCGCAAAAAUUUUCAGGGGGCGCGGCAAAUUCCCGACCCCAACCUGGGAAAACGCGGGUUUCCCCCUCACGGCUGCGGUGCCCUGCAUAACAGAGAGGCAGUUGGCGGGAGGGACAUUUCAGCCCGCGCUAUUUUCCCCUCCCUUCCGCCGCCGCCGCCCCGCCCUUGCUUCCUCCCGCCUGCUGGUGGCGAUUCCGGCCAUAUCUGCAGGCGAGCCGCUGCACCGCCCCUCCGGAUCCGGCGAGAAGAGCCCCCUCUAGCCGUCGCCGCCCGGGAUCGACCACCGCCUCAUCGCCGCCGCCGGUUAGUACCUUUUUUGUGGUUCCUACUAUCCUCCCGCCAACUACCCGAGAAGAUGGAGUUGACCCCAUGUGAGAAGUUCCUGCUAUCCGAUUCGUCCGAUUCGGACGGCUCGGAUGUUGAGACCAUGCUUGCGACCUUUCGUCAGCAAACAUUAGUCAUGACGCUUGCCGUGAAGGAGAAUGAAGACGAGAACCAUAAGAAGAGGCGAGGAUCGACUGUCGAGCGUUUGUGCAUUCCUCGGAAUCGCCAUCUUGGGAACGAGAUGUUGAUGCAAGACUAUUUCGCGGAGAAUCCUACAUAUCCUCCACACCUCUUCCGGAGAAGGUACCGAAUGCGCUGAUCCCUCUUUGUGAAAAUUGUUCAAGCUUGCGAGGAAAAUUGCCGGUAUUUUACUCAAAGAAGGAAUGUCGCAGGCUUAAAGGGAUUUAGUGCAUAUCAAAAAAUCUCCGCAGCUAUGCGGGUGAUUGCAUAUGGCGUUCCGGUUAACUAUGCCGAUGUGUACAUUCGCAUUGGUGAAGAUACCACAAUUGAGUAUGUGCGUAGAUUUGCAAAAGUUGAUCAUCCGUCUCUUCGGUCCUGAGUAUCUUCGGGCAUCCAAUGAAGAUGACACAAAGAAAUUGAUGGCAUCUAAUGAGAGGAGAGGUUGGCCUGGAAUGCUAGAUAGCAUUGAUUGUAUGCAUUGGAAUUUGAAAAAUUGCCCCAAGGCUUGGCAAGGAAUAUAUUGUGACAAGUCUCGUGAUGCAAUAAUUGUGCUAGAGGCCGUAGCAUCCGAGGAUUUAUGGAUUUGACAUUGCUUUUUUGGUAUGCCGGGCACUCUCAAUGAUAUCAAUGUGUUGUAACGGUCGCAUUUGUUUGCUAGGCUUGCUAGUGAUGAUGCUCCUGCUUGCAACUACGCUAUUAAUGGACAUGAAUACACAAAGGGGUACUAUCUUGCAGAUGGUAUAUACCCUCCUUGGUGCACAUUUGUCAAGAGCAUCAAAGAACCCAAAACAAAAAAAAUAAUAUGAAUUUGCAAAGGUGCAAGAGGCAGCCCGCAAAGACAUUGAAAGAGCAUUCGGUGUUUUGCAAUCUAGGUUUGCCAUUGUGCAUGGUCCUGCUCGUUUUUGGGAUAAGAGAACCUUGAAGAACAUCAUGACACGCUGUGUUAUCCCGCACAAUAUGAUUCUUGAAGAUGAGAGAGGAUUGAACUUAGAAUUCUUUUACGACAAUGUGGGUAGCCGUGUCAAACCAGCUAGAGACCCAAACCGCAUUAGAGCUUUUCUUCAGACAUACAAGGAGAUUGAAAACCCAGACACCCACUUUCAACUUCAGAAGUAUCUCAUUGAACACUAUUGGCAAAGGGCUAGACAACGACUUAUUUUUGUAUUCAUUUGUAUUUGUAUUCAUGACAAGUUUUGAAUAAUUAUUUGUAAUGCGGAUGAUUAUUGUAUUGUGUUUGAUUGGAAUAAUUCAGUUUGUUUUCGGCCGUUGAAUUAUGUUGUAUUUGAUAUUUACGGUCUAAUGAUACGGGAAGCAGCGGUGCAAAGAACGGACCCUUCAAAGUCGACCCGUAAAAAAGAAUAUUCCACAAAUAUAUUUUUUACGGAUCCGUUUGUGGGAUCUGCAUAUGUGACAGCCCAGGCCAGCCCGCAUAAGCAGUUUAGCACGACCUGCAAACGUGUUUUUCGGGUCGACGGGAUGCGGGGUGUGGUAGGGUUGCUCUAGAGAAACUCUUUCCAGCGGUUGACUGGUUUUGACUGAGCGUUACAUGCCACGUCAUCGGGUUUACCUCACCAGGACAAGUCCCGCCUCCCGAGCCCGAACCAAUCCGUCCCGUGAGAGGAGCGCCGCCACUGCCCCUCCGCCGCCGGCUUCGGCCCUCCCCGUCGCCCACUUUCCCCGCCCCUCCCCCGCGGCCCCGCUCCUCCAACUCCCCUCCUCGCCCGCACCCACCCCGUCGCCCCGGUCUCCGCCCACCCCCGCCCCACCCACCCCACCCAACYCCUAAACCCUACGACCCUACUCCCCCCUACAAAACCCCGUGGAAACGUACCCACGGUUCCUACGCCCGGAGCCCCGCCCGCCGGGGACCGGCGACGCGGUACGCCCCGGAGACCCCUNNNNNNNNNNNNNNNNNNNNNNNNNNNNNNNNNNNNNNNNNNNNNNNNNNNNNNNNNNNNNNNNNNNNNNNNNNNNNNNNNNNNNNNNNNNNNNNNNNNNGCAGAUAACAUCGUUGUGGCACUCUCCAACGGCAGGUGCGUAGCUGCCAACAGGUAUGGAGCACACGUCUACCUCUAGGUAGCUAAGCUAGCUAGGCGAUGUACCCUAGCCUCUGGAGCAGCGCGGAGCGGAGGGCGCCGUCGCCGUCGUCGUCCUGUAGUCCAGCGGGCACGUCGAUGACGACGUCCUGCACCGUCACGCCCUCCAUGCGGUGCACGCACGCGUGCUGCACCUGCAGCUCUAGCCGACCGGAGCGCACUCAUCAGCCGCGCCGGCGCGUGCCGGGCUCGUCCCGAGCUCAUCACGCGCACCGCCGCCGCGUCCUUCCCCACCAUCCGCACCUCCACCACAUCGUCGCCAGCCCCGGCGUGGCUGCCUCGGGACGAAGAAGCGGGCCCGUUCGACGCCUCCCACCUAGCGGCGGCCGCCUGCCGGCCCUCCUCCUCGAGCCGCGCGACGCGGGAGCGCAGCUCGGUGAUGUAGGCGACGGCGUCGGCGAGGAGUGAGGCCUUGUCCAUCCGGGACACGGUGGGCACGGCGGCGCGGAGGUCGCAGAAGCGUCGGUUCAGCUUGUCGCGGCGCUGGCGCUCGGCCUCCACGUGGCUGACGGUGAGACCAUCGGGCCGCGGCACGGGCUUCCGCCCACGCCGCUUUGUAGGCGUGGUCGUCGACGCCGGCGGUAGCUCGGAGUCCGGGGAGAGCGACGAGCUCCGGCAGGCCACAAGAAAUCUACACUCCUCGCUCGUUCGGACCGGCNNNNNNNNNNNNNNNNNNNNNNNNNNNNNNNNNNNNNNNNNNNNNNNNNNNNNNNNNNNNNNNNNNNNNNNNNNNNNNNNNNNNNNNNNNNNNNNNNNNNCUUCUUCGUCCGUUUUCCGUUUCGUUUCCGUUUACCCCUUACGGUGUUUAGCUAAGCCGAGACCCCUUGCCUCCNGAAAAGUCAUUCCUUUUCUAUCUUCGUCCAUGUCAACAGGAUCUGGACGUGCAGGUUUUGUACUCAGGUUUGGGAUCUAUCUCCCCAGGUCGCWACUUUCUUGGGUCAUCGUUAGGCUCAUAAUUCUCAUCCUUUGCACAGGCAGCAUCAAGCAAUUUUUUCAUAACGCUCGAGGCACUGGGAUGGUGUUCGUACCCACAAUAGGUGCAAUAGUCCUCCAUUGAGUAGGCAUUGAGCUUAGCBAAGAUGUAAGCAGUCUUCUCAUCCUCUUCCCUUGUCCACUCAGUCUGGGGUUAAUGGGCACUAGGUUAGUUAAGUAAACGUAAAUAGACAGAACCUCUAUAAUUAUUCGACAGACAACUAGAAAAACUGAAAAAUGGGGGCAGACCUAUGUCAUAAUAGAGCAAGAUAUAACCAAUUAAAAGAAACAUUAAGCAUACAUAUGACAGGUAAAGAUUGUACGGUUAUUUGAACUAAUUUAAUUUGAAUUAGAAUGUAGAAUUCAACACAGAACUAGAAAAUUAUAAGUUUAGUACUAAGUUAGUCGUUUAGGUUUUAAUUUAGACUUAACUUUAAAGGUUUUAGUAAGUUUAGGUAUUACGACAAACGUCCGUUAAAUUAGGAAAGUACCGUAAUUUAAACGGAAAUUAACUAAAAGUUUUAANNNNNNNNNNNNNNNNNNNNNNNNNNNNNNNNNNNNNNNNNNNNNNNNNNNNNNNNNNNNNNNNNNNNNNNNNNNNNNNNNNNNNNNNNNNNNNNNNNNNUAUACCAUUCCCUUUGCCCUUCGGUGUGUUACUUGCCCGAGAUUUGAUCAUCGGUAUCCCUAUACCUAUUUCAAUCUCGUUAUCGGCAAGUCUCUUUACUCGUUCCAUAAUACAAGAUCCCGUGACUAACACUUUAGUCACAUUGCUUGCAAGGCUUAUAUGUGAUGUUGUAUUACCGAGUGGGCCCCGAGAUACCUCUCCGUCACACGGAGUGACAAAUCCCAGUCUUGAUCCACGCUAACUCAAUGGACACCUUCGGAGAUACGUGUAGAGCAUCUUUAUAGUCACCUAGUAACAUUGCGACGUUUGAUACACACAAGGUAUUCCUUCGGUGUCAGUGAGUUACAUGAUCUCAUGGUCAUAGGAAUGAAUACUUGACACGCAAGAAAAAAUAGAAAACAAAAUGACACGAUCACAUGCKURCGUUUAUAGUUUUGGGUCUUGUCCAUCACAUCAUUUCCUACCUAAUGAUGUGAUCCAGUCAUACAAGUGAACAACCUACUUGCAUUAGUCGGGUACUAAACGUAAAAAACCCUUUAACCCGAUUUACCCGUUUAGUAACUUCCCGUAAAACGUUCGGGGUACCUUUAACGGUACCCGUAAACGUUCGGGGUAAACGGGUUCCCUUUAAACGGUUAAGGGGGUUUAACCCGUUUUUUUUGGGUUUUUUACGUACCUUUAAAGNNNNNNNNNNNNNNNNNNNNNNNNNNNNNNNNNNNNNNNNNNNNNNNNNNNNNNNNNNNNNNNNNNNNNNNNNNNNNNNNNNNNNNNNNNNNNNNNNNNNUUUUUCAUGAACUGUAAAAAUAUUUUUUGCGGAUCGGCAUUAUACGAGGUCUUCUGGAGAUGCUCUUAGCGCAUCCUCAAAGCGAACCCUCAAAGCUUUGGUACACCGUGUCCGAACCAGUUUUGCUAACCUUUAUAAUUUAAUGGGACUUUAAACGUCUGCAGAUUAGUGUGGACCCCGAUUUUUGACAAAUUUAAAACAGAAUUGAGGAAGCUAUGGUGAAGUCGCGACAUGCAAUUGACCAAUAAAAAGCCCCUUCACGGUCCUCCUCUAUUUUCUCUCUAGUCACAUGCAUGACCACCCUCCUCCUCUCAACCGAACACAACAACACAAUAUCCCACUACAUGCAUAGUCCUCUUCUACUCUCUCUCUCUCUCUCUCUCCUUCAUUGAAUAUUAGUAAAUAAAUGACAAUAAAACAACUAUUGCGGUGUCCGGUUAGGGUCAGUGUURGAAUCGACCUUAAGUAAACGAAAUGUUAAUUACUAAGUAUUAUUUACUGUAGGAAGGUAAAGGGGUUGUUAGGGUAAUUUAUUUGAAAUGCGUAUACUCAUAUGACCAUAUGGGAUGCGGACGGAAAAAAGAAAGAAAGGNGAUAUUAUUUGGUUGCUCCGUCGAGAGGAGAGAAGCGUAGGGAAAACNNNNNNNNNNNNNNNNNNNNNNNNNNNNNNNNNNNNNNNNNNNNNNNNNNNNNNNNNNNNNNNNNNNNNNNNNNNNNNNNNNNNNNNNNNNNNNNNNNNNGGACACUAACAUAAAUAACAAACGACUCUAAACAAUAGGCGAUCAUGACAAAAAAAAUAANACGAGUUUAUUAGUWAGUUGUCUCUUAAWAGUGAAAUCUGAUUUCACCAGUGGAUUCUUGGGAUGAUUCUACCCCAAAAGCAUAUAUAAUACAUGGGUACUUGCUUGUAACAUGUAGGCACAAAGCUAGCUCGAAAAACAACAUAGAAUCCUAUAAGAUCAUAUGAGACAUCAUCACAUGUGAACAAAGCAUUAUAGUAUCUACUACUCCUACAUAUGCACACACACAAGGUUCAUACACCACCACAUCACCAUAAUGGCAAGCAUGAGGGGUUAGCCCUCAUGCACAAGUGCAUAGGUGCACUCAUGCCCACACACACACAUGCAUAGAACAACACUACACACAAAUAAUAURUCGCCCMCCCCACCACACACUACAACCUAAGAAGGUGGCACUACAACGAAGGGGACGGUACGUACCGUCCYUYGUCGMMCWAUGUYGYGACUAGUUGCGACCAACCGUAAUGUCCACAACCACCAANNNNNNNNNNNNNNNNNNNNNNNNNNNNNNNNNNNNNNNNNNNNNNNNNNNNNNNNNNNNNNNNNNNNNNNNNNNNNNNNNNNNNNNNNNNNNNNNNNNNUAUGAUUUUUUUUUCGAACGGAAGAAGAUCAGGGGGCCUAUGGGCCAAGCCAGGAGGGCUACAGGGAGCCCACAAGCCCCCACUCCGCCACCAGGGGGAGGCGGCGGUGGGCAGGCUUGUGGCCUCCCUGGCGCCCCCCUGACCUAGAUCUAGCGCCUAUAUAUUCCCUAAAAAUCAGAAAAAAAUCAAGGGAUCCACGAAAAUACUUUUCCGCCACCGCAAGCUUCCGUUUCCGUGAGAUCUCAUCUGGANACCCUUCCGGUGCCCUACCGAAGGGGACCUUGGAGUUGGAGGGCUUCUUCAUCAUCAUCAUCGCCCUCAAUGACUCGUGAGUAGUUCACUUCAKACCUACGGGUCCGUAGUUAGUAGCUAGAUGGGUUCUUCUCUCUCUUGGAUCUUCAAUACAAAGUUCUCCAUGAUCUUCAUGGAGAUCUAUCCGAUGUAAUCUUCUUUGGCGGUGUGUUUGUCGAGAUCCGAUGAAUUGUGGAUUUGUGAUCAGAUUAUCUAUGAUAUAUAUUUGAGUCUUUGCUGUAUUUCUUAUAUGCAUGAUUUGAUUAUCCUUGUAAGUCUCUCCGAGUUCUUUGGGUUUUGUUUUCGACCUAACUAGAUUCUAUUGUAUUUCUUGACCGUAAGUGGGGAAGUAAGUUGGUCGUUUUGGGGUUUUUUCGGGUUACCUUUACCAGUUGGUUGGGUACGUACCCCUUUUCCCCGAAGUCCGGAACGUAGGGUUACGGGGGACAAAACCGAACGGGNNNNNNNNNNNNNNNNNNNNNNNNNNNNNNNNNNNNNNNNNNNNNNNNNNNNNNNNNNNNNNNNNNNNNNNNNNNNNNNNNNNNNNNNNNNNNNNNNNNNAUGUUCAACCAUACCGCAGGGCAACACUCGAUACGGCUAUAAUGUGUGAGUAAGGAUUGUUGGCUUACCCCUACUUUUUAGCUCUCUACCAAUUUUUACAAGGAACAAAACUCACUUAACAACUAUGUGAAUAUUUUUAAUGUUAAGCAAUCCAAACUGACUAAAGAAUUGAUCUCGAAAGACUGACGCCUGAGAGUACUGUCAAGGCAUUCGUAGAGUCGUGUUGGACGAUUACCGGCUURUUUGAAUGCUCAAUGGUCAAUGCCAUACCUUGCAUGAUUGCGUGAAUUUCUGCAUCAAGUGCGUCAUUGCAAUGAAAGAUAUACUUGUAUGCAUCAAAGUUCGCGGAAUCAUCCUCAUUUCACAGAACCAUUCCAGCACAUGCACGCCCAUCAUGACUACGAAAAUAGAGCCUCAAACCAAGAAAAGGACAACACCAUCCAGCUGUUAGGAAAUAUGCCCUAGAGGACAAUAGAAUAAAAUAAGUUAAUUUAAUUAAUUAUUUCCUUCUUUACGUAAGAAUUAAUUACGUUUAUUUAUACCUAUGUCUAAUUAAGUUAGUUAUUAGUAAUAGAAAGUAACAAUAAAUACNNNNNNNNNNNNNNNNNNNNNNNNNNNNNNNNNNNNNNNNNNNNNNNNNNNNNNNNNNNNNNNNNNNNNNNNNNNNNNNNNNNNNNNNNNNNNNNNNNNNAGAGGGCGAGUAGCCCACGUGGUGGUGCUGUGGUAGCAGGGGACCGUAGGGUUCCGGUAAUACCAGGGACCCCGUUUUUUUUACCCCCUUUCGUUUCAUUUUUUUCCCUUACUUUCUUUUCUUUCGUUGCAGCAAGCAUGANAGUUUUCUUUUUAGAUAGWGUUUUGGUGUGUAUUAUCUGCUGCCUAGGAUACCAUAUAUAGGUGUGUGCAAGUGCUUGUGUAUGCACUAGUGUGUGUAGGUGGAGUGUGUAUGAGUGUGUGUAUGGUGUGUGGUUGUGUGUGUGUGUGUGCACAUGAAUGAGUUGUGCACACAUGUGCAUGUGGGUGUGUGUGUGCAUAUGGUUGCACAUGCACAUGUGCAAGAGGGCCUAGCCCCUCUUGAUGCACCUCUUGUAGUGUGUGUGGGUGGGGCACAUAUAUUUGUGUGUAUGUGUUCAUGCAUGUGUGUGUGUGGGCAUGAGUGCACCUAUGCUACUUGUGCAUGGACGGGUCCCUAACCCCGUCAGUUGUCCUUUCGACCCUAUUUAGUGGGUAGUGUUGGGUUGGGUUGGGUUUUAACGUUACGGUAAACCCGUUUUGGUUAGGGUUGGUGGUUCGGCCUUAAGUUAGUUAGGGUUUAAAGGGUAGGUUUAAGGGUAAACGGUUAAUUNNNNNNNNNNNNNNNNNNNNNNNNNNNNNNNNNNNNNNNNNNNNNNNNNNNNNNNNNNNNNNNNNNNNNNNNNNNNNNNNNNNNNNNNNNNNNNNNNNNNCAUCACUCUCUUCAUCGAGACAGCUGAUCUGAAGACACACGGUGCGUGAACCGCGUCACUCCUUCCACUUAGDDACGACAGCUUCGUAUCUGAAGAUGCAGGUGCGUGAACCGCGUCACUCCCUUCAUUAGAGACAGCUUGAUCUGAAGACACAGGUGCGUGAACCGCGUCACUCCCUUCAUUAGAGACAGCUUGAUCUGAAGAUGCAGGUGCGUGAACCGCGUCACUCCCUUCAUUAGAGACAGCUUGAUCCCAAGAUACAGGUGUGUUCCCUACAUCUACACUUGUAGCAGCAGCCUUAGGAACAUUUCCCCCCUCUUCUUGGCUACCAGCAUCAACAUCCAUGCUACAAUUGGUAUUGUCCUGGUCAUCUAAUUUGGAUGAAUCAACCUUGUCAAUGGCGCCCUCGUUCAUGGUAACGCUGUCCCCACUAUGAGCAUUAGAAGUAGUCUGUCCAACUGAAGCCCCAUCGUUAUCCACUAGAGUGUCAGGCAAUGKAGGAAUAGGACCUACAAGGUCUCCAUCUACAUCUGCAUUGUCCAUGUCCAUCUGAUCCCCCUUGAUUUCUUUGCUUCCUGCAGCUUCUUCAUCAGUAACCAUAUUCGUCUGUCCUGAUUCCUCUUCAAUGUCAUGAUUCUUCCUCUCAUUUUUCUUCCUCAGCAGCACGUAUUUUGAGCUGCAGUCUUCCUCCUC